This 93063-nucleotide long non-coding RNA is filed under the name Zea mays. RNAcentral describes it as "long non-coding RNA (ZMAY_LNC000794)". The record is from RNAcentral. Lineage: Eukaryota; Viridiplantae; Streptophyta; Magnoliopsida; Poales; Poaceae.
GUCGCCGGUGUAGGAGUGGGUGGUGGUCAUGGUGCCCUUGAUGAUGCCUUGAUCCAUGCAUAUAUAUAUAUAUAUAUAUAUAUACACCGUUAUUAUAGGUUUGUCCGAUUUGCAAUAAUCACAAGGAGGGAGCAUCAAGUUUGCGGCGCUCGACUCGAGUUGAGUGAAGAAGAUCGAUACGCACCGAACUUUUGGUCGAGCACCUUGACGAAUGGCGCGAGGCAGUUGGUGGUGCAGGAGGCGUUGCUGAUGAUGGGCUCGUCGGGGUUGUACUGGUCGGCAUUGACGCCGACGACGUAGGUGGGGAUGUCGCCCUUGCCGGGCGCCGUGAUGAGCACCUUCUUGGCCCCCGCCUGGAUGUGCUUCCCCGCGCCCUCGCGGUCGACGAAGACGCCGGUGCCCUCGAUGACGAGGUCGAUGCCGAGCUCGCCCCACGGCAGGUUGCUGGGGUUGCGGUCGGACACGACCUUGAUGACCUUGCCGUCGACGGAGAUGGCGUUGUCGCCGACGGGCUUGACGUCGGCGUCGAAGAUGCCGAGCGUGGAGUCGUACUUGAGCAGGUGGGACGCCUGCUUGACACCGCCGGUGUCGUUGAUGGCGAUGACGUCGAGGGGCGAGGCGUCGCCGCGCCCGUGCCAGCACCGCAGGAAGUUGCGCCCGAUGCGGCCGAACCCGUUGAUGGCCACCUUCAGCUUCGCCUCCGUCGGCGCCCGCCGCGACCCGCCGCUCGUGCCGACCUGGUUGUUGAUGUGAUGCACGAGCGAGCGAGCGAGCAAGCCAGGCAGCAGCAGCGCAUACACACACGUGUGAAUCCCCAAAGCCGGCCGUACGUGCAAUACGAUACAAAGCUACUUUCCUACGCGGCUGCAUGAGGGUGGAUCGAUCGGCCGGGGCAGGCACGUACCGCGUGGGUCCUGAAGGAGACGGCGGACAUGAAGUCGUCGGAGGUGGCAUUCCGGCGCAUGGGCAGCGACGCGGAGCUCCUGAGCCCGGAGAACUCGGACAGGCCGCCCCCCUGGAGUACAACAUCAAAGAACCAUCACUACUCGCUUGUCCGGUGGAGCAGCUAGAGUGCAAGCAAACCAUUGAUCCUACGUAGCAGCACGGGUGGAGAGAGAGACGCGGCACGAGAGGCAUACCUGCUGGAGUGGCACGGUGGUAGCGGAGAGCAUGGACGACGCCAUGGCCACGGACCAGAGGAUCAAGACAAGAUGACGAUGCUAGCCAACAAGCGGGCGCGUAUAUACGAUACGAGUUGGCGGAUUGGGGGCGCGCGCGUUUGUGGUGCGCGUGGCCGCGAUCGGGGAUCGUGAGGUCGGGAUUCGGGGAGGGAUCAGAUUUCGGAUAGCAUGGCCGACGAAUGGCUGUCGAUGGCCGCCCUCCUGCGCGAUCAACGUGUGGCCCAUUUUCCGUGCCCGCCCGCCCGCCCCUCCCCUGUUACGGCUUGUCGGGUCAUGCCUUGUGCAAUGGAUCGCGGAGAUCAAUCGAUCGUUCUGGAUGGGGGGUCGAGUUCGACGUGGUAUGCAAAAGACGGGUCGACGCCUGGGAGGCUGGGACACGGUACAAACGAGCAGAUCAGAUUCAGCAGCAAAGACAUCAAAGAACACCGGGGGGCUAGUGCGCCGGUUAGCUAGGUUACUGAUCCUAGGAGUCAAAACCGGAGUGGUUGAAAUUCAGUUUGAUAAGCUGCCUUUCUACUGUUACUCGUGUGGUAAGAUGCAUGCAACACAUGGAGCUGGAGUCUCCUCCAACCUCGGCACCUAGAAAUGCUCUGGGCAGACUCCCAUCCCAUAUGAUCUUAAGCUUCGAGCACCAUAGGAUAGGAAGAAGAAAUCGUAGAGCUUUGGUCUUUGGCCACGGGGCGGAGAGGAGUCCUUUGGCAGCUCCACGGGGACUCGUAGGUCGGAGCCGUCACGAGAUUAACUCCACCUGACACUCAACAAGUGGCCUGGAGAGAGGAGAUGUUGCUGAUCGAUGAGAUAGAGGUUGUUGGUUUGAUCCCAUGUGACACAUGUACCGAUGAUAAGCUUUGUGAGGAAUUUAGUUGGGUCAUGACAAAUAGGUUUGAAAUGUCUAUGAUGUAUGAGCUCAAGUUCUUUCUAAGGUUUCAAGUGAAACAGUAAAGGAAAGAACUUUUAUGUGCCAGACCAAGUACACACAAGACAUGUUGAAGAAGUUUGGCACGAAAAAGGUGAAGCCUACCAAGAUUACAAUGGCUUCAAAUGGUCAUCUCGGCCUAAAUGAAGAAGGUAAAUAUGUCAAUCAAAAGCUCUAUAGAUCCAUGAUAGGUUCACUACUUUACAUAUGUUCAUCUAGACCUGACAUAAUGUUAAGUGUGUGCAUGUGUGUUCGCUUUUAAGUUAACCCGAAAGAGUGUCAUUUAGUUGCUGUUAAGAUAAUCUUAAUAUAUCUAGUUCACACCCAAAACUAGGACUUUGGUAUCCUAAAGGCUUCUUUUUCGAUUUACUUGGCUACUCUGACUCAGAUUCUGCCGGUUGCAAAGUAGAUCGAAAAAACACCACGGAGACUUGCCAAUUCUUUGGAUAGUCCUUGGUGUCAUGGAGUUCUAAGAAACAAAAUUGUGUUGCACUCGCUCUACAGAAGCUGAGUACAUAUCAGCUAGUGCAUGUUGUGCCCAGUUGCUAUCGAAAAAACACCACGAGGACUUUGGUUGCGAGUUUAAUAGAAUUCUGCUACUUUGUGACAAUGAGAGUGACAUUAAACUUGCAAACUAUCCCGUGCGACACUCUAAAACUAAACACAUUGAUAUUAGACAUCAUUUAUUGAGAGACCACAAAGCCAAAGGAGAUAUUGAAUUAUGUUAUGUAAAGACCAAAAAUCAACUAGCUGAUAUAUUCACCAAACCUCAUGGUGAGACUAGAUUUUUCUUUCUUAGGAGUGAACUAAAUAUUUUAGAUUCUCGUAACGUCUCUUGAAGGCUUGCACACAAAAUUGUUUGAGAUAGAUUGUAUGUUUGGUUGAAUUUUAAAACUAUAUAAAAACAUAUAUUUCUAUCUAUAAAUCCCUAACUUUGAUUGAGAAUGGCAUAAUAAUUGCCAUAUAAAAAUCUCAAUCUUCUUGAAGUUCACUGGUGAAAACCAGUUGAACUUUAGUUCAAUCUAGUUGAGCUUCAGCACAACUAGGGUCAGCUGAGUUCUUCUCUGGCCAAAACUGGUUCAGCUGGCCCCUAGGGGUGGUUCAACAUGCCCCUGGACAAAGUCAACUGACAACUUUUCUGACUCACUUGCUCUGCUCCUGUCAGCUUGCCCUGCUGCCAGUCUAACAAUUAGGCAUCUCUGACAGGAGGCGGUUGAAUUGGCCCUGACCCCCGGUACAACCGGUUUCUACUAGUGGUGCCCAGGGUUUUUAUCCCGCGCCCCCUCUUCUCUCUCCCCCCACUUCAACUCCUCCAGCCUAGUCGCCUCUAGACCUGAGCCCUCUCUCUUUUCUAUCUUUUUCCCCUCAAAAUCCCUCAAAUCCACCCACUCAAAUCUCUUGAAACUUGGAGGGAUUACUCCUAGGGAGAUCCUCCUCCAUUUCCACCACUUUGGUUGCAAUUCAUCGUCCAGAUUCUUAGAUCAAGGUAACUCUCCAUUUUUACUCUUUUGCCCCGAUCUAUGUUUGUAUGCAUAUGGAACACUUUCUUGAAGAAGUUUAGCCUUGUUGUAUGCAUUUGUUAAGGUAGAUUAUGUGUUGUGUUCAUAUCCAGUUGAACUAUUCAUAUGAACGGUUGAACUGACCCUGCCACUCACACCUCCUUUGCAUAUGAUGUUUCAUACCUUGAACAAUUCCAUCUCAUACUUUGUUUAUUCAUCUAUUUCAAGAUGGUUCAUGUGACGGAACCUCCCAAGUCAUUAGGCUCACCUACAGUUGUCCUUGUCCAACGGACCUCAGACAACCCUGCAGGUGCCCCCGAAUCACUUGACAAGUUCGGUAUCUGCUUUUCUUACCUUUCCCAAGAGCGUUUCACCCGUCACGCAGACAUUACAAAUCAUCGGAGAUGCGGAAGUGCGAAAGCAGUUACAAUAUCUUAGUUUUAUUUAAAAGUAAGAUAGAGUUAAAUAUUUACAGACCAGGAUAAAAUAUACGAGUGCAGAGAAUUAUUAUUACAAACCAUGGGAGGCAAAAACUCCUCCCGAUAAGUAUCAAACAAAAAGUUUUUAUGGAGGAUCCUUUCCUCCCACAACUUCAUUCCUGGUGCUCUUCCUUUGGUACCACCUUAGAACAGAAGCAACAAAAGUUUGUCGCUUCUUCACCUAAAAACAACGGGGAAUAAAACCCUGAGUAUGGAAUUACUCAGCAAGUCUUACUCGACUAAAGAAAAGACUCUCAAGGGUAUGCUGGCUUAAGGGAGUUAAGGUAAGGCUUAUCAAUAAUCAAUGACUCUAUUUGCAGAAAUGCUUACUAAAGUGGAUCCUUAAAAAUCCAAUUUUAAUUUGUCAGGUUAAGUAAGAUUACCUGCAACUAGAGUUAUUUCUACCCUAGUUCAAACACUUGACCUGCACUAGCCAAUUUCUUAACAACCCUUCAUCUUUACUGGAUUUCUACGUAUAGGUCAGUGACCAAGUCUUCAUAACCGCGAAGGUACGGUGAUCCGAAUCGAUUAUACUCAGCUGAGGAUCUCCAAUCACACGACAUAUGUAGCACUUAACCCUUACAUAUGUCAACACGCCACCGGGGUUCUUAAGACUAGAUCAGGUUCACGCCAACCGAGAGCACAGUUACACCACCGUCCAGCCUCUUGCCACGGAGGGUACACGCUACUCUCGCCAUCUCUCCACGCCCAUUGCGUGUUAUCUUAUUCUGGUAUUAGUCUGCCCGAGGCAAAGCUUACCCAUGACGAGGCAUGUGACCAGUUAAAGGGUCCUCGGUCAGCAAGCCUACAUCGACACGGUCCUUAAUCGACUCAGACUGAGACACUACAUCGAGACUCCUUUCUCGUGCAAGUCCACCCGCCCGGUCUCACCUUAAUUAUUUCAAACCCAAAGUUUGGUACCUGGCAGAGGUACAUCUUUUCCGAUGUUGAACCCAUCAUGGCCAUGAUGGAUCCACCAUCAAGUUUUAUUUCAAAAAUAUCCCUCCCACUUUGCCACAUCAUCUUUUUGUAAAAACAAAACAUUUUGUUUUGCUAGAGCAAGACUAAGCAUAGGAAAAACCUUUUUGUAAAACAGGGAUUCCAAGGAAGGUAAUCAAAUUCAAGGAAGGUAAUGCAGGAAUUGUUUUAGCACUCAACUCCUAUCACCUUAUGCAUCAAGCAAGUGAGAAAGAUUUUAAAAAUAUCAAGGAGGUGGCAAAUGCACGGGGCUUGCCUUGGUUUACAGGUGAUUCAGGCUCGGAUCCACAGAUGUCAAAAUAAAAGUAAUUUCGUGCCUGAUGUUCCGCAGGUGGUGCUGGCGAAGUCUUCUCUUCUUCUACUUCAACUUCUUCCUCGUUUUCUAGAUAUAAUCAUAUAUAUAUAUAAGAAUGAAUGCCCAUGUAAUGCUCAUGAGGAUGCAAUGAUAGUAAAAGUUUAUUUUCUAAAGUCUUGAGUAUAAUUUUCCUUCACGGUUCUCCGAGAACCUAGGGUUUCCGGAGUCAGUAAAGGAAUUCAAAGGGCAGGGGGUAGGGUUUUGGGCUCUAAGUAUCAAACAAGGUCCAAAUCAUACCAAAUUCUACCCAAGGCUUCUAAAUAAUGUUUUGAGCUCAUAUAAAAAGUUUGGGGAUUUUUGGAAUUAUUAUCUAUUUUCUAAAAAUCGAGAAACAAUGUUUUAGGCUAAUUUAAAUGCUCCAAAAUUUCUUAUUGGUUCUAAAAAUUAUAAAAAUACUUUUAUUAAAUACUAUGGAAAAUAAGGAACCUAGGAAAAUUGUUUGACAUUUUUACCAUUUUCUACAAUUUUCUACAGAUUUCUCAAGUUUUAUAGAAAAAGAAAAGGAAAAAGCUUAAACAGUACUGGGCCGAAAGUAGCCCAAACGGCCCAGCUUGCACAGGAACAGGGACGCGCCCACGUGCGCCCGCGCGCGCGACGACGACUUUGUGAAUAAGUCCCUGUAUUUUUUUAUUAGCCCGAAGGAGUCCAAAAACACUAUUUAAAACAGUCACUGACACUUUGCAGAAAUACCCUCGUACUUCUAUUUCUUCUCUAGAAACAUCCCUGGCCACGGCGCACUCGCCGUUUGUCUUCGACGUGGUCUGUACCGACCAUGGCCGGCGAUGAUUGCUAUGGUUAACUAUCGGGAGGCAUAACCGAUCAAGGAUAAUCUAGGAACAUCCUUUAAUUUGACAUAAACUUCACUGGGAACUGUCUACCCACGAUCAUGGCGGAAACCGGGAUCACGAGCACGUGUUCCCGCCAAAUCAUGGUCGAAUUGAGCAAACGAGUGCCACGAUAAGCUUCACUAGCAUGCAGAGCCACAAAAACAACAUUCGAGAUGGACAGAGCCUUACCCGAAUGGGCUGGCCACGGUCGAGCUGUUCACGGUGGCGCGACGACCCAAUUUGGGGGAAAAGGGAGACUCUCUGGCUAUGGUGUCUAAUCGAGGGUGGGAGCGGGUGCUUUGGCUUCGCAAUUUAGAGACGAAGAGCUGUGCUCGGUUGAUUUGAACGGAGGGGUGAGGAUGCGGUGAAUUUAUAGGCGCAGUGAGCCACUGCCAUGGCCAUGGUGAUAACCAUCGCCGGCCUUAGCUGGCGAUCAACGGCGGCGUCGAGCGCUAUCCUUUCCUACGAGCUUGCCACGUUCCGCCGCGACAGUAACGCGGUCAAAUCAGUGUGGGCGUGGAUGAACGAAGAGGAGCGGCGCCGAUGACCGGAUAUGGCCGGAGUGAUUAGUGGUCGCGUGGCGGCCGGAAUCAUCACGCUCCACCGCGGCGAUCUUACUCGGAUCAAGAAGAUCUUUGCGAGGAGAUGCACGUCGCGCGCCCAUCCCGACCCUAGCGCAAAUCACGGCGCGGAUUGGUCGUCGGCGACGAGGGUCUGAAGCUUAUCCUCCCGGGCACUGUACCAUGGCAACUCACCCAAAUCUCUGCAGCAAAGUUGUAGAUUUACAAACCAGCUACAUUUCGACUAUAGGAACUGAACUCAGUUGAGCACUAGAUCAUACAUAAUUUCAAUUCCAAAGCUCGACCAAUAACACUGGUGGUCAUUUUUCAGUCAGUAACCCGACUGACAGCCCAACUUUGGGUUUAAUUAUCUCCCAAUUCUUCAUAACAACAAUGCUUAACCCCUUAAACAAAGUUGUUCACCUUUAAUAGCUCUACAAUAUUGAUGUGGUGACCUAGGGCAAAAACCUUAUAAUUUGAAAAUUACAAAGCUCCAAAGUUGAGCCCAAACACUGAUUUUCAGACUUAGUCUUAGAACCCAAAUAGGGCCUUUUUGCCAAUAGGUCCAAAACUCAGGGUUUGAAUUGCAAAUCUUCAUAAAUGUGAACGAAAUGACUUUAUAUGCCUUAACAUCAUAGUUUUUACACUUUAGUCCAAAAGUGCACUAAUUUUGCACUUAACCCCCUAGGGUUUAAGUUUAGGGUUUUCUAGGGUCCUUAUUAGGGUUUUUGGCAUUCCAGGGGUGUGAAUGUAACUUAGAUCCAUUCUAGUAAUAUUCUAUGAUUAAUUUACUUAAACUUUAGGGUUUUCUCUAUUUGGAUUUUGUUUUACCCUUCUGAACCUCAUUUAUGGUUAAGUGCCCUACACUAGGGUCUUAUUUGCAAAGAUACCAUAGCAAUACAACUUGUUUGAGAUUUUUGCCUAGUGAAUGCAUUCUAGGUGUAUCAAACAUAUGAAAUGCUAAUGCUGAUGAUGUUAUGCUCAAGUUUUAGUAACAGUAACACCAGGGGUGUUACAUCCUUCCCCCCAUAAAAGAAUCUUGUCCCGAGAUUAAAAGUCCUAGGGUAAGUAAUGGAAAAGGAAACACGACUUGUCUUUAUUUCCUUAUUCUUGGUACAAGGCAGGGGUGGUUUGGGGCUCACUCCUUUACAACAAUUGUAUACACUUUACAAAUUACAUGAGGGUAAAAAGCCUGGGAAAUUCUUUUCUAAAAAGUCCUGAGUUUCCCAUGUAGCCUCAUCUUCUGAAUGCUAGUUCCACUGUAUCUUGUAAAACUUGAGAGUUUUUCUUCGGGUAAUUCUGUCCUUUUGAUCCAAGACUCAAAUAGGGUGCUCAGAAUAUGUCAAGUCUGGUUCUAGGGCAACAUCCGUUACGUCAACGGUUCAAUCGGGAACCCGAAGACACUUCUUCAAUUGAGACACGUGGAACACAUUAUGUACUGCAGACAAGGUUUCGGGUAACUGAAGUCGGUAUGCCACUGGUCCAUAUUGUUCGAGUACAGGAAAAGGGCCAAUAUACUGGGGUGCAAGCUUCCCUUUAACCCCGAAACGUGAUACCCCCUUCAUCGGUGAAACUUUCAGGUAGACAUAAUCUCCAACUAGAAAGUACAAGGGUUGUCGUCGCUUGUCUGCAUAACCCUUAUGACGAGCUUGAGCUUUCUUCAAAUUAUGAAUUAUUCGCUGAACUUUUUCUUCGGUCUCUUUUACCAUAUCAGGUCUGAAGAAGCUUCUUUCACCUGGUUCAGACCAAUUUAACGGAGUACGACAUCGUCGUUCAUAUAAAGCUUCGAAGGGUGCCAUCUUAAUACUUUCUUGAUAGCUAUUAUUAUAUGAGAACUCCGCUAAUGGUAAACAAUCAUCCCAUUUUUGUGGAAAUUCCAAAGCACAAGCCCGUAACAUAUCUUCAAGUAUUUGAUUUACCCUCUCAGUCUGUCCACUGGUUUGAGGAUGAUAGGCCAAACUAUGGAGCAACUUAGUAUCCAAAGCCUUGUGAAGUUCUUCCCAAAAUUUGGACACGGAUUGCGGUCCACGAUCCGACACUAUAGUCUUCGGAACACCAUGCAAACUGAGAAUACGGGCAAUGUAUAGUUCUGCAUACGUGGCCACUGUAUACUUUACCCUGACUGGAAGGAAGUGGGCAAUCUUCGUAAGUCGAUCUACGAUAACCCAGAUAGAAUCAUACCCUUUGGUGGUCCUAGGUAAUCCUACAAUAAAUUCCAUACUAAUAUCCUCCCAUUUCCAUGUUGGAAUCGGUAAUGAUUGCAAUGGCCCAGCAACCUUCAUGUGUAUGGCCUUGACACAUCUGCAGGUGUCACAUCUUGCCACAUAGCGUGCAAUUUCAAUUUUCAUCUUUGUCCAUCAAUAAUGUUGCUUUAGAUCAUGAUACAUCUUAGUGCUUCCGGGAUGAAUAGAAUAGCGACUAAGAUGUGCUUCAUCCAAAAUUUGCUGGUGGAGCUCUUCAUUCUUCGGCACAACUAUGCGGUUGUUGAACCAUACAAUGCCUUGAUCAUCCUUUCUGAAACAUUUGGCUUUUCCGACCUCUAUUUUCUCAUGGAUGUGUUUCAUACCCUCAUUAUCCUUUUGAGCAUCCAUUAUCCUUUGUAAAAGGACUGACUCAAGCUUUAGUUGACUUAAGGCUCCGUGUUGGAUCAUUCCCAGGUUUAACUUCUCCAUCUCCUGGCAUAGUGUAUUGUCAGAGGUCUUCACAGUAAGACAGUGACAGGAAACCUUAUGGCUAAGUGCAUCUGCCACUACAUUGGCCUUGCCUGGGUGAUAAUGAAUUUCCAAUUCAUAGUCCUUAAUAAGCUCAAGCCAUCGCCUUUGUCUCAUGUUCAACUCUAACUGGGUGAAGAUAUACUUCAAGCUUUUAUGAUCUGUAUAAAUGUGACAGAUAUUACCUAGCAGAUAAUGACGCCAGAUCUUCAGGGCAUGAACCACUGCAGCUAGCUCCAGAUCAUGAGUUGGAUAAUGCUCCUCAUGCCGGCGCAACUGCCUUGAAGCAUAAGCUAUUACUCAGCCUUCUUGCAUUAAUACACAGCCGAGACCACUGCCUGAUGCGUCACAAUACACAUCAAAGGGCUUAUUAAUGUCCGGUUGAGCCAAUACCGGAGCAGUGGUUAAUAACAUCUUCAAUUUCUCAAAGGCUUCAUUACAAUUUGAAGACCAAUUGAAUUUUAUCUCAUUCUUUAAUAAACUCGUGAUUGGUUUCACAAGCUUAGAAAAAUCCGGUAUAAAUCGGCGGUAAUAGCCAGCUAGUCCCAGGAAACUUCGGACUUGAUAAACAGUGGUUGGGGUUUCCACUCAAAAAUAUCCUUGACUUUGCUAGGAUCUACCUUAAUCCCCUUGGCAGAUAACACAUGUCCCAAAAAUUGGAUUUCUUCCAGCCAGAACGCGCAUUUACUGAACUUAGCAUAUAACUGAUGUUCUCUCAAGCGCGUUAAUACAAUCCGCAAGUGCUGAGCAUGCUCCUCUUCAUUCUUGGAGUAUAUUAAGAUAUCAUCGAUGAAGACCACCACAAACUUAUCCAACUCGGGCAUAAAUACCAAGUUCAUCAGAUAUGUGAAGUGGGCAGGAGCAUUCGUCAGUCCGAAAGACAUAACCAGAUAUUCAAACAAUCCAUACCGUGUAGUGAAUGCGGUCUUGGGUAUAUCCUCGGGCCUGAUACGGAUCUGAUGAUAGCCCGGCCUGAGAUCAAUUUUGGAAAAUACCCUCGCUCCAGUUAGUUGAUCAAACAAAAUAUCAAUCCGAGGAAGAGGAUACUUAUUCUUGAUAGUAACCUCAUUAAGGGGUCUAUAAUCCACACACAUUCGAAGUGUUUGGUCCUUCUUCUUGAUGAAGAUGGCUGGACAACCCCAUGGUGACGAGCUUGGCCAGAUGAAUCCCUUCUCAAGUUGAUCUUGUAAUUGGGUCUUAAGUUCUGCCAGCUCAUUUGGAGGCAUUCGGUACGAUCUUCUAGAAAUAGGAGCCGUACCGGGCUUCAACUCAAUUACAAAUUCUACAUCUCUUUCGGGUGGCAAUCCAGGCAAAUCUUUUGGAAGGACGUCUGGGAACUCACAUACUACCGGAAUAUCUUUGAUCUUUGGUAUGAUGGCUUCAUACACUCUGCCAGUUGGUCUAGCUAGAAUGGCUACGGGGAUAGACAAAAGAAUUUCUUCUUGGCCAUAACUCAACCUGAUUGUUCUCAGAUCAGUAUUGAGAAUAGCUUUAUGUUGGGCUAACCAAUUCAUGCCCAAAAUUACAUCUAUGUCUUGGCCUUUCAGAACAAUCAUAUUAGUAAGAAAGUCCAGUCCAGCCAAUGUUACGGGCACUUGAUAAGCCACUUCUUUGGUAAAUAUUUGUCCCCCAGGCGAAUGUAUUUUAAACCCUUCCCUUGAUUCAGUAUAUGGAAUGCAAUAUUUCUCCAUGAACUUUUUGCUUAUGAAAGUAUGUGAUGCACCCGAAUCAAAGAUAAUAAGUGCAGGGUGGUUGGCUACGAGGAACGUACCCAUCAUCACCGGUUCGCCUUCCGGUGUUGUGGCCACUUGAGUGUAAUAGAUCCGUCCUGUUUUCCGUGUAUUUUUGGCCGCAGUAUUGGUUGCCGCAUUUCCCUUAGAACUCCCAAAACUCUGUUGAUUAUUUGACUGAUUCUGCAUCGGGUAUGGACAGUCUUUAAUGAAAUGCCCGGACUUUCCACAGUUGAAGCAACCUGUUGACGAGCUGGGAAGAGAAGGGAAACGAGUGCCAGGGGCACCCGACUGAUUUGUAGCAGUGGGGGUAGGGUAGGACGGAUGAACACUGGUUGCUUGAAAGGGAAGGAGGGUGGGCAUGAUGAAGAAUGAUUUUGAUUGAAAGGUCGGAUGACCAACCUUUGUCUCUUUUCAGGCCCCUGGUUGGGCCUGUCGCCUCCAACUCCCUUGGAUUUUCCGGAACUUGCAUAUUUAGCUUCGACUGCCAGUGGUGUGCUUACAGCCCUUCCAUAAGUAAGGUCGAUGCAGGUAGCCAUCUUUCUUUGCAUCCGAUCACUCAAGCCUCUCAUGAAACAGUUCCUCUUCUUUAUGUCGGUGUUGACUUGAUCGAUUGCAUACUGGGAUAAGUGAUUAAAUUUAUUGAUAUACUGGGUGACAGUAUCUCCGCCUUGUUUCAACUUCAUGAACUCUUCCUGCUUCAUGUGGAGAACUCCUUCAGGUAUAUAAUGCUCUCUGAAGGCCAACUUAAACUCAUCCCAAGUUACUUGAUGAUCAGCCGGUUGAACGGCUAUAAAAUUUCCCCACCAUGUGCUGACAGGGCCACAUAAUUGUUGGGCUGCGAAUAGGGGCUUUUGAACCUCUGAACACCGAAGGAGCCCAAACUUCUGUUCAAUGACGCGGAUCCAUUCAUCCGCUUCGAGAGGGUCCUCUGCUUUGACGAACAACGGAGGGCGCGUCUCAGAGAAGUCCAGAUAAGAUGUCUCACGAGGGCCUUGCGGAUAGGCCCGCCUGCCUUGUUGUUGAAGUUGUUGACCUGCCAUCUCCCGCAGGAAGCGGGUAUUGUCUGCUGUAGCGUUUACCAAGGCACUGAUGGCCUCGGCAAGUGUCGGGGGUACUGGAGGUGGAUUCGGGGUCGCUUCCCUCCCAUGGGAGGUACCAGCCCCAUCCUGAGCGCGAGUCCUGGAAGGCAUCUGAGGCAAAGAACAUUUGGAGCAGUAUGAUAUGCCAUACAAACCAUCCAUUUCACAUUACUUAAAAAUGUAAUGUUACAGACUCGUACUUUACAAUAGGAUUGCACCCCCUAUUACACAAGAGUACUACUUCUACACUAUACUAUUCCUGCUUCUUGUCACUCUUGGUAGCCUCGCUGUCGGACGUAGGAGACCACUGGUCGACCAAAUUCAUUGAAGGAGGGGGCCUGAAAAGGUCCAGUUCUCCUCCAAAGGCUUCUCCUGCCGUUCCAGAUGGUCCGGCUCCCAUCUAGACAGGAUCCACGGGAACGUUCGGGUGUAAUUGUGAAUACAAUACAUGAACUUCUUCAUGUAAUGUAUUACAAUAUACCUGCAAGUUAUCAACAGCUGAGCUAAGCUCUUCUAUGCGGGCUUGAGCUCUAGCUUCCUUUGCCUAGGCUAGUGAACGAGAGCUCACAACCCAGUCAAGUGCUAGAUCCCAAUCCGCUAGCUGGUCUUGCAGGUGGCGGAUGUCGCUUCUCAAUUCAUUGAUCCUCUCACCAUCCGCGACCCAUAUGUUAUUCCUGCGAUGGAGUUCUGUUUGAAGCUGAUUAACUUGUGCUUCCAGAUCUCCAAUCGGAUCGUUGCUCCCACUACUGCUGUCGUCAUGUCUCGGGGCAAGUUGGUGACGAGGUACACCGAUCGACCCGGUUGACUUGCGUGCAGUCUUCCUUGUACGUGGCGGCAUCUUUCUAAAGGGGGAAUCUUAUUAGCAUAACUCUUAGCAUGAUGCAUGUGUAAUUACGGAAUCAACCUGAGUUGACUCAACCUUCUAUACAUUGCACUCUUCCUAUCUGGUCUUUAAAAUAAACUCUUCAGAGAUACUUAGAUAGGAAGGGAAGAAAUUUUCUAGAUAAGUCUUUAGAAAAUUCUUUUUGAAGAUGCCUCAUAAUAUCUGCAGAGAUGGGCUUCGCUCCGAUACCAGCUGUGACGGAACCUCCCAAGUCAUUAGGCUCACCUACAGUUGUCCUUGUCCAACGGACCUCAGACAACCCUGCAGGUGCCCCUGAAUCACUUGACAAGUUCGGUAUAUGCUUUUCUUACCUUUCCCAAGAGCGUUUCACCCGUCACGCAGACAUUACAAAUCAUCGGAGAUGCGGAAGUGCGGAAGCAAUUACAAUAUCUUAGUUUUAUUUAAAAGUAAGAUAGAGUUAAAUAUUUACAAUCCAGGAUAAAAUAUACGAGUGCAGAGAAUUAUUAUUACAAACCAUGGGAGGCAAAAACUCCUCCCGAUAAGUAUCAAACAAAAAGUUUUUAUGGAGGAUCCUUUCCUCCCGCAACUUCAUUCCUGGUGCUCUUCCUUUGGUACCACCUUAGAACAGAAGCAACAAAAGUUUGUCGCUUCUUCACCUAAAAACAACGGGGAAUAAAACCCUGAGUAUGGAAUUACUCAGCAAGUCUUACCCGACUAAAGAAAAGACUCUCAAGGGUAUGCUGGCUUAAGGGAGUCAAGGUAAGGCUUAUCAAUAAUCAAUGGCUCUGUUUGCAGAAAUGCUUACUAAAGUGGAUCCUUAAAAAUCCAAUUUUAAUUUGUCAGGUUAAGUAAGAUUACCUGCAACUAGAGUUCUUUCUACCCUAGUUCAAACACUUGACCUGCACUAGCCAAUUUCUUAACAACCCUUCAUCUUUACUGGAUAUCUACGUAUAGGUCAGUGACCAAGUCUUCAUAACCGCGAAGGUACGGCGAUCCGAAUCGAUUAUACUCGCUGAGGAUCUCCAAUCACACGAUAUAUGUAGCACAUAACCCUUGCAUAUGUCAACUCACCACCAGGGUUCUUAAGACCAGAUCAGGUUCACGCCAACCGAGAGCACAGUUACACCACCAUCCAGCCUCUUGCCACGGAGGGUACACGCUACUCUCACUAUCUCUCCACGCCCAUUGCGUGUUAUCUUAUUCUAGUAUUAGCCUGCCCGAGGCAAAGCUUACCCAUGACGAGGCAUGUGACCAGUUAAAGGGUCCUCGGUCAGCAAGCCUACAUCGGCACGGUCCUUAAUCGACUCAGGCGGAGACACUACACCGAGACUCCUUUCUCGUGCAAGUCCACCCGCCCGGUCUCAGCUUAAUUAUUUCAAACCCAAAGUUUGGUACCUGGUAGAGGUACAUCUUUUCCGAUGUUGAACCCAUCAUGGCCAUGAUGGAUCCACCAUCAAGUUUUAUUUUCAAAAACAUCCCUCCCACUUUGCCACAUCAUCUUUUUUUGUAAAAACAAAACAUUUUGUUUUGCUAGAGCAAGACUAAGCAUAGGAAAAACCUUUUUGUAAAACAGGGAUUCCAAGGAAGGUAAUCAAAUUCAAGGAAGGUAAUGCAGGAAUUGUUUUAGCACUCAACUCCUAUCACCUAAUGCAUCAGGCAAGUGAGAAAGAUUUUAAAAACAUCAAGGAGGUGGCAAAUGCACCGGGGCUUGCCUUGGUUUACAGGUGAUUCAGGCUCGGAUCCACAAAUGUCAAAAUAAAAGUAAUUUCCUGCCUGAUGUUCCGUAUGUGGUGGUGGCGAAGUCUUCUCUUCUUCUACUUCAACUUCUUCCUCGUUUUCUAGAUAUAAUCAUAUAUAUAUAUAUAUAUAUAUAAGAAUAAAUGCCCAUGUAAUGCUCAUGAGGAUGCAAGGAUAGUAAAAGUUUAUUUUCUAAAGUCUUGAGUAUAAUUUUCCUUCACGGUUCUCCGAGAACCUAGGGUUUCCAGAGUCAGUAAAGGAAUUCAAAGGGCAGGGGGUAGGGUUUUGGGCUCUAAGUAUCAAACAAGGUCCAAAUCAUACCAAAUUCUACCCAAGGCUUCUAAAUAAUGUUUUGAGCUCAUAUAAAAAGUUUGGGGAUUUUUGGAAUUAUUAUCUAUUUUCUAAAAAAUCCAGAAACAAUGUUUUAGGCUAAUUUAAAUGCUCCAAAAUUUCUUAUUGGUUCUAAAAAUCAUGAAACUACUUUUAUUAAAUACUAUGGAAAAUAAGGAACCUAGGAAAAUUGGUUUGGCAUUUUUACCAUUUUUCUACAAUUUUCUACAGAUUUCUAAAGUUUUACAGAAAAAGAAAAGGGAAAAGCUUAAACAGUACUGGGCCGAAAGUAGCCCAAACGGCCCAGCUUGCACAGGAACAGGGACGCGCCCAUGAGCGCCCGCGUGCGCGAUGACGACUUUGCGAAUAAGUCCCUGCAUUUUUUAUUAGCCCGAAGGAGUCCAAAACACUAUUUAAAACAGUCACUAACACUUUGCAGAAAUACCGUCGUACUUCGAUUUCUUCUCUAGAAACAUCCCUAGCCACGGCGCGCUCGCCGUUUGUCUUCGACGUGGUCUGUAUCGGCCAUGGCCGGCGAUGACUGCUAUGGUUAACUAUCGGGGAGGCAUAACCGAUCAAGGAUAAUCUAGGAACAUCCUUUAAUUUGACAUAAACUUCAUUGGGAACUGUCUGCCCAUGAUCAUGGCGGAAACCAGGAUCACGAGCACACGUUCCCGCCAAAUCAUGGCCGAAUUGAGCAAACUAGUGCCACAGUAAGCUUCACUAGCAUGCAGAGCCACAAAAACAACAUUCGAGAUGGAUAGAGCCUUACCCGAAUGGGCUGGCCACGGUGGCGAGGCGACCCAAUUUGGGGGAAAAGGGAGAUUCUCCGGCUAUGGUGGCUAAUCGAGGGUGGGAGCGGGUGCUUCGGCUUCGCAAUUUAGAGACGAAGAGUUGUGCUCGGUUGAUUUGAACGGAGGGGGUGAGGAUGCGGUGGAUUUAUAGGCGCAGUGAGCCACUGUCAUGGCCAUGGUGAUAACCAUCGCCGGCCUUAGCUGGUGAUCAACGGCGGCGUCGAGCGCUAUCCUUUCCUACGAGCUUGCCACGUUCCGCCGUGAUAGUAACUCGGUCAAAUCAGUGAGGGUGUGGAUGAACGAAGAGGAGCUGCGCCGAUGACCGGAUAUGGCCGGAGUGAUUAGUGGCCGCGUGGCGGCCGGAAUCAUCACGCUCCACCGCGGCGAUCUUACCGGGAUCAAGAAGAUCUUUGCGAGGAGAUGCACGCCGCGCGCCCAUCCCGACCCUGGCGCAAAUCACGACGCGGAUUGGUCGUCGGCGGCGAGGGUCUGAAGCUUAUCCUCCUGGGUACUGUACCAUGGCAAUGUUCUUCAGUGCUCCUAACAGCCAAAGUUUAGGGUGGAUUUUCUCUAAAGUUUUCAUGGCAACUCACCCAAAUCUCUGCAGCAAAGUUGUAGAUUUACAAACCAGCUACAUUUUGACUAUAGGAACUGAACUCAGUUGAGCACUAGAUCAUACAUAAUUUCAAUUCCAAAUCUCGACCAAUAACACUGAUGGUCAUUUUUCAGUUAGUAACCUGACUGACAGCCCAACUUUGGGUUUAUCUCCCAAUUCUUCAUAACAACAAUGCUUAACCCCUUAAACAAAGUUGUUCACCUUUAAUAGCUCUACAAUAUUGAUGUGGUGACCUAGGGCAAAAACCUUAUAAUUUGAAAAUUACAAAGCUCCAAAGUUGAGCCCAAACACUGAUUUUCAGACUUAGUCUUAGAACCCAAAUAGGGCCUUUUUGCCAAUAGGUCCAAAACUCAGGGUUUCAAUUGCAAAUCUUCAUAAAUGUGAACCAAAUGACUUUAUAUGCCUUAACAUCAUAGUUUUUACACAUUAGUCCAAAAGUGCACUAAUUUUGCACUUAACCCCCUAGGGUUUAAGUUUAGGUUUUUUCCAGGGUCUUUAUUAGGGUUUUUGGCAUUCCAGGGGUGUGAAUGUAACUUAGAUCCAUUCUAGUAAUAUUCUAUGAUUAAUUUACUUAAACUUUAGGGUUUUCUCUAUUUGGAUUUUGUUUUACCCUUCUGAACCUCAUUUAGGGUUAAGUGCCCUACACUAGGGUCUUAUUUGCAAAGAUACCAUAGCAAUACAACUUGUUUGAGAUUUUUGCCUAGUGAAUGCAUUCUAGGUGUAUCAAACAUAUGAAAUGAUAAUGCUGAUGAUGUUAUGCUCAAGUUUUAGUAAUAGUAACACCAGGGGUGUUAGAGUUCAUCAUCAGAAUCCAUCAACCAUUGAUUUUAGCAGCAUCAGUGAUGAGAAGGAGAUUCAUGAGGAAUCUCUAGUUCCUCUCCUCCUCCUCCUCAUCGAUCCCUCUCCAAAAGGGGUCGAGGGUCUGGCAGGAUUGAGGGGGAGGGACCCUCUAGGCCUUCCCAACCUUCUCAGGGAGGGAGGCAUAAGGUGUCUGCCUCUCGCUCUAUCCGUGGAGCAUCUUCUGCUGGGGGUAUUCAUAUUCAUUAGGAAGACGACUCUCUAGACGACUUAAUCGAUCUUCCACCUCAUGAUGAUCUUGUUGUUGGAGGCAUUAGUCUGCAUCGGGCCAAUGUGUCUCGGGGCUCUCAUGAGGACCUGACUGACUUCAGCGCGAGGGCAGUCGAUGUUCUCCUGGAGAUAAGGUUCACCAACCCCACUCUUACUCUUAAGCACCCUGGGGUUCAUGAUCCAAGGUUCUGGAAUCUCUUUCAAGUUGACUUCUACAAUUUUGUUAUUCUAUCGAAAAAGCACCUAGUCAUCAGGCAUAGAGUGAUUGAUUGGGAAGGUUGUGAACGUAUGAAUGAUGAUGAUAUGACUCGGGUUCUGAGAGCAUGCGAGCAGAAAGGGUUGAAGGAUAUCAUGACAAUGGAAUAUCCAUGGAAUGAUGAGGUUAUUGCUUAGUUCUAUGCAACUCUUUGGAUAAAGAAGGUUGAUGAGGAAGCGGAUGGGUAUGACUACCCAGUCAUGUACUUCUACCUCUAGGGAGUUUGGCACAAAGUAAGUGAAAGGGAAAUGUGUCCUUGGGACAUUUCUAUAAUUGUUUUGGUGAUUAGAUGCCCAACACAUUGGUUUGAAUUCAGAUUGCUAACUAAGUAAGAAGUGCAAAUCAGGGAGAAAGGUAUUGUUGGGGGCCUUCGGCUUCCGAAGGUCCUAAAAAACAUGAUUUGACAAUGUUUUUGGAGUGUAAUACAUGAACAGGUACCUUCGGACAUGGACCCUUCGGACAAGUCAAAAUCGCUGUAUGAAGAAACACAAGGAGAACAAAGGAUGGAAGAGAGCCGAAGCUGUGCGCAAAGAAGCUUCGGCAUGUUAGCAGAAAAGAGGAAACCGACUUAAAGAGGAAAAGAGUUAUUGUCAAAAGCAAAGGGCCUGGAUGUAAUUUUACAUGGGCUGCGACCCGUGCCUAUAAAUAGGUGAACAGUACUCCCGUACUGUUCACGCUGACUUGGCAUUCGCUUUUGCGUCACGCUUGUACUUUUGCUUUCCUUCAAGUCGAAGGUACAUUUGUAAUUUGUUAUCAUUUCUAUAAUAAUAAAAUAGAAAUGAGCUAAUAAUAAUAUUUAAGUGUUUAUAUUAUUUCUCAUACUUUAUGUGAAUUCUUCUUCAUUAUUUGUUGUACGAUGAAGGUAUGUCCUUCAUAACCUUCGUCCGAAACUCAUUAUAUCCCAAUGGGAAAUAAUGCUUCGAAGGACGAAGGACUUUAACGUUUAACAAUUCCUGUGUUGCCUUGUUCUUAAUUCAUAGCAUUUAAGGACAAGUCCCCAACAUUGGCGCCCACCUCCGGUGAACCCUUUUUGACCACCUUCGGCAAGCAUCGACCUUCGUCAUGCCGCCAAAGAAAGAUUCAGCAAUAGGGGCUGCUGCUCUGCAACCACUGGACCCGAACCAGGAGACCCUUUCUCUUCGGGAAGCCCGAAGCCAGAAGAGGAAGGCCACCAGUCCAACGCCUCAGGAGGACGAUUUGGACCAAGAAAUCAGGAACAUGGAGAUGCUGCAUCAACAAGUGCAAAGGAAGAAAGAAAAGAUGGCCCGACUAGCUGAUCUUCAAAGCAGAUAGACGAAGCCUCUGAAGAAGUUCGUCAUCUUACGCAAGAUGAGCAGAACCGGAGGCCCCAGUACAGAGAGCUUCACCAAGAGGGCUUCGUCAACGAGGAUGACUGGUAUAAGGAUUUCCAUCAUGGAAAUUUUGCUUUUGAUGAUGCUUCUCCUCUGUCAGCUGAACUGCAGGCUACACCUUGGCCCCCGUCUUAUAAACCACCCCAGCUCCCAAUGUAUGACGGACACUCAGAUCCGAAGCAAUUUCUGAUGAGCUACGAAGCAACCAUAUCUUCAUAUGGUGGCAACACUGCAGUCAUGGCGAAAUCCUUCGUCAUGGCAGUCAAAAAUGUUGCACAGACCUGGUACUCUUCUCUUCGGCCAGGAACAAUCACAUCGUGGCAAAAGCUGAAGGACAUGCUCAUCACCAGCUUUCAAGGGUUUCAGAUGAAGCCGGUCACCGCUCAAGCUUUGUUCCAGUGCACUCAGGAUCAUGAAGAAUACCUUCAGGCGUAUGUCCAAAGGUUCUUCCGACUGAGGGCGCAGGCGCCAACAGUGCCUAAUGAAAUUGUUAUUGAGGCCAUGAUUAAGGGGCUUCGGCCAGGACCUAUAGCCCAAUACUUCGCCAGGAAACCCCCUCAGACCCUGGAGAAAUUGCUUCAGAAGAUGGAUGAAUAUAUCCGAGCAGAUAAUGACUUUCGGCAAAGAAGGGAGGAAGCUUAUAGGUUCUCCGAGAUGACCAGGGGCUUCGAAGGGAGAAUCCACCCUAGGCACGUCAGAUCUAUCCAUUCUACUCAGACUGACGACAGGGGAAGUCAGCAACAAAGGCCGCAGUAUUCCUCCUAGGCUUCGGGGCAGCAACAGAACUAUCCUCGGCCCCCAGCUCCAAGGGGUAGAGGCGCAAGGGGCUUCGGAGGAAGGUUUGGGGAUCAGCCCAGGAAAAUUUACUGUCUAUUCUGUGGUGAGGACAAGGGCCGUACUACCAGGAUGUGCCAUGUCACCAUUCAAAAACAGAAAGAGAUAGCAGAAGCUGCAGCCCAACAGAGCCAACCGAAGCAGGUUAUGCAUACUGCUUCGUACCACUCACCAUACAUUCCAGAGUAUGUGGGUAACCAUCCUGCAGUUUCUGUUGCUUCGGCAAGUCAACCUCAGGCAUCUUGGCAACAGCCCCCACCUCCACCACCAAUGCAACCCGCUUAUCCCCAGAGCCAGCAGCCAGAAGGGAGUUAGCAUAAUCACCAGCAGAGAGACUUUAGGGAGCAGUCCGAAGCUCGCACAGUCAACAGUACUGUGCCAGAAUCAAAGCACAUCUACUAAGAUAUAUCCUACCUUUGAAACAGCUUUUACAUUUGUUAUCACUUACCUUCUCAAUAAAGAGCAAUCAUUGAAAACUUAGUUCUUUUGUUGUUUUAAAUUUCUUGUAAUAGCUUCGUCAUUAUCAUAAUGAAUAUACCUUCUUCAAACAUCGAUGAAGUUCUAAAGGUCUUGACGAAGGAAUGCAUUGCAAGAUAUUGUCGAAGCAACAAAAGUCGUUCUUAAGGGAACGCAUCGUAAGUUUUCUGCUCAAAAGUCGUUCCAAAGGGAAUGCAGAGCUUACAGCGAAAAAUAAAUGCUGAUACCGCCGAAAUAGAAGGCGAAGAAGCUCCUAAGGAGGCUUACAACGAAAAAUAAACGCUGAUACCGCCGAAAUAGAAGGCAAAGAAGCUCCUAAGGGAGGCUUACAGCGAAAAGUCAACGCUGAUAUACCAAAAAAUGACAAAAAGAUUGUGUGCUCCACUGGGGAAUGUGUGUAGGCCUUCGGCGCAAAUAUCAUUUUGCAUAUCAUUACAUCAUUACAUCAUGUGCAUAGCAUAGCAUCAUACAUCAUAUUGCAUCAAUGGCACAAGAAGGGGAUGCAAUAUGGACCUUCGGAAAGGUAGACAAUGUUAACCUACAAUAUUGAGCUUCAGAGAUCGUUUCGAAGAAGUGCCAAGGCACAAAAUAGGUUUUCAAGAAAUACAGCUUCGUCACUUCGAUAUGAAAAGGAGAUCCAUUGUUCACAAAGCAUAAAUGUUUUUUCGGAAACUGUAAUAUUUUUACGGAAUAUGGAUAUUCUUCACGAAGCAUGAAAAGAAGGGAAGGUUUUUUUUUCGCCGAAGGCUCAAAAACGGUAUGUACGUAAAGUUUCAUGCAUCGUAAAGAGUUGAAUCAUAAACAGCUUAUAUAUUACAUUCAAAAUUACAAAAUAUUACACAUAUUGUCCAGCAAAUAUUACAUUCCAAAUGUCUUUACAAUAACAGCUAAUCUUCUCUUAAAACUACUUAUGUAGCUUCGUUUAGUAGUUGAUCAACAACUUUAUCCAUAAUAGCUUCGGCCAUUUUUCUAAUUUCAUCAUCUCCCUUCGCUUUGGGGUUCACCAAUGGCUCGGCGGGCUCUGGGGGAGGAGAUAGUGCGGCUGUGUUACAAAGUGUAAAUAAGUCCGAAGUCAUAAAAUUACAACAUAAAGUCAAAAGUUAUUAGUCAAUACCUAUUCGCCUCUCGAGAUCCGCACUUUUCUCAGCGGCCUCUGCUACUUUUCUAGCAUCGUGAAUACCUUUUUCACUUUUCCUUAUAAUUUCUUGAGCCAUCUCCCGACCGCCAUUUUCCCAGAUGUCGGUGAAAAAUUUUCCACCGACUAAGCUUGCUUCGGCCGAGGGGUCUUUUAUAUCCUCAAUAGAUUGGGCAGCCUCGGUUUGCGCCAAGGAUUUCACAUGAUCACAGCCUCUUCUCUCCAAGAUAGUGGCAAUCCCCCUAGCACCCGAGAAGGCGCAUAUGUCCCCACGGCCACUCAAAAUUUCUUCAAAAGCUUCGGCCUCGCCGUUGAUCCAGUCGAUUGGACCUUCGGGAUCUCCCAGUACAAAGUUGCUUUCAUUCGAAAAUGUGCCCACGCUGGCGAAACUAGUCUUAAUUGUUUCCACACAUUUCAUGGAUUUUUCAUAACAUCUUUCUUUUGAAGACCGAAGUUCUGCAGUUGUUUUCUCCCAAUGAUUCUUCCAGUAAUCGCUGGCGUCUCGGUCAGCUUCGGUAGUUGAACACUUUAAUUUCGCUUCUGCCAGCUGUUUCUGAAGAUUUUCAAUUUUGCACUUCUGGGUUUCAGCUUGGGCCUUGGAAGUAGCUUCGUCUUCUUUUAUUUUGUUAAGCAAUGAAUUCAAUAUUUUAUCUUUCUCAAGACCUUCGUUCCUUAGCUCAAUCACUUCGGAACGAAGGUUAUUCAAUGCUAUGGUACAUCCCUCGUCUUCAGCGCUCUUCUGCGCUCUGAGGGCGUUGCUAAGAAUAAGGCCCUGCAAAAGGAAUGUGGUAUUAAGAAAUAAACACACAAAUUUUUAACCACGCAAAAAGUUUAUUUUCUCACCUUUAAGCUGUUGUACGCUAAGCUGUCGGCCAAUUCAUCUUUUGACAAAACUGAGAGCCCAUCCUCUAGAGUUGGGAAUCCGAAGCUUCUUGCCAUCUCCCGGCAGACAGAGAUCUCCUUGCUGUCUGGGAGACAAUACAAGAAGUCUUCUUCUCCGCUGCCAUUAAAUAUCAACGCCCCUUUCGGAUAUUUUAAUUUCUGGGCAUAAUGAUGAGCUUCUUGCUUUUCCUCUUCAGAUAGCAUUUUGCCCGAAGCGUGUCGUACAAUAUAAUCAGGCAAUUUGGAAAAUGCUUCGGGAGUUGAAGAAAGAGUUUUUUCAGACAAAAUUUGCUUUAAAGUUUCCUUUGUAUUUUCUCCUUCGGUUUCCAAGGAUUUCUCCUUGGCAGACUCUGAAGGUCCAGUUUCGAUUUCAGCCUGGUGUUUUGUAGUUUCGGCUCCAGAGGUUGUUGCUUCAAUUUGUGCUUUUUGAGCUUCGACAACUUUUUUAGGAGUAGAGCUGGAAGACUUUAUUGUCUCCAGUACAUCCAAAACAUUAACCAUCCUUUUCCUUUUGGGGGUCACAGCUGGACCUUUUUGAGUUUGUGGCACUCCAACUUCUGCCGAAGGGCUUAAAAUUUCUGAUAUUUUUGUCCCUUUAGUUUUCGGUUCUUCAAUUCUUUCAGCCUUCGGUAUUGCAGUUAGCUCUUCAGCUUUCUACGCAGGUAUAGGUUUUUUGGCUUCAGUGGCCGAAGUAGCCUCGCCGACAAAUUCGGGCACUGUGGCCGGCUCAAUGUAGCGUGGCCGGUGGGUAAGAACCUUCACCUUUUUUCUCUUCGGCGUUGGCUCACUAGGAGCGACCUAAGCAACUUCCUUCACAGGAACUGUACCUUUUCUUUUUUGACCCCGUAACGGGUAACAGUAGUCAGGAUAGACGAAUCCAAUAGCAUCAAAAACUCUGUUCAGCCUCUUCUUUUUCCGACCUCCGAAGGCCGCUGAUAGCGCAUUAUCUUCCGUCUUGGAGUAUGGCCCAAGCAGUUCAUCGCUUGUGGCUUCAAUACAUUUCAGCCAGUCAUCAUCUGGCUCAACAAACUUACCCUCGUAUCUGAAGGUGAACUUCAUCCUAACCAGCCCACCUUCGUCAGGCUUGGUGAUAGUUUCUUUUGGCAUUUCCCACUUUUCUACAAGUGGCCAAACUCUAAAGGCUAUGUGCUCUUGGACUAAAUCCCUCGUUCUGAUGAAAGAGCAGACUACGCCGAAGGCCCUCUGGCAUUCUUCGACUGCCUCGUCAACAUUCACCUUCGGCUUCCGGAGGCCGAAGCGCUGCCAGAUAGGGCGCAUAAUGAUAUCUUUACUACCUUCUCGUGCCUUCAAAUCGUUUUUUACAUAGAACCAUUCCUGCAUCCAAUCUCCAGGCCAUCUCUUCCGAAAAGUCGGCACGGGACAGCUUGACCCAGAGCGAGCACCGAAGCUGUAACAACCAAAAUUGUUAUGAUAUUGCUCUUUACCCCAGGGCUUCGUCUCAUAUACUAGCUCAUGUAUAUUACAAAAGCUUUUUGCAUUUGGCUCCAAGCCCUGGCUCUUCAUGACCCAGACAAAGAUUCCCAUUCUUAUGAUUGCUUCGGGCGUAAUUUGAUGAAGGUAGACUUGAUAAAUCUUUAAAACCUCAACCACAAAUUUGCUUAAUGGAAACCGAAGCCCAGCUUUAAAAAAGCUUCGGAAGAUCACGACUUCAUUAUCUUCGGGAGUUGGCACAGUCCUCUCUCCGUCAUCUGCCCUCACAAUUGACAUGUCUCGAAAGUAUCUCCCCCUCAUGUUAUCAAGAUGACUUUGUUUAAUACUCGAUUUUCCGAAGACUGAGUGGCUUGGUCGCCAUGGUCGGUCUUCGAAGUCUUCACCUCCGCUUUCCACAUCAUAACUAUCACUAUCACCAGUAUCUUCAGAUAAACCUUCCAAAAUCUCCCUUGUAAUCUUCUCUGUAUUUGUCUUUGAUAUUGAUUCAAUAAAGCCAAGAUUCUUCUCCUCAGAGAGGCUCAGCUUCAUUUCAGCAAUGGCUUUUUUAUCUUCAGACAUCUUCGGAAAUGCUAAAAAACUGCUUUCAAAGCCGAAGCUCAAAAAAAACUUAAAAAGCCAAGCAAGUCUUGGUGCACAAAGAGCUAAAAACUGAGUAAGCAAGAGCAGAUGGCGAGAAAGCGUACCAAAUGACAUCACGGUCGUGACAUAUUUAUACGCCCAGGGCAUUGCAAGUGGGGGGGGGUCCCGCUUGCCAUUGACUGUUGCUAUUCUAGCAAAAGGAAGGUGUUUUUUCGGACAUUCAGCUUUGGGCCUUCGUCCAUAUCGCAAUUUCAAUUUAUUAUCCUAAUAAAUUAAUAUUGCGAGGGGCUACUAUUGGGGGCCUUCGGCUUCCGAAGGUCCUCAAAAACGUGAUUUGACAAUGUUUCUGGAGUGUAAUACAUGAACAGGUACCUUCGGACAUGGACCCUUCGGACAAGUCAAAAUCGCUGUAUGAAGAAACACAAGGAGAACGAAGGAUGGAACAGAGCCGAAGCUGUGCGCAAAGAAGCUUCGGCAUGUUGGCAGAAAAGAGGAAACCGACUUAAAGAGGAAAAGACUAUCUAGACCCCGAUAAAUUACUAUAGAGUUAUUGUCAAAAGCAAAGGGCCUGGAUGUAAUUUUACAUGGGCUGCGACCCGUGCCUAUAAAUAGGUGAACAGUACCCCCGUAAUGUUCACGCUGACUUGGCAUUCGCUUUUGCGUCACACUUGUACUUUUGCUUUCCUUCAAGCUGAAGGUACAUUUGUAAUUUGUUAUCAUUUCUAUAAUAAUAAAAUAGAAAUGAGCUAAUAAUAAUAUUUAAGUGUUUAUAUUAUUUCUCAUACUUUAUGUGAAUUCUUCUUCAUUAUUUGUUGUACUGAUGAAGGUAUGUCCUUCAUAACCUUCGUCUGAAACUCAUUAUAUCCCAAGGGAAAUAAUGCUUCGAAGGACGAAGGACUUUAACGUUUAACAAUUCAUGUGUUGUCUUGUUCUUAAUUCAUAGCAUUUAAGGACAAGUCCCCAACAGGUAUGUCUCUGGAGUUAGUUAAUUGUUUUUGGUUACUAACAUGUUUAUCUAAGUGCUAGAUACAUAUACGAGAAACAAGAAAAAGGAUGGAAGAAGAGUUGGCUAAAUCAGCCAAACCAGCGCAGUCUGUGGUGCACCGGACUGUCCGGUGCCCUAGGCUGGCUCGGCGGCAAACUAGCCGCUCUCGGGAAUCGACACGACGACGUGGCUGUAAAUCACCGGACUGUCUGGUGGUACACCGGACUGUCCGGUGAGUCAUCAACGCCCGCACCCAAGUCUUCGGCGACGAACUCGUCGCUCUCGGGAAAAGGUGGAAGCGCCGCGGCUAAAAUUCACCGGACUGUCCGGUGCUGCACCGGACUGUUCGGUGAGCCAACAACGCUCACGGCUAACGAUCGCCUGCUUGAUCACCGGGCGAUACGUGGCUUAGCCAACGGUCGGAUGGUCGCACCGGACUAUCCGAUGCGCACCGGACAGUGUCUGGUGUGCCAUCAGAUCCAAAGAUCCAACGGUCGGCUUCGCCAGAAAAGGAAAGAGAUCGCGCACCGGACUGCUGUAGUAGCUAUCCGAUGGUGCACCGUACUGUCCGGUGCACCACUCGACAGAAGGCAAGAAUUGCCUUCCAAGUUGAUCUCCAACGGCUCCUAGCUACCUUGGGGCUAUAAAAGGGACCCCUAGGUGCAUGGAGCAGAACACCAAACAUUCACUAAGCAUCCUAAGACUCCCAUACUCUGCCUCCACGCAUUUGAUUGAUUGUGUUAGUGAUUUGAACUCCGUUUGAGUAGUGAACUCUUUGUGCCAUGUUUUGAGCUCAAGUCUUGGCUUGUGUGCGUGUGUGUGCUACGUAUUGAAUCUUGUGUGCGUUGCUUUCCCUCCCUUACUCUUGUGCUUCUUGUGAUCAAAACCUUGUAAGGGCGAGAUGCUCCAACUUGUGGAGGUUCCUUGCAAACGGGAAAAGAUCUCAAAAGGAAAAGACCAUGGUAUUCAAGUCGAUCAUUGGAUCACUUGAAAGGGGUUGAGUGCAACCCUCGUCCAUUGGGACGCCACAACGUGGAAGUAGGCAAGUGUUAUUUGGCCGAACCAUGGGAAAAAACCUCUUGUCUCUUGUGUUGCUUUUUCUGUGAUUGUGUUGUUCGCAAGAGCUCGCUUCAUAAUAACUUGGUUAAAAUCACACUAACACUUUCAUAAUCAAGUUUGUGGCUAUUUAGUGUUUGAUUUUACAAGAUCACCUAUUCACCCCCCUCUAGGUGCUCUCAGUAAGUUAUUGUCGUUUUGCUCAUAUCAUGGGUUUGUCCGACGAGGACAUCAGAGGGAGGAACCUUUGGGUUCAUGAUAUUCGUCUGCAUAGGCGUGAAGAGCAGGAAGUGGUGCACAUCUCAAAUGAGAGGGAAUACUGGACUACUUCUAACAUGUAUAGGUACUAUUGGUACCUCAACUCAUUAUUCAGGAUGACAAUCCUUCCUAAGGGCGGCAACCAGAUGAAUGUCCUUGGGAAGAGUCGAGUCCUUCUCAUGCUUAUGACUCCUACCAGCACUGACAAGAUCAAUGUUUUUUAUAUGAUCUGGGAAGAGAUUAUUCGAGCAUCUUGGUUUUCACUGAAGGGUUGUCUUCAUGCACCCUUCAUCAUGAAGAUGAUCAAAGUAGUCACCCAGGUUCGCUAUGAGAAGCUAGUCAAGCAUUCCUGCUAUAUUCCUUACUGGGUUAAUUCUAGCAAUCCAACAGCAAGGUCUAAGUGGGCUCCAACUGGGUCAGGAGGUCCUGCAUCUUCUGAUGAGCCACCACCUCAGCCUCCUCUUCUUGAGACCUCCUCUCGUGUUGCUGCCGCCUCUCAUUCGAUGGACUGCGGCGGUCGAGGAACAGGUCAGGGCAGGGGUCGGGGAUGAGGUUUGUUUGUGCGUCUGGCCAAGGGAAUCGCCAUGGUUUUUGUCAGGUGCCGCAACUGUGCUGUUGAUGAGGCUAUGCACCGACGUGAGACCCGGGCGCUUCAUGAUGAUAUGCGAAGCUUUGUAGCCUCCAUGGGACAUCCCAUGCCACAACAACCUCCUCUUGUUCCAAUUCCUGCAUAUCUAGAAAUCUCAAUGAAUGGCACGAGCGAGAAUAAGGUGUGUCGUUUAUUACUCCGAAAGCUGAGGCAAAGGACUACGAUGACUCAUCUUACUUUCAGUCUACUCCUGCUGCCGCAAUAGGACCCAUUCUAGGUGAUCCCAAACCCUCUGGCUCUGCUCAUCCUCCACCUUAUCAGGGUCCUUCUUCAUCGGCCUAUCCUCCUUCUGAUGACCCUCCUCAAGACUUGUCAUAUGAAGAAGAGAUGGCCCAUACCUUCUUUGCGGAUUAUCCUCCCUAAACUCCUUCACCAGGUCCCUAUGGUGGUAGUGACCCUAGUGGCUGGUGAAUCUACGCGUCUCGAUGAAGACAAAGAUUGAAGCCCGUAGUUGAUUGACCGUCGUGUGGCUUUCUGUAUUUCUUUUAUGUAAUAUAAAUUUAUGUACUAAACUCCCAAACUCCUGGUUUGUAAUGAGUACUUUAUGUUGAGUUAUGAUGGUCAUCGGGCCCUAGACAUCAUUUUAUAAUAUCAUCUAUUAUAGUAGCUAGAUGAACAUCUGUGAUGCUUGAUUCUGCUAUUUGCUAUUGUUAGCUUCUCCUUUAUGAUGUGUGAUGAGAUUAAUAAAAUUGUUGUCAUGUGAAUCAAAUUUUUUUAUAUGACACUAUUUGCACCCCUCGAAUAAUUGUAUAUAGUGUGGACUUGUCCACUUACUCCAAAUAUGUUGCAAGCUUGACAUGUUAAGUCAACAUUGUAAUUCAAAGCGAAUGCACACAUUUAGGGGGAGCCACAUAUGUACAAUUAUCCAAAAGAGUUUAAUUGCUUCAAAUCUUUAUCUUCUUCGACCUUAUAUGUUUUGGCAUCAAUCACCAAAAGGGGGAGAUUGUAAGUGCAAUCAACCCCAAUUGAUGGUUUUGGUGAUUAAAUGACAAAACAAAUAAGGUUACUAACAAGUUUACUCAUAGUGUAUAUUCAAUGUCAGUAAAGAUAAAAGGAGUAACAACUUUAAUUGAGAAAGGAAAAAGGAAGUAUCAAGGACAAAGGAAAUACAUCAAGUGGUGCAUUGAAAAGUUUCCAUGCGACGAUCGUGUAAAACUUUGUAUAUUUCUUGAGUCACAGGAUUUAUUUCUUCCUUGGUAGUUUUUGCAUAGGUAAUGGUGUUUGCUAUUGCUCAAGCCUCUAAAUUCAAAAGCUAUUUUGAAAACCAAAUUUUUUGGACACUCUAUGAGUUCGACUAAUGUUAGGUUUGAGAGACGUAGAGUCUUCCUAUUGAGAAGCAAUUGAACUUUCUUUCCGAAAAGUUCAACUUGACUUCAGCUGAGUUGAACUUAACUUCAGGUGAGUUGAAUUUUUAUUCAGCUGAGUUGAACUUGACUUCAACUAAAUUGAACUUAACUUCAGCUGAGUUGAACUUAACUUCAGCUGAGUUGAGCUUUUCUUCAGCUGAGUUGAACUUGACUUUAGCUGAGUUGAACUUGACUUCAGCUGAAUUGAACUUAAAUUCGGCUGAGUUGAGCUUUUUUCAGCUGAGUUGAACUUUUCUUUAGCUGAGUUGAACUUUUCUUCAGCUGAGUUGAACUUUAUUUCAACUAAGAAACUCUCUGGUCAAAACCAGUUGAACCUGCCUCACGGAUAGUUUAACUUGGGUUUUCUCUCCAAACCUCUCUGGUCAAUACCAGUUGAACUGGCAAUAGGGGUGGUUCAACCGGUGUUAGGGUCAGUUGACCACUCUGACUUCCUGUCUGCUAGUCUGACUGGCAGACUGAUUGUCAGGCUGACCACUAGGCGUUGAAUCGGCCCUAGGGGCAGUUCAACCGGUCCUAGACCAUUUGACUACAGUCAAACUACCCAUUUUUGAACUAGGCCCAAGCCAGUUCAACUGGGGUUGCGGGGCAGUUCAACCGGCACUGCACAGAAAAGUUCAGCCCAACAGCUUUUUUGAGGAGACUCUAUAAAUACCCCCACAUACCUAUCUCUUCAUUUGCCUUGGUCACUCCCCACACUUAUUGCUCACCUAACUUGAGAUAAAGCAUUCUCCCUCUCUCUCUCACACACACACACACGAUCUAGCUCUUAAAUCGAUCGAUUGAAGGAGCCCCUUUGGUGUGAGGUUUGUGCUUGUGACCUUCGAAUUUGGUUUUCUCUCCCUUCUCUUUCUCAUCUCUUGAGCUUGUUGCAAACACCUCUUGUGCGAACUUGUUGUUCUUGGAACCUUUGAGUUCCUUGACGGAUUGAGGUUUCUUGGGAGUUCCAAAGUUGUGGACGGCCCUAAGAAGUUUGUAUCACCCGCUCCUAUGAGCAGAUUUGAGAAAAGAUUUCCCUUGACCUUUGUGGUCCGGUUGUGGAGGAUUAGGGUUGGAAAAGACCCGACUUUGUGGGCUCCUCAACGAGGAGUAGGACACCUUUGUGGUGUGGCCGAACCUCGGGAUAAAUCUUAUGUCUUGUGCUCUUGCUUGGAUCUGUGGUUGUGUUUUUCUAGUUGGCAAGAUAGGCACAUAGAGUUGUUCUUUGUGUGGAUCUCGUGGUGGACUAACUCUUGUAUUUCUCACCAUCCACACCUAGUUUAUCCCUUGUGUUCCCCUUUUAAAGGAAUCUCUCAUUGCAUUUCCGUGUAGUUCGAAGCCUAGAUUUACUCUAGCAGUUGGACUGAUUUAUAGUGGUUCGACUCGCCUCUAUAGCAGUUGAACGAGCCUGCACCAUUUGAACUAUUGAUUUGACAAUAUCUCAAAGCUUGUGGUGAUAAUUUUCAGGUUUAGCCUAUUCACCCCCCCUCUGGGCUAUUUUAAGGCGCAAUAAGUCGGACGAGUUAAGUUGGACGAGUUAAACCGGACGAGUUAAGCCGGACGAGCUAAAUCAAACAGAAAACACGUUUCUAUGCGGAAUCAGCCGAGAGAGAUCAGUCGAGACACAAGAAAUUGAACAGAACAAGGAACUCAAUACCAGCAAUCAAACUUCAAAUGUAGGUUGAGAUCAACAGAAACUCAAUACUUAAGGUAGAUAAAACCAACAACUUUAUUCAUAUGAUUGGAAGUACCAUUACUGAGAAAAGGGCUAGUUCAUUAUGAACCGACCCCAGUAAAAUACCCCUUCUACUACUACAUGUGAUGUUACUUCUGCUACUACUCCUACAUUCUACUACACUACACUAUAUUAAUAUUUAAGCCAGUGGCGCCUUGCCACCGGUGUUGUCGCCCUUGCUGUAGUCGUUGCCGCCGCCACUAUCCAUGUCGUCGUCGUCGCCACUGCCUUUGCCGCUGUUGCUGCCCUUGCCGCUGCUAUUGCGUCCACCGCUGCCGACACUUCUCUUGUUUCUGCCACCGCCACUGUCGACCUUGUCAUCCUCGCCUGCCUCAUUGCCACCAUCGUAGCCGCCCUCAUUCGCUCCACCGCCGUCCUCCUUCUCCUCAUCGAAGUCAUCCGAGCCUGAAGGAAAUAGGUGACUCCUAUGAGGGGGUGAAUUAGAACUUCUAAAACUUUCUCUAAACUAGGCCACAAUUAAAUCCCUAGAGCAAAACCUAUGCAAUUAAACAAUGUUCAUGUACAUAUGUUAUGAAAUAAACUUAUGAAUGAAUGACAUAUAUUAUCUCCAUAAAUUCUUAUUCUCAUAAAAUGAUGAAGGUCUGUCCUUCAUGACCUUCAUCUGAAGAUCAUUAUAUCCGGAAGGAUAUAAUGCUUCGGAGGACGAAGGCACUUAAUCUUUAACAAUUGUGUUGCCUUGUUCUUAAUUCACAGCAUUUGAGAACAACUGACCAACAUUGGCGCCCACCUCCGGUGAACUCAAACUACCACCUUCGACACCAGGAGCUUAAGCAACCACCUUCGUCAUGCCACCGAAGAAGGCAAUAGCGCUAGGGGCUGCCCUUGCACCGCUAGACAUCAACCAAGAAGGUCUCCCUCUAAGAGAAGCCUGAAACCAGAAAAGGAAGGCCAUCAGCCCAACACCACAAGAAGAGGAGCUAGGCCAAGAGAUCAGAGACCUAGAGGCGAUCCACCAACAAGUGGAGAGAAAGAGAGGGAAAAUGCUUUGGCUAGCUGAACUUCAGAAGAAGAUUGAUGAAGCUGCCGAAGAGAUGCGCCAUAUCACGCAAGACGAGCAAGGACAAAGGGCACAACAGAGAGAGCUUCGUCAAGAAAGCCCAAGCUAUGAUGAUGUAUGGCAUGAUGAUUUCCAUCAUGGUAACUUUGCUUUUGAUGAUGCUUCUCCUCUAGCAGCAGAGUUGCAGGCUAUCGCAUGGCCACCAUCGUACAAACCACCAGAACUCCCCAUGUAUGAUGGGCAUUCCAACCUGAUGCAGUUCCUUAUGAGCUACGAGGCGACCAUAUCAUCAUAUGGUGGCAACUCUGCUGUCAUGGCGAAGUCCUUUGUCAUGGCAGUCAGGAGUGUGGCUCAAACAUGGUAUUCUUCCCUUCGGCUGGGAACAAUCACGUCAUGACAGAAGCUGAAGGACAUACUGGUAAUCGACUUCUAGGGUUUCCAGACAAAGCCAGUGAUUGCUCAAGAUCUAUUCCAAUGCACACAGGAUCAUGACGAAUACCUGCAGACGUAUGUCCGAAGGUUUCUGCGUCUCAGAGCUCAGGCGCCAACGAUGCCAAAUGAGAUUGUUAUUGAGGCUAUGAUCAAGGGGCUCCGACCAGGACCAACAGCGCAGUAUUUCGCCAGGAAGCCCCCACAAACUUUGGAGAAGCUUAUGCAGAAUAUGGACGAGUACAUCAGGGUCGACAAUGACUUUCGGUAGAGAAGGGAAGAAGCCUAUAGAUACUCCGAGAUGACCAGGGGCUUCGGAGGAAGACUCCACUCUAGGCAUGUCAAGAUGAUCCAUAAUCCUAGCUCCAACGACGAUAGAGGAAAUGAAACUCAAGGGCAUCAGCACAGCUCCCAAUCUUCAGGGACACAACAAAGCUCUUUCAAGCCACCAGCUCCAAGAGGCAGAGGAGGUAGAAGCUUUGCUGGAAGAUUCAGCUCCCAACCAAGAAGGUUGUUUUGCCUAUUCUGUCGGGAAGAUAAAUGGCAUACAACAAGGACAUGCCAAGUCACGAUUCAGAAGCAGAAGGAAAUAGCUGAAGCUGAAGCAUGACAGAAUCAACCGAAGCAGGUCCUGCAUACUGCUUCGUGCUAUUCCCCAUAUAUCCCCAAGUAUGUGGGCAACCAACAACCCACAACAUCAGUUGCUUCGGCAAGCCACUCACAAGCUACAUGGGCCUCGCUACCACCACCACCACUCAUGGCUCCAACCUCGUCUCAUAACCAACAGCCAGAAGGGCACCGCCAGGUACAACAACAACGUGAUGCACGCAAAGAGUCUAAAGCUCGGAUAGUCAACAACACCGUAGCAGAGUCGAGGCACAUUUACUGAAGCAAUACAGGGGCUCAAUAAAAAAAUUCAUACAUACUCAAUGUAAUCUUUGUUUCUCUUGCUUUUAUGAUUUUACCCAAAGACAAUAUAAGAAGGUACAACAUUCGACCUGUUGUAAUCAAUCUGGGGUUACACCAUCGAGUGUAACAGAAAAAGUCACUAAGCUCCAAAGUCGUUCCUAAGGGGAUGUAGAGCUUAGCUCCAAAGUCGUUCCUACGGGGAUGCAGAGCUAAAAUGCCACCUAAGUAAAAGGUGAAGAAGAUCCAAAGUCGUUCCAAAGGGGUUACAGAGCUUAGCUAUCACACCUGGUUCUGGAAGGCAAACCGAAUGCGAACCAUGUACGUGCCAGGAUCAGAAACUCACGUACACAGCGAUUACAUAAUUGGUCAUCAUCACACAUUGCUCAAAGUAAAUAGCGGAAAGGUACUAUUGGAGACUUGUUCUCAAAUGCUAUGAAUUAAGAACAAGGCAACACAAAGAAUAGGUUAAAGGUUAAUGUUCUUCGUCCUUCGAAGCAUUAUUUUCCUUAGGAUAUAACGAUCUUCGGACGAAGGUUAUGAAGGUCAUACCUUCAUAAGUAUGACAUGUAUAAACAGAGGAUGAAGCUUAUGAAACAUAGGAAAACAACAUAAACAAUUAUAUGACAUUAUAAUGUAAAUAUCUAUUAUUAAAUAAUCAUGAGUACAUGAGGGGAAUAUCAAAUUACAUUUGUACCUUGAGCUUGACAGAAGGCAGAGGUAAAAGUAAGACGCGAAAGCGUGAACAGUGCGGGGGUACUGUUCACCUAUUUAUAGGCACAGGGCGCAGCCUGUGUGAAUUUACAUUCAUGCCCUCUACAAAUGAUUACAAUCAUAACACAGGUUAUCACGGGCCGAUUGGUCAUUUCAUCUUUAAGUCGGUGCUACCCUUCGUCUUAAGGCAUGUCGUUAUGCCGAAGCUCCCCGGAAGGUAGCUUCAGCUUUGCUUCUGUGUUGAUCUUCUGAAGGUGUUUAUUCUUAUGGAACCUUCGGCGACGAAGCAGACCCCCAACAGUAGCCCCUUCACGGUGCCAGAUCGUUUUUCGUAACGAGCUCGACCCGUGAAAAAUUCUCUUAGGCUUCGGAAUGCCGAAGGUCCGAAAAACACCUUCCCUGAGCUCAUUGUCGAGAAACGAUAUAAAUAUUUCGAUUGUAAAGUGGUCCCACCAUACGAUAGGUAUGCACGAUCUGGUGAUUCGCCUUCUCGCGCACUAUGGUCCACCGUUCAGUGGGUGCGGGCGACUGUUCAGUGGGUGCGAGCGGCUUGACGAUUUACCUUCCCACCUGCAGCGAUAUAUAAACAGACGGGUAGGUGUGAAGUUACCACGACAUUUACUACUAUUGCACUGUUGUGCUGCCGAAAAAUUUGACCAUAGCCGAAGCUUAUUCACCGUAUUCUCAAUCAAAGCAUCGUUUUGCUCUAGCUUUGUCAUAAGAGGGAGCUUCGGCAAAGAUACAAAAAGUCAUCAACUUCGUCAAAACCGUGAGGAGUUCAAUAUCAAAUGGCCAGAGUGCGUUCAAUAGCUAAGAUUACACGCGACGGAGAGGAGGCCGAAGCUGCUAAGACUACCCCAAUCUUCGAAGUAAUGAGACAGUCGGGACUGGUUGUGAUAGAGGGUGCUUCUGAAGAAGGUGCACCUGCUGCCGAAGCCGAGCAAGCUGACAUUGAAGAAGGUGAGGCUGAUGAAGAAGAGAUAGAUUAUUCCGUCAUGCCAUCUAAACCCAGCCACCUGGAAUUUGGAAAGUCUACUGUCUCCGAGGCCGAUAUGCCCAUGAUGACAAAGCUAGGCUACUUCGGGGAAGCCGAGAAGAAGCUAAUUCGUUUUGGCGGAGAAGAAAUCACUCCGAAGCCAGAAAAUGAUGAGGUGGUAGUUUUUAGAAGUUUCUUUAAAGCAGGAUUGAGGUUUCCUCUACAUGGAAUGAUUGCGGAUGCUUUGGAAAAUUUUGAAAUUUAUCUUCAUUAGCUGACUCCUAACGCUAUCGUUAGGCUCAUCAUCUUUAUCUGGGCUCUCCGAAGCCAAGGAGUGGAACCGCUUGCCGAAGCUUUCUGCCGGGUGCACGAGCUUCACUAUCAGACGAAGGCUAGGGAAGAUGGGCUACACGAGAACUUCGGCUGUUACAACUUUGCUUACCGCAAAGAUAUGAAGACUCUGGUGGUUAGCUACCGCACCAAAUGGCCAACCGGUUGGAAAACUGAGUGGUUUUAUGUUAAGGUUGAUGAUAAAAAGGAGAAGCUGGUUCAGAGCCCACUGGACCUAACCUUCGGGUUAACUAGGCCCCAGUGCUGCAUGACUCCGAGGUCAUCAUGCCCAGGUGCUGUGGGCGAAUUUAGAGUUGUGUCUGAGCAUAUCGGUACUAGGGAUUUGGUUCGAGAAUACUUAGCCAAUAGAGUAUUCCCAACGUUAAAGGAAUGGAGUAUGUCGAAGCUUAAAGGAGAGAAGAAAAAGAAUGAACUUGUUCGACUGCCCUAUCAUUUUAAGUUCAUGAGACACUUCAAAGAACCCUGCCAAGAAUGGUUGGAUACGAUUGAAGCUAUGUGCAAUGAAAUCUUGGGCAAUUAUACGAGGAAAGAAAAUCAAUUGAUGACGGCAGCCUUCGGCACUCGACCGAAACAAAGGCUGAACCGAGUAAUGGAUGCUCUGAAAUUUGAAUACCCAGACUAUGAACGGCUAAGCAAAGGUGCCGAAGGGCCAAAACAAAAAAGAGUUGUCAGUGUUAUGCAAAGACAAGCUGCCAGAAUGAUAAAAGAAGAUGAAAAUUUAGCAAAAAAGAAAAAAUCCAGUCCUGAGUCGAAGGUGGCCGUUUUGAAGAAAAGAAAAGUUACAGCUCCGAAGCCAAAAGCUGAUUUAGAAGAAGAAAUUCCCUCAACACAUUCUGCUACUGACGCAGAAGAAAUUUUAAAGGUAAUGACCGAAUCCCUACCUAAUAAGCUAAGUCCGCUGGGAUCGGAACUGAUGAAGCUUUUAUAGAAGAAGAAGGAGCCUUCGGUUGCCGAGAAGCCCGCUGAACCAAAAAAGCGAAGGAUUAUUACUGUCAUUGAGGCUAUUGAAGAAACACCACCGUUGGCCUCAGCGCUGAAAACAGCAGCAGCCGAAGCUGCCCCUGCCGAAGCUUCUACUUCCGAAGCUGCAGCAGCCGAAGCCACAAAUUUGGAAAACACACUUUCUGACAUUGAUGAAAUGAUUUUGAAUAUGGCUGAGGAAGAAACUGCUGCAGCUGUUGAGGAAACCCCGGCUGCAGUGCCUGAAAAAAGGGAGAAGAUGCCUGGAAAAGAGAAGGAGCCUGCCGAAGAUUCUUUGGAAGAAAGAGAUUUCAACUUUCAAAACAUAAUUGGGCAAGAGUUGUCUAAGGCUGAAAAAGAAGAGCUGAGGGACUAUGCUAUAUCUUGCGGGUACCAGCCAGGGGCGCUGCUCUUCGGUGGUAUAGACGAAGAGAGCUUAGGUUGCCUUCGAGACCGGACUGGGGCUAAAGUUGUUAGCACUUUAUCAAAAAGUGUUGGUUUCCCGAAGCUCGAAGCCGAUCUCAGCAGAUACCGACGGCAGCAUAUCGCCGGUAGCUUGUUUUAUUCUAACUUUAAGGUAAAAUUCUUCCCUUAACUUUUUUAUUGUUUUGAUAUGAAGAUGUUUUCUGAUGAAGGUUAUUUUGUCAGAGCCUACUACUAAGCAAAACCUUGAGAAUGCAACAAGACCUCGAGGAAAAGAAAAAUGAAGUUAUAAUUGAUGGCUUAGAGAACAAGAUUAAAGAUCAUGAAGCUGCCCUAGAAAAGAAAAACUUUGUGCUUCAAACAAUGGAAGGUUCACUGGCAGAAGCUCAAGCCGAGAUCGCCAGAUUGAACAGUGAACUUUCCAUGAAGUCAAAAAGCUUUGAGCAAGAGAAGAAAGAUUUCGAAACAAAACUCAAAGCUGAAGUUGAAAAAACUUCAAAUCUGCAGAAAUCGCUUAAAGAUCUUCAAGAAAUAUGUUUAGGCUUCGGCACCCGGUGCAUUCAACGGCUGAAGCAGGUCUUCAAGUCAGUUGGAGCCAGUUCCGAAAAGUUUAAACCUUCGGUUGAAGACCUGUCGGGCACAUUUGAUCAUAUUGAAGGUGAAGUUGAUGCUCUCGACGAAGUUAUAGCUGGACAUGGUGACUUUUGUGCUCUGCUAGCUUCUCGAGGCACAGUUGUUGCUUUCAUGAAGGCUGGUUGUACACAUGGAAACAUUGUAAAAAGACCAAACUUCAGCCUGUCACCAACAGACUUGGAUGACAUCCCCGGCCUGGCCCGAAGCAUCGGAAAUAGAUUCGUUACUCAAAUCUAGGCAAAGGGCGGGCAAAACUUGGCUGGUGAUGAAGCUCGAAGCCACCUCAAGCCGGUAAUAAACUUGUGCCUGCUGCUUUACCUUCUCCUUGAAAUUUGCACAUUCCUUAUACUGCUUUGAUAUGUACAGGAUGACAAAGCCGAGAAGCAAUGAGCCGAAGCUUGGCAGAUGAUCUGAAGCUUAGCGAAUGAUGAUGAAGCCGAAAACCUUGCUGUGAAAAAAUUCUAGAAAAACUCUUGUAUUAUCCUUGUAAAGAAUAUUGUAAUUUAAGAAUCAGAUACUAUUCUGUAAAUUUGUUCAUACCUUGUAAUAUAUUUUUACCUUUCCGUCCAUGUAUGAACUGCUUUGAUGUGGAUGAAACUGUCUGUAUCUGCUUCCUUUCCUUUCGCCGAAGCCUUAUCCUUAGAGCCAAAGCAAUUGUCUGUAUCUGUAUGAUAUGAUGAUGAUGAUCCUAUGUAUGUCUAAAUGAAUGUUUAUCAAUGCAAUAAAUGAUGUGAUGUAUUGUGUAAAUGAAUGUCCAGACACACGCUUACGAAGCCACAUCAAAACUCCUCAUUCCCUUAGGAAUGACUGAAAUCUCUUUGCUGCUUAUUUUUCGGCUUCACCGCUUAUUUUUAGGUGUAAGUUCUGCAUCCCCUUAGGAACGUCUUUUGAACUUCUUCGCCUUCUAUUUCGGUGGUAUUUUUUGCGUUGACUUUUCGCGCUUCGCCUUAUAUUUCGGCGGUAUUUGGCUCUGCAUUCCCUUAGGAACGACUUUUGAGCAGAAAACUUACGUUGCGCUCCCUUGGGAACGACUUUUUUGUAGCUUCGUCGUGUUCUGUAUCCCCUUAGGGACGACUUUCGAGCUUCUCCCUGUUUCUUUUCUCUCUCUGCACUCAAUGGUGCAUGCUCAGAUUUUACAUUUUACAUGGUUUGGGGGAUCUUACUCUCGUAGAGCUGAAUAAGAGAAGGAAAAUUACAUGCUAUGGCCCCAUUAAAAACCUUUCUCCCCCUUUAGAAAGGAAAAGGGUGCCAUAGGAAAAAAUAAAGAAGUUUACAUCAAGUUACCCAUAGUAUCGUCGAAGCUCAUCCGCAUUCCAAGAUCUAGGAAUGUCGUUGCCGUCCAUAUCCUUUAAUUUGUAAGAACUGGGUCUUGACGAAGAUACUACCAGAAAGGUUCCUUUCCACUUCAGCUGAAGCUUGCCUACUGUGUCGGGGUUGGCUACUCUCCGAUGCACAAGAUGUCCUGGCUUAAUGUUUUUCAACCGAACUUUUCUAUCACGCCAUUUUAUUGUUUCGGUUUGAUAUUUGUUGAUAUUUUCCACAGUCUGAAGUCUGGUCCCUUCUAUAGUAUCUUUUGCCAUAGAAUAAUUAGCUUCGUCUUCUACCGAAGCUACUGUUCUUAUUGACCCCGCUUUAGCCUCUUCGGGGGUUAUAGCUUCGUCACCGAACAAUAACUUGAAUGGUGUAAAACCUGUUGACCUUGAUAUAGUUGUAUUGUGGCUCCACACCACUUUAACCAACUCAUCUGGUCACUUUCCUCUGGGCUGAUUGAAGAUUAACUUCAUUAUUCCCGUCAUUAUAAUACCAUUCGCCCUUUCAACUAGUCUGUUUGAUUUUGGGUGCCUGACUGAUGCAAAAUGAGUUUUCGUGCCGAUCUGAUCACAGAAAUCUUUGAAAGUUUCAACAUCAAACUGUGUUCCAUUGUCCACAGUUAUAGCCUUCGGCACACCGAAGCGACAAACUAUAUUCUGCCAGAAGAAUUUUUGGACUAUAGCCGAAGUUAUUGUAGCCGAAGGCUUCGCUUCGAUCCACUUAGAAAAAUAUUCUACCGCCACCACGACAUAUCUCAAGUUGCCCUGCGCUGGUGGAAGUGGACCUAGCAGAUCUAGGCCCCAUCUUUGCAACGACCAUGUUGGUUGUAUUAGCUGAGUCAAUGACGAGGGUUGCUUCUGAUCUCUUGCACAUUUUUGGCAAUUUUCGCACUUUUGGAUCAAAUCUGCUGCGUCCGAAGCUGCCUUCGGCCAAUAGAAUCCUUGUCGAAAAACCUUUCCCAGAAGAGGUCUGGACCCAAUGUGGGAUCCACACAAUCCUGCAUGUAUCUCCUUCAUCAGUUCUAUACCUUCGGUUCUGCAUAAGCACUUGAGAAGUGGGGAACAAACUCCAUGUUUAUAUAAUUCCCCUUCUAUUAUGACAUAUGGUCUUGUUCUUGCUUCCAUUCUUUUGUUAUAAACCUCAUCAUCCGAGAGACAGUUACCCUGGAGGAAAGAUAUAAUCUCAGUCCUCCAAUCUUCACUAUGGACAGGAGAUAUUGUGAGCACUACUCUUUCGAGGAGUUCAACCGAAGGUGCUCUUAUUGUCUCAAAAAAAUACUUCCGAAGGUAGAGGAAGCCCCUGUGCCGCUGACUUGGCUAGAAGAUCAGCAUGCUCAUUUCCCCUCUUGGAAUAUUCUUAACAGAAAAUCCUUCGAAAGAAGCUUCAAGCCUUCGAACUGUGUCCAGAUAUUUCUCAAGCUUCGGAUCUCUUGCCUUGCAACUCUUGUCAACAUGACCAGAAAUAACCUAAGAGUCUGUUUUAAGGACUGUCCUUCUAAUUCCCAUUGCCUUUAACUUUCGAAGCCCCAAAAGUAAAGCUUCGUAUUCAGCAAUAUUAUUUGUACAACUGAAGUCAAGCCUUGCUGCAUAGCAUGUUCUGACUUUGGAAGGUGCAACUAGGAUAGCAGCAGCACCUGCACCGAAGGUUCCCCAGGAACCGUCGCAGAACACUGUCCAAGCUUCGGCAUCUUUAUUUGCUUCUUCUUCCUGAGCCCCCGGCGUCCAAUCAGCAAUGAAGUCUGCUAACGCCUGGGACUGAAUUGAGGAUCUAUGCACAUAGUCAACACUGAAUUCGUUAAGCUCUGCAGCCCACUUUCCAAUCCUUCCAGUAGCUUCUCUGUUCCUCAUAAUAUCCUUUAGAGGCUGUGAUGAAGGAACAAUUAUGUGGUAUGCUUGAAAAUAAUGUCGAAGCUUCCUGGAGGCCAUUAACACAACAUACAACACCUUCUCCAAUUCUGUAUAGUUUUUCUUUGAUAAACUUAGAACUUCGGAGACAAAGUAUACUGGGGCUUGCUUUUUAAUUUGUCCUUCGAGCUUCUCCUGUACAAGCGCCGCACUCACUGCAGAGUGCGAAGCUGCCACAUACAAUAGUAAUGGAGCCCCUGGCGCAGGUGGAGUUAAUGUUGUUAGAUCAAUCAAGUAUUGCUUCAGCUCUUCGAAGGCUUUCUAUUGAGCUAGACCCCAUUGAAAAACUUCGGCUGACUUUAGUAUUUCAAAGAAAGGCAAGUUUUUUCUGCUGAUCUAGAUAUGAAUCUAUUCAAUGAUGCCAGUCUUCCUGUCAGCCGCUGGGCCCCCUUCUUUGUGCUUGGCGGCUCCAUCCGAAGGAUAGCUUCGAUCUUUCUUGGGUUAGCUUCAAUCCCCUUCGUUGAAACUAGACAGCCAAGGAACUUACCCUUCUUCACUCCAAAGACACAAUUUUCUGGAUUUAAUUUCAGGCCAGCUUGCCUGAAAUUAGCAAAUGUUUCUUGCAGAUCAGUAAUGUGAUUUUCUUGCUCCGUGCUUUUUACUAUGAUAUCAUCAACGUAUGUUAGCACAUUUCUGCCUAUCUGGGAAUGAAGGACCUUGGCUGUCAUUCUGCUGAAGCUUCCUCCAGCAUUCUUGAGCCCCUCAGGCAUCCGAAGAUAGCAAUAGGUGCCACUGGGAGUUAUGAAGCUAGUCUUUGGCUCAUCCUCCUUCUUCAUCCAUAUUUGAUGAUAUCCUAAGUAGCAAUCCAGCAGACUCAUAAGCUCUAAAGAAGCUGCUGCAUCUAUAAGAGAGUCUAUUCUUGGUAAUGGAAAUUCAUCCUUUGAACAGGCCUUGUUAAGAUCUGUGAAGUCAAUACACAUUCUCCAUUUGCCAUUGGUCUUCUUCACCAUAACAGUAUUGGCUAGCCACUCUGGAUAUUUUACCUCUCUGAUGACACUAGUAGUUAGAAGUCUUUUUACUUCAUUCCGAGCACCUUCGACUUUAUCAUCAGACAUUUUCCGAAGCCUUUGCUUUCUUGGCCUGAAGGAUGGGUCGACAUUGAGUGAAUGUUCAAUGACGUCUCUGUUGACACCAUAGAGAUCAUUGGCCGACCAAGCAAAAACAUCUUUGUUGUUGAAUAAAAACCUUAUCAAAGUUUUCUCCUGCUCUUCAGAUAGUUGAGACCCCAGCAGUACCUUCUGCUCUGCUAUGUCUUCGCAUAGAAGCAUGGGCUUCGAAUGAUCAGCCGAAGCAGCCUUCUCUCUUCUGUACUUGUACUGUUCACAAGCUUCAGCUCCAUCUAUAUUGUGGAUCGCUUUUGAGUCUGUCCAAUUUCCUUCGGCCUUUCUCGCAGCUUCUUGACUUCCAUGAAUAGCAAUGGGCCCUUGUUCUGAAGGUAUCUUCAUACAUAGAUAUGCUGGGUGAAGUAUUGCUUCAAAAGCAAUGAGUGUUCCUCGACCAAUUAUUGCAUUGUAGGGGUAUUCCAUGUCAACAACGUCAAAGACAAUCUGUUCGGUCCUUGUGUUAUGAACAAAGCCGAAGGUUACUGGCAUUGUGAUUUUACCGAGUGCCAUAAUCUGUCUUCCUUCGAAGACGCAUAGAGGAUGUGUAUCAUCGUGAAUCUUGUCUUCUGGCUCUUGCAUCUGUCUGAAGGCCUUAGCAAAUAUGAUAUCCGUUGCACUGACUGUAUCAACCAGAACAUUAUGAACCAGAAAUCCCUUGAUGACGCAAGAUAUGACCAUAGCAUCAUUGUGGGGAUAAUCUUUGAGCUGAAGAUCCUCUUGAGAGAAGGUGAUUGGGAUGUGAGACCAUUUUGAUUUGAUGAAGGGCCCUGCACCCCAACAUGUUGUACCCUUCUCUGAGCCUCCUUCUUCUGCUUCUUGUUGGCCGGUUCUGAGCAUGAACCUCCUGUUAUCGGGAGCACCAGCUUCGUAGCCGAAGCAACUUUAGCUUGAUUAUUGAACCAAGCCAUCAGCUCAAAAGUGGAAGUGAGUUCUCCAGAGGUGGGCGCCAAUGUUGGGGACUUGUUCUCAAAUGCUAUGAAUUAAGAACAAGGCAACACAAAGAAUAGGUUAAAGGUUAACGUUCUUCAUCCUUCGAAGCAUUUUUUCCCUUAGGAUAUAACGAUCUUCGGACGAAGGUUAUGAAGGACAUACCUUCAUAAGUAUGACAUGUAUAAACAGAGGAUGAAGCUUAUGAAACAUAGGAAAACAACAUAAACAAUUAUAUGACAUUAUAAUGUAAAUAUCUAUUAUUAAAUAAUCAUGAGUACAUGAGGGCAAUAUCAAAUUACAUUUGUACCUUGAGCUUGACAGAAAGCAGAGGUAAAAGUAAGAUGCGAAAGCGUGAACAGUGCAGGGGUACUGUUCACCUAUUUAUAGGCACAGGGCGUAGCCUGUGUGAAUUUACAUUCAUGCCCUCUACAAAUGAUUACAAUCAUAACACAGGUUAUCAUGGGCCGAUUGGUCAUUUCAUCUUCAAGUCGGUGCCACCCUUCGUCUUAAGGCAUGUCGUUAUGCCGAAGCUCCCCGGAAAGUAGCUUCGGCUUUGCUUCUGUGUUGAUCUUCUGAAGGUGUUUAUUCUUAUGGAACCUUCGGCGACGAACCAGACCCCCAACAGGUACUUUUAUUACACCAAGACGUCCAAGACAUCCACAGACUCUAUAACAUAGUCAUUAACAUUAUCAAAGUGCGGAAUUACAAAACGUAUUAGAUAAGGCUUUCACAGGCAGCUGACUGGGGGUUUGCCACUAAGAUAACUAGAACUCGUCGUAGUCCUGGAACUCCUCAAAGUCCUCCAGGUUGCCAGCAUCUCCUCCUGAGCACUGAGUACAGUGGGGACAACCUGGGGUGGGGUGAUUUUUAAAGCAAGGGUGAGUACACAUCAACGUACUCAGCAAAUGUUUUGUUUGGCUAAAGUGGACUAGCUGUAUGUAGAGUUAAGGUUAAGCAGUUGCUGUUGGGUGCCUUCUUCUCCGCCGAAGGUCCUCAAGACAAAAACACCUUCGAUGAGACAAUACAAAGGUCCGCCGAAGCUAUCAUCAACUUCAGAUUAGUUUCUCAAGACGAAGGACUUGUGCAUAAGCAAUGUUGCAGAAUGCUGAAGCUCGAUAGCUUUGGCUCGGAACAAGCAAAGAAGUAAAAGACUAAAUAGACCUUAUUAGCUUUAGUGACUUGUAAAUAAGUGUUCGAGGGUAUGGAUGUAAUUUUCCCGGGCUGCGUCUCGUGCCUAUAAAUAGAUGAACAGUAAGCCCGUACUGUUCACGCUGGAUUGUAUUUUACUCUCUCGCAUCCACGCCUUCGAGCAAGCCGAAGGUAUCAAUGUAAUAUUAACAUUGUUGAUAUUCAUAUAUGUUUUAUGGAGUACAAGAAUAAAUGAAUUAUCAAAAUAUAGUUAUCAUAUUUAUCCCUUUGUAUUCCUCUCCUCGUAUUAAAUGAUGAAGGUACGUCCUUCUUGACCUUUGUCUGAUGAGCAUUAUACCCAUGCGGAAAUAAUGUUUCGAAAGACGAGGGUCCUUAAUAAUUAACAAUUGUGUUGUCUUGUUCUUGAUUCACAGCAUUUGAGAACAAGUGACCAACAUUAGCGCCCACCUUCGGUGAACUCACUACCACGACUGUGACAAUGGAUACGCAAGACAACCAAGCUGUGGCACCUCCGGCUACGAAGCUGGUGCUCCCAAUCACAGGUGGCUCAAGUUCUGAGCCGGACAAUAAGAAGCUGAAGAAAGAAGCACAGAUAAGGGUACAACAUGUUGGAGUGCAAGAACCCUUCAUCAAGUCCAAAUGGUCUCAUAUACCAAUCACCUUCUCCCAGGAAGACCUUCAGCUCAAGGACUAUCCCCACAUUGAUGCAAUGGUCAUAUCUUGUGUCAUCAAGGGGUUUCUUGUAACACCCCAGGUGUUACCAUGGCCAUGGCACAUUUAUGCACUAAUGACUGUGAUCACAUGUGGAAGAGACUUGAGGAGAAGAGCAUAAAACCUUGGGAACCAUGUGUUAACCAAGAAUGUUAAUGACCAAAAGCAUUACCCAAGCAUUUAUGCAAUUAUCACCUUGGGCAAGAGAAGAUUAAACCCUAGACCCCUCUUGAGCCCUUAACUCCCAAAACCCAGGUUUAAGGGGGGAAGGUUAAGCAAAAUGUGCAAAUCAUGAGUUAACCCUUAGCCAAAGUUUAAGUAACAUUAUAAUCUACAAAAUGCAGAGAGGAAACAUUACAAAAAGACCCCUUCAAAACCCCAAAUACAUUCCUUAAGUGGAGAGAGAGCACUAAAGCUCUCUAAUUCUUCUAAGUCAAGUUUUGAACCUAAUCUAAAGAUCCGUCGUGUUCACUUAGUAAAUGGCACCAAAACCACUUGAGUUGUAUACCAAAAAUGUGUCAUACCACCUAAGGCACCCACUGGAAAAGUUUGAAACCAAGCCCAAGACGUUUGACAAGAUUUGGCAUGGUUUUUGUCGCGAGGUAGACAGAGGGACAAGCCAGAUUUGGCGUCCGCAAAUCUCCCUACCUAGGGCGUAUCUGCCAUGGGGACUCACAUACAAGAGACAGCCCUAGGUGCUAGGAGGAGGCCUGCGCUGGAUUUUUUCCAAGAUUUGCACGCUUGCUUUCUCGGCGAGCUGUUGAACAAGGGCAAAAGAACACUUCCACGUGUUCGACGCGCUCUGAGCGCGCCAGAGCACGCCCAGCGCCCGACCCCGUGCGCCCGCCCCGCCCCGCGCCGAGCCGUGCCCGUGUCCCCUUCUCGCGCCCGCGCCUAUAAAGCCUCCUUAGACGUCGACCGUACUCCUCCGCGCACGCUCGACCUCACCGGAGCUAGAGACCACCGGCGUUUGCCCUACAAACGGCGUGCCCGCGGCCACCCGAUCCCCCGCCACCGUAGACCGGCCUGCAGAGCCCUUCCCAGCCACGCCUGACCCUCGGAAGAGACCGUGCAUGCCUCGGUGAAGCUCCCUGAGCAAGGAAUCGGACUUUGCCUCGCCAGAGAAGCCAGUCCACGGUCGCCAGACUUCACCCGAUCGCCGGUGAACAUAGACCAGGUAAAUCUCUGCACAAUUUUUCGAUUCCUUGCUCACAUAGCCUCUACAUCAUCCCGUGGAGCUCAUCGUGCCGUUUAAUUGAACUAGAUCGCCGUGGUUAAGCCGGAGCACCCGCCGCCGACGAGUUCACCCGCCUGCGCACGUGGACCGGCCAAUUCCGGCCACCACCGCCGUCGAGCCGUACCUCGCUGUGACCGCCAGGACCUCCCGAAACCAACCCCGCCCCUCGCCGGACCUCUCUCGCCGCUGGUAAGCCACGCCGCCCUUUUCCUUUCCACGGUUACUGUUUACAUACGGGGAGGGACCUCGGGGGAGAAGAAGGAAAGGCUAGAGGGUUUUGUGCGCUGUCAGUGACUCAGGGGAAUAGUAGCGCAGGGGUAGAAAUGAAUGGAUUGAUUUAGAAAUAAUCCAGGGUCUUCGGUGCAAAGUAGUUUUCCAGGAAACCUUUUAAAAUAUUCUGAAUUAAAUCCAAACAGAACUUGAAAAAUUCAUAACUUCAGUUUGGUUUACCCAAAUCAAGUCAAACCAAUUUUGCCAGAUCCUAAAUAAUGUAAACUACUUAGGAAAAAUAUAAAACCCCUAAGUGUUACAGAAAAAUUUAAGGUCUUGAUUUAAAUGAUUAACUGGUCAAAAGCUAAAAAAAAUAAGGAAAAAUCGCUACACUAUUUGACUAGGGUUAAGAAAAUUUAGAGAAGUACUUAAUCACUUUCUAACAUGUUCAAAAAUAAUAAACCUCUCUGUACACCAAGUUAAGGUAGAGUUUACCAUUUAAAUCAUUUUUAGUCUAAAGUUAGAGAAAAUAUUAAAGGUGGUUUAAAUAAAAAACCAGGGAGCACCCACAUUUUUGUUAGUUUACUUAUUCAGUAUAGUUCACUAGAAAAAUUUAUUAUACCCUUGUUUAGUACAAAAAAAAUGAGAUACCUUUUAUUUUAAGAAAACAAGGAGAACUUAGAAAAACUCUAGAAAAAUAACCCCAAAUAGAAGUCGAGUGAUUUUUCUAGCACUCGCGCGAGGUCAGGAAAUUGGUUGUAUCCACUUUCUUAUCAUAAUGAUGCUGGUUUGUGGAUAACAAUCCAUGGGGUUUGGUUGUCCACGGGAUAAAAAUUGGAAUAAGGAUUAAGGUGUGGUACCGUGUGUCAAGCGUUUGAACGUACUAAACACAUACCGAGAAAUAUGGUAAAUCGGUAAGCCUAGUACCUGAGUGAACCUGCCCGCAGAUUGCCCUCCUCACGCGACCUGAGACGUGGUCUCCCAUUCCGGUUAUGGUGGGUACAAGUGCGGUCACUGCACGACGGCAGUCGGGGUCAGUGAGGCAUUGUACGCCAAGGCGGUGAGCCCUGAUCUGUUGCCAGGGAAUCGAUGGGGACGGUUGAUCUGUUGCCAGGGAAUCGAUGAAGACCCUAAACCCUAAACCCUAAACCCUAAACCCCUCAGCCAAACAGCUGCAUGUCUAGAGGUAGAGGAGUAGACUCCUCACAUCGGGUAAGUCUAGCUAAGUAUUAGUAUACUCAGCCUUGCUUGUGGCAUAAUUUUACAGGUUCUCUAGAGGACAUGGUUGCUGGAGUGACUUGGCCGUCCAUCUUGCCACCGGGUUAAACUGUCGAGUGGGACCCUGCCUCGGCUGAGGAGGAGCAUGAGGAGUGAUGGGACAGGCUUCCCCAUCUCUCUGUUUAUUUACCGUUAGUUUUAUUCAGCUGCACUUCGAACAAUGAUGACUACUUUUGUUAAAACUCCGAUGAUGAUGUAAUAGGUUUAAUACUCUUUAAUAUAUGGUUUCAUGCUUUAUUGUAUUUGCUCUGUGACUCACCAUCGAGUGAGACUGUGGUACUUGAUCCUGUCAGUGGCCUUGUCGGACUAGAUCCGAGGGAUUUACGGGUUAUUCCCAUUUAAGUGUGGUCUAGCCUCUAAGGCGGGACUUAGGCACUUAAGUUGGAAUAAUUCGGACGGUUCCGCCACAGCUGGUAUCGGAGCUCGUACCACCACAGAGGAAUCAAUAAACUAUAAAUAUCAUUCUUUUCCAAAGUAAAACUUGGUAGAAACAAAUGUUAGACAGAUCGUAAGACGAUCAGGAUAGACUUAGGACGUGAAGCCUUAGGAUGAUAGAGGGGUAGCUAGGUGGCUGAUUGAGUAAGCCCUAUAGGCUACUAUAAGGGAUGGGAGUUCCUCCCUAUUCCCUCUACGUUGAUGUGAGGUCGUUCAGGACGAGCAUGCAUGCAUCCUUAAUUAAACUAAUGGAUAAUUGGGUAAGAACUUUAAUACAAAAUAAUGACAAACUAAGUACCCCAGUACCAUUGUCGUAGUUAUAGAGAGGCUGAGUUGUGAUCCCUUUUCUUUUUAUAAUUCUUUUUCUUUUACUUACGCUUAACCGUACACAGAUGACUUCUCACGGAUCCUCGGACGAAGGGAAUGCACAGUCCCACACUGACGGGCUGGCACGAGAGGGUUUUCCCCGUAUUUUGUGGGAGGUACUUCAGGAAGCUGGUUACAUGACGCCUCCCCAGUACGCGGUGCAGCUGUUCGAGAAGCACCGAGUGCCCCGCUGUAGGGUAAGGAUGACCCUGGAGCCUCAUCCCCUACAGCCAGGCUGGCGUUCGCUGGACUCUGAGUCUUUUGGAUACCGGGCUGAGGACACUAUGGAGGCAAUUUCUCUUCGCGGACUAACCACCUUCUGCGGAUUCCACCCCUUGGAACUGUCCACUCACCCCAUUGGCUUGUUCCCCACGGAGAAGGAGGACGACCCAAUGUGGAAGGACAGAGUGGAGCAUGCCAAGGAUAUCUUGGCUAUCUACCCAGGUCAGACUGCUCACUUGACAGUGCGGUGCAUGAAUGCCCUGUAUCGUCUGCAAGUGAUGCGUGGAGAGGCAAUGUCCCAUCUAAUGGUAUUGUUGGAGGCAACCAAGAUCACUUUGGAUAACAGAGAGGAACUUGUGGUAGACUUGUCCACUGAGAUGGUGGAAAAAGACCUACAGGUGGAACAAUUGUCAAAUGAGAUCCAAGAGCUUGAGGAGCUAGUGGGAACGAGGGAGAACACCAUCGAGGUUCUCGAGGAUCAGUUGAUCAACACCCAGCAGCAGCUUGCAGAGGCUAACCAGCACUUGGAUAUGCACCACCAGGAGAUCCAGGACAUGGAGGUCAACGAGGAUGUCGACAUCGAGGGAGGAGAGGAGCCUGCCUCCAGUUUGGACACUGUUGGCUCAGGGAGACCACCUUCCCCCGAGUCGAGCGUUGCCUCGUUUGCUCACUAGGUCGCAAGGAUAGAGUUAGAAGUCUGUGAUGGUAGGACUCCUCAAAGCUAGCUUAGCUUUUGCACCCUUGGGGUACUAGGCUAGAUAGAGUUGAGUCUUUUGAGUUAUUGAUGUAAUUGUGAUAAACUCUUUUGGAAGCAUGGUUGAUGAAUGCUGUCAAUCUUAAUUUAAGAAGAAAAAGUUUAGGCCAUGUGGAAUCUUUUAUAUUUAUGCAAAAUAUAUAUUGGUUUUACCCUUUUGACUCUUUCACCACGAUUGAACCUUGAACCUCAGAAAUGUUGUAUUGAGAAUAUACAUGAUUUUUCAGAUGGCAGGAAGAGCGCGUCGUGGUCAGAAUGAGCGCGUUCCUCCACCACCGCCACCGCCUCUGACUCUGCAAGAGCUGAUGGCGCAGCAGAACGAGAUCUUGAGACAGCUAGCUCAGCGUCAGCCACCACCUCAGCACUAUGGUGGUGGUGAUCAUCAGUGUCACCCCGCAGCAGCCACUUAUUAGGAGUUCCUCAGUACCCAGCCACCGUUGUUCACCAGGGCAGAGGACCCCCUUGAUGCUGAUGUAUGGCUGAGAGUAGUGGGAUCCAAAUUCCCGCUACUCCAUGGAGUUUGUUCGGAGGUGACUAAGGUCAGGUUCACCACCCAGCAGCUUCGUGGACCCGCGCGGACAUGGUGGGACCACUAUCUUGCUAUGCAGCCAGCUGACCAUGAAGUGGAAUGGAGAGAGUUCAAGGCAGCUUUUAGGGGGCACCAUAUACCCGCAGGCAUUAUGAACCGCAAGCUCAACGAGUUUCUGGCACUCACUCAGGGAAACCGGACAGUGUUAUAGUAUGCUCAGGCCUUUAAUGACCUGUGCCAGUAUGCCGGAUAUCAUGCAGACACCGACGAGAAGAAGAGGGACAAGUUCAGGAGGGGGCUCAGCACUAAGCUCCGUGACCGUCUCAACACAGUCAGGGCCAACAGCUAUAAUGAGUUAGUCAACAUGGCCAUUUCGUAGGAAGACUGUAUCACAGCUCGUCAGGCAGAGAAGAAGAGGAAGACCCCUGUGGCAGGACCUUCAGCUCAGCCACAGCGCUUCAGGAUCGUGUCUGACACUCAGAACAGAGGACCCCAACAGCAGCAAGGACGUUGGGUGAUCCGACCACAGCAGCAGCAGCAGGCACCCAACCACACCCAGUUUCCAGUACACAGGAGCAAUCAACAGCAGCAGCAGUACCGCGAGGCCAAUGACAACAAGUGUUUCACUUGUGGUAACACCGGGCAUUAUGCCAAGAAUUGCCCCAGAAACCAGCAGAAGCAGGGACAGAAUGCCAACCAGAACCAAGGCAAGAGGCAGAAGGUGCAAGUGAGGCAAGGCAGGCUGAACUUCACCACCAUGGCUGAUAUUCCAGAGGGAGCACCCGUUAUGACUGAUAUCUUUUCAGUUUUGAAUUAUCCUGCAAUUAUUCUUUUUGAUUCUGGUGCAUCACAUAGUUUUAUCAGUGCAAAAUUUAGUGCCAAAUGUCAGCUACCUUUUCACCACACCAAUGGGGGUAUUACAAUUUCAACACCAGGAGGCAGGGUUGCCACCUAUCAAAUCAACAGACAUGUGCCUAUAAAGUUUGGUAGUUUGAUAAUUAAAACCACCCUCCUCAUAUUGGGGUUGGAUAGCGUGGAUAUCAUAUUGGGAACUGACUGGUUAACAAGACAUCGGGCAGUAAUUGAUAUUGCAGCUAGGGCCAUUGAGGUGCACUCACCGACUUGUGGUGAAACCACAUUAUAUUUGCCCGACCAGGGUUGUACCCGUUCUUGUGCCUUCGUUAUGAUAGAGUCCCCGGUUGAGAGAAUCCCAGUGGUCUGUGACUACCCAGAUGUUUUUCCGGAUGAAUUGCCAGGGAUGGCACCUGAUAGAGAUAUAGAGUUCGCGAUUGAAUUGCAGCCUGGGACUGCUCCUAUAUCCAAGAGGCCCUAUAGGAUGCCUCCAGCAGAAUUGGCAGAAUUGAAAAAGCAACUGCAAGAGUUGUUGGACAAGGGGUUCAUUCGCCCGAGUACUUCACCGUGGGGAUGUCCGGCUUUACUUGUGAAGAAAAAGGAUGAGAGUAUGAGAAUGUGUGUUGAUUACCGCCCUCUCAAUGCAGUAACCAUCAAGAACAAAUACCCACUGCCCCGCAUUGAUGUUUUGUUUGAUUAGUUGGUGGGAGCCAAAGUGUUCUCCAAGAUAGACCUUCGCUCAGGCUACCAUCAGAUCAAGAUCCGUGCCAGUGAUAUUCCGAAGACGGCUUUCUCUACCAGAUAUGGGCUCUAUGAGUUUUUGGUGAUUUCUUUUGGGCUAACCAAUGCCCCGGCUUAUUUCAUGUACAUGAUGAACUCAGUAUUCAUGCCAGAGCUGGACAAAUUUGUGGUGGUUUUUAUUGAUGAUAUUCUGGUCUAUUCCAAGAAUGAAGCCGAGCACACUAAACAUUUGCAUACUGUACUUCAGAGACUGCGUGACCAUCAGUUGUAUGCCAAAUUGUCCAAAUGUGAUAUCUGGCUGAGGAAAAUUAAAUUUUUGGGUCACACGAUUUCUCAGGAUGGGGUAUUAGUUGAUCCUGAGAAGGUACAACUAAUGGAUUGGAAACCUCCUACCACAGUGAGACAGAUUCGAAGUUUUCUGGGAUUGGCAGGGUAUUAUCGACGAUUCAUUCUGGAUUUCUCCAGAAUUGCCAAACCUAUGACUGAACUAUUGAAGAAGGGAGUCAAGUAUGAUUGGAGCCAGAAGUGUGAGGAUGCCUUUCAUACGCUAAGGCAACAUUUGACAACAGCACCAGUGCUAGCUCAACCUGAUAACGCCAAGCCCUUUGAGGUUUAUUGUGAUGCUUCUGGUACUGGUUUGGGAUGUGUCUUAAUGCAAGACAACAGAGUAAUUGCUUAUGCCUCCCGAGCAAUUAGACCCCAUGAGCAGAACUACCCCACACAUGAUCUGGAAUUAGCAGCUGUGGUUCAUGCUCUCAAGAUAUGGAGACAUUACCUGAUGGGAGCUCACUGUAACAUUUACACUGACCAUAAGAGCCUCAAAUACAUUUUCACUCAAGCGGAUCUUAAUAUGAGGCAGAGGAGAUGGUUAGAGCUAAUCAAGGACUAUGAUUUGGAGGUGCAUUACCAUCCUGGCAAGGCCAAUGUUGUGGCAGAUGCCUUAAGCAGGAAGGCCUAGUGCAAUUGUAUGAACAUGGAUGCAAGAGUCACCACCCUAUGUGAUGAGUUGUGCAAACUAAACCUAGAAGUUGUUUCCUCGGGUGCUUUAAAUUAUAUCUCGGUGGAGCCCAUAUUACAAGAGCAAAUAGUCAGGGCACAGAUUGAAGACAAGGGUGUUCAGGUCAUUAAGGAAAUGAUCAAGCAGAAAGUAGAAAAAUACAAAUGCUUCCGUCAGGACAGCGAAGGAAUCCUAUGGUUUGGAGAUCGAUUGGUUGUUCCCAAGAACCCUGAGCUCAGAAAGAAGAUAUUGGAUGAAGCUCACCUUUCAAAAUUCUCCAUACACCCGGGUAGCAAUAAGAUGUAUCAUGAUCUCAGAUCCUUAUAGUGGUGGACUAGAAUGAAGAGGGAAAUAGCCAAGUAUAUAUCUGAAUGUGACACCUGCCAGAGAAUCAAGGCCAGUCAUUUGAAGGUAGCAGGCCCUUUGCAACCCCUUCCCAUACCAUCUUGGAAAUGGGAGGACAUUUGCAUGGAUUUUAUCGUGGGAUUGCCCAAUACCUCCCGGCACCAUGAUUCCAUUUGGGUCAUUGUGGACAGAUUGACCAAAACAGCUCAUUUCUUGCCGGUACACACCACCCACAGGACGGAGAAGUAUGCAGAAAUCUACAUUGACCAGAUAGUUCGCUUGCAUGGAAUAUCAAGGACUAUAGUAUCGGACAGAGGAGCACCAUUCGUGGCACGAUUUUGGGAGCAAUUAAAGGAAUCACUUGGGACCCAGGUAAUAAGAAGCUCAGCAUACCAUCCUCAAACAGAUGGCCAGACAGAAAGGGUAAAUCAGAUUUUGGAAGACAUGUUGAGGGCAUGUGUGCUACACUAUGGAAAGGAUUGGGACAAGUGUCUUUCAUUGGCAGAAUUCUCCUAUAAUAACAGCUACCAGUCCAGUUUGAAGAUGGCACCUUUUGAAGCCUUAUAUGGGAGAAGGUGUAGGACCCCGCUAAAUUGGUCUCAAGCAGGAGAAAGGGAAAUUUUUGGACCAGACUUGGUACUUGAAGCAGAGGAAAAGGUCAGAGUUAUUAAAAAUAACCUAGAAGCUGCCCAGGCCAGGCAAAAGAGCUAUCAUGACAAGAGAAGGAAGCCUCUACAGUUUGAAAUGGGAGAUCAUGUUUAUCUUAAGGUGUCACCCACCAAAGGUGUCCAGAGAUUUGGAAUCAAGGGCAAGUUAGCUCCUCGCUACAUUGGACCCUACGAGAUCAAGGAAACUUGUGGACCUGUAGCAUAUCAAUUGAAGUUGCCACCCCACAUGUCAGAUGUUCAUGAUGUGUUCCAUGUAUCCCAGCUACGGAAAUGCGUCCGCUUACCCGCUGAAGUGCUACCUGGACCAGAAAUUGAGAUAGAACCAGACUUGUCUUAUCAAGAGCACCCCGUCAAGGUAUUGGAUCAGAAAGAGAGAUCAACGCGGGCAACGUCGAUCAGAAUGUAUAAGGUUUAGUGGAGUCACCAUUCAGUAGAGGAAGAUACAUGGGAGACUGAGGAGUUUCUACGCUCUCGCUUCCCCGACUUUCUGCCCAAAGGAGUCAGUACGUAACCCAAAAACCCCACCCCACCUACCCUUUGAAUCUAAAUAUAAGGAAAACUUAGAUGUUAAAGGUAGUGUAAGCUUUGAAAAUGACUCAAAAAGGACUUCCUUCUGAAGUCGCAAAGAGAAUGACAUUCGAAGAGCAGUUAACUAGAGAACCUUGGAUAAAAGAAGGAGCAACGCACCAACACGCCUUCAUGGCACCCCUCCAGAGGACUCUACCUAAAAUCUCGGGACGAGAUUCCUUUAAGGGGGAGGGCUGUAACACCCCAGGUGUUACCAUGGCCAUGGCACAUUUAUGCACUAAUGACUGUGAUCACAUGUGGAAGAGACUUGAGGAGAAGAGCAUAAAACCUUGGGAACCAUGUGUUAACCAAGAAUGUUAAUGACCAAAAGCAUUACCCAAGCAUUUAUGCAAUUAUCACCUUGGGCAAGAGAAGAUUAAACCCUAGACCCCUCUUGAGCCCUUAACUCCCAAAACCCAGGUUUAAGGGGGGGAAGGUUAAGCAAAAUGUGCAAAUCAUGAGUUAACCCUUAGCCAAAGUUUAAGUAACAUUAUAAUCUACAAAAUGCAGAGAGGAAACAUUACAAAAAGACCCCUUCAAAACCCCAAAUCCAUUCCUUAAGUGGAGAGAGAGCACUAGAGCUCUCUAAUUCUUCUAAGUCAUGUUUUGAACCUAAUCUAAAGAUCCACCGUGUUCACUUAGUAAAUGGCACCAAAACCACUUGAGUUGUAUACCAAAAAUGUGUCAUACCACCUAAGGCACCCACUGGAAAAGUUUGAAACCGAGCCCAAGACGUUUGACAAGAUUUGGCAUGGUUUUUGUCGCGAGGUGGACAGAGGGACAAGCCAGAUUUGGUGUCCGCAAAUCUCCCUACCUAGGGCAUAUCUGCCAUGGGGACUCCCUAGGUGCUAGGAGGAGGCCUACGCCGGAUUUUUGCCAAGAUUCGCACGCUUGCGAUCUCGGCGAGCUAUUGAACAAGGGCAGAAGAACACUUCCACGUGUUCGACGUGCUCUGAGCGCGCCAGAGCACGCCCAGCGCCCGACCCCGUGCGCCCCGCCCCGCGCCGAGUCGUGCCCGUGUCCCCUGCUCAAGCCCGCGCCUAUAAAACCUCCUUAUACGUCGACCGUACUCCUCCGCGCACGCUCGACCUCACCGGAGGCAGAGGCCACCGGCGUUUGCUCGGCAAACGGCGUGCCCGCGGCCACCCGAUCCCCCGCCACCGUAGACCGGCCUGCAUAGCCCUUCCCAGCCACGCCCGACCCUCGGAAGAGACCGUGCAUGCCUCGGUGAAGCUCCCCGAGCAAGGAAUCGGACUUUGCUUCGCCGGAGAAGCCAGUCCACGGUCGCCAGACUUCACCCGAUCGCGGUGAACGUAGACCGGAUAAAUCUCUGCACCAUUUUUCGAUUCCUUGCGCACAUAUCCUCUACGUCAUCACGUAGAGCUCAUCGUGCCGUUUAAUUAAACUAGAUCGCCGUGGUUAAGCCGGAGCACCCGCCGCCGACGAGUUCACCCGCCUGCGCAUGUGGACCGGCCGAUUCCGGCCACCACCGCCGUCGAGCCGUACCUCGCUGUGACCGCCAGGACCACCCAAAGCCAACCCCGCCCCUCGCCGGACCUCUCUCGCCGCCGGUAAGCCGCACCGCCCUUUUCCUUUCCGCGGUUACUGUUUACAUACGGGGAGGGACCUCGAGGAAGAAGAAGGAAAGGCCAGGGUUUUUGUGCGCUGUCAGUGACUCAGGGGAAUAGUAGCGCAGGGGUAGAAAUGAAUGGAUUGAUUUAGAAAAAAUCCAGGGUCUUCGGUGCAAAGUAGUUUUCCAGGAAACCUUUUAAAAUAUUCUGAAUUAAAUCCAAACAGAACUUGAAAAAUUCAUAACUUCAGUUUGGUUUACCCAAAUCAAGUCAAACCAAUUUUGCUAGAUCCUAAAUAAUGUAAACUACUUAGGAAAAAUAUAAAACCCCUAAGUGUUACAGAAAACUUUAAGGUCUUGAUUUAAAUGAUUAACUGGUCAAAAGCUAAAAGAAAUAAGGAAAAAUAGCUACACUAUUUGACUAGGGUUAAGAAAAUUUAGAGAAGUACUUAAUCACUUCCUAACAUGUUCAAAAAUAAUAAACCCCUCUGUACACCAAGUUAAGGUAGAGUUUACCAUUUAAAUCAUUUUAAGUCUAAAGUUAGAGAAAAUAUUAAAGGUGGUUUAAAUAAAAAACUUGGGAGCACCCACAUUUUUGUUAGUUUACUUAUUCAGUAUAGUUCACUAGAAAAAUUUAUUAUACCCUUGUUUAGUACAAAAUAAAUGAGAUACUUUUUAUUUUAGGAAAACAAGGAGAACCUAGAAAAACUCUAGAAACAUAACCCCAAGGAGAAAACACCCCAAACCUUGGGAUAACUAAUGUUUUGUUAUUAAGAACACAGAAAAAAUAUGAAAUCUGUUGUUUGACAUUUUCAAAUAACAAGAUAGUAGUAAGUGCCUUUUUAACAUUAAACUUUAGAAAAUCACAACUAAAUAACCACCAAAUAUCCUUCUGUGAUUUUUGGCACAGAAGCAUGUUAUUACUUUUAGAUACCAGCAAAAUUGACCCUUAGGACAGAACCCACCCCUAGUUAAGAGUUGUAGUGCAAAGUGACCCCUUUGCCCCAACUUUUGUUAUUUUUGUCCAGGGCAUAUUUUAAUUAUUCUGGACCUCAAAUUUAUAGGACAGCCUGCAGUGACAAAUAGUAACCCACUGUAAUUUUUAUAGAAUUUUUGGAAAAAGUUAAACCACUGAUGUAGUUCAAACCCAUACUAGAAUUCAUAAAUAGAAAAUGAAAAAGGGAAAUUAAUAAUGGAGAUUAAUGUCAUCAUAACCCAACCAGCAAAACCCCUUAAAUGCCUACAAAAACAUCUAAGUGAACCUUAUCCCUAGGCAAAACCCAAACCUAAAGUUGAUAAGCAUAAACCACUAAGAGCCACGUAUAACCAGGAAACCCUAAGUUACUAACUAACUUAGUUUUCUUUCACUUAGCAUAAUGAUUACUAAAUCCUGCAUAAUCAUGGCAUACAUAUUCUUAUUCAUUGCAUUUGAUAGAUUGCAACCUCGCCGACGGAGAAUACAUCCUCGUGCCGGAGCAAGGAGUUACUCAGGAGGUAGCCCCGGAUCCAGCACCAGAGCCUGCCCCAGAGGAUCUGCCUGCCCCAGCUUUGGAAGGCAAGCCCCGGUUUUAUGCAUAACAUGUUCUAUAUGAUAUUUUACUACACUUAAUGUUUGUAGGUUUGUAUUGUGCACUUAAGUGUAGGAGUUGAUUGAAACCCUAGUUGCAUGAACUCAGGAAUCCUUGUUGAGAUGGAUACUAGUAUGCUAGGUCGAGUAGCUGCUUUGCUAAAUAGGGAUCUCGGUAGAAGUCGAGUGAUUUUUCUAGCACUCGCGCGAGGUCAGGAAUUGGUUGUAUCCAUUUUGAUAUCAUAAUGAUGGUGGUAUGUGGACAACGGUCCAUGGGGAUACGUUGUCUACGAGACGGGAAUUGGAAUAAGGAUUAAGGUGUGGUACCGUGUGUCAAGCGUUUGAACGUACUAAACACAUGCCGAGAAAUAUGGUAAAUCGGUAAGCCUAGUACCUGAGUGAACCUGCCCGCAGACUUUACCCCUCACGCGACCUGAUACGUGGUCUCCCAUUCCGGUUAUGGUGGGUACAAGUGCGGUCACUGCACGACGGCAGUCGGGGUCAGUGAGGCAUUGUACACCAAGGCGGUGAGCCCUGAUCUGUUGCCAGGGAAUCGAUGGGGACGGUUCAUGUGUGUGGGGACAGAGUGCCUCGCCACGUCGUGUGUUUAGGUUUACCUUGCAAGGUUUAAAAACUCGAUUUGAAUCGUCUGCUUCUCGCAGCUAAUGAGACUGCUUGAUCCAUGCUGCUACAUUGAGUAACAAGUGGAAAUGAGAUGACUUGGCAAAAGUUGUUGAUUGCUAAAUGUUUGAUACCAUGUGUGAUUAGAUAGGUAUAUAUUUAGUCUUAAGAGAGUCACACUAAAACUUGACAAAGCUAAAACUUGAUUUAUAAACUCAGCUAGUGCUUUUGGCAACCAAACCCCUCAGCCAAACAGCUGCAUGUCUAGAGGUAGAGGAGUAGACUCCUCACACCGGGUAAGUCUAGCUGAGUAUUAGUAUACUCAGCCUUGCUUGUGGCAUAAUUUUACAGGUUCUCUGGAGGACAUGGUUGCUGGAGUGACUUGGCCGUCCAUCUUGCCACUGGGUUGGACUGUCGAGUGGGACCCUGCCUCGGCUGAGGAGGAGCAUGAAGAGUGAUGGGACAGGCUUCCCCAUCUCUCUGUUUAUUUACCAUUAGUUUUAUUCUGCUGCACUUCGAACAAUGAUGACUACUUUUGUUAAAACUCCAAUGAUGAUGUAAUAAGUUUAAUACUCUUUAAUGUAUGGUUUCAUGCUUUAUUGUAUUUGCUCUGUGACUCACCAUCGAGUGAGACUGUGGUACUUGAUCCUGUCAGUGGCCUUGUCGGACUAGAUCCGAGGGAUUUACGGGUUAUUCCCAUUUAAGUGUGGUCUAGCCUCUAAGGCGGGACUUAGGCACUUAAGUUGGAAUAAUUCGGACGGUUCUGCCACAUUUCUAGUGCAUAAUGUCCUAGUGUACAUAUGCAGUGCAACAAAUAUCAUCUUUGCGAAGGCUUUCAGGCAAAUGCAAGAGCCAGAUGACAAGAUACAUGUUGCAACACACCCCCUCUGCGGCUUCGGAGGGAGACAAAUCAUGGCGCUUGGUAAGAUAACUAUGCCAAUCACCUUUGGCUAUAUUCACAAUACAAGGACAGAGCAGGUUGUCCUCGACAUUGUCGAUAUGGAGUAUCCCUACAAUGCAAUAAUUGGUCGAGGGACGUUGAACGCCUUCGAAGCAAUACUUCACCCAGCAUAUCUUUGCAUGAAGAUACCUUCUGACCAAGGGCCUAUUGUUGUACAUGGAAGCCAAGAGGCUGCUAGGAGAGCCGAAGGGAACUGGACAGAUUCAAAGGCCAUCCAUAACAUAGAUGAAGCCGAAGCUCAUCAACAAUAUAAGCAUAAAAGAGAAAAGGUUGCUUCAGCAGAUCAGACAAAGCCCAUGCUUUUUGCGAAGAUAUAGCCGAGCAAAAAGUGCUAUUGGGAUCCCAAAUUGUCUAAUGAACAAGAGAAGACUUUGUUGAGAUUUCUGUUCAAUAACAAGGAUGUUUUUGCUUGGUUAGCUAAUGAUCUCUGUGGUGUCAAUAAAGAUGUCAUUGAGAACUCACUCAAUGUAGACCCGGCCUUCGGACCAAGAAAGCAGAGGCUUCAAAAAAUGUCCGAUGAUAAAGUCGAAGGUGCGCGAAACGAAGUAAAAAGACUUUUGAGUGUCGGUGUUAUCAGAAGGGCCGGUCUUAAAUUAAAUCCAGAGAAAUGUGUCUUUGGAGUGAUGAGGGGCAAAUUUCAUGGUUGCUUGGUAUCAACAAAGGGUAUUGAAGCUAAUUCAAGUAAGAUAGAAGCUAUACUUCGGAUGGAGCUACCAAAGUCAAGAAAGGGUGCUCAGAGGUUGACAGGGAGGGUGGCAUCAUUCAGCUCAGCUGGUAGCCACAGUCAAGAAAGGGUGCACCGGCACGAUCGUGGAUGCAUCCUAUAACUUCUUCGUCCACCCCACCAAAGAGCAUGGAUCUCGGUUGGUAGCCAUAGUUGAUAGCAAAGUCCUUUAGCUUAGCUGCAUCCUCUUCGGAAAGCUGCUGGCCACCCAGGUGCCGUAGGUCGUAGUCUGCUUCUUCCGAAGAGACUUCUUUAGUUUUCUUCCCUUUGUCUGACACUUCUGUGGCCAACUCCUUCUCUACAGCCACGUCUGAUAUAAUUUUGUCAAUUUCGGUGGCUGUGAGGUCUUCGCCUUCAGUUGCAAUAACAGCUUCGGCAUCAGUAGAUUUGACAGUCUUGUCUGCCGAAGCUGGAGGUGGGGUUUGCUCAAUUGCAUGGAGUAUGUUCAUCAUACGUCGCUUUUUCUGUCCCCUGUUUCUUCCAUCGGUAGCCGAAGGAAUUUCCCUUUUCUAUAAAAGGUUGGUAAGUUCCGAUCUAAGAGGACUUAGCAGCUUGAAUGGUGGGGAUUUAGUCAUUACCUUCAAAAUUUCUGACGCUUCGGCAGCAGAAGGUGACGGAGUGCUCAAGGUUAUUUUCGGCACAUCAUGUACCUUCGGAUCGGCAGAAGGUAUAUUUUCAAGUUUCCUCUUCUUAGGACCCGGUGCCUUUGGCUCUGGCGCUAUUUUCAUCCUCUUCAAGGCCUCUUCGUCCUCCUUCACGGAUCGGGCAGCUUGCCUGCUCAGAAUGCUGACAACUCUUUUUCUUUUCUGUAAUACCCACUUUGUAAAAGAAAAUCUAAGAGUAUAAAUUAUAUUCCUUUGCAUAUAUGGGUGUCAUCCCUAUUUAUCAUUUCAUGUGGACACCUCACUUACACCAAUAAAUAAUUAACAAAAGACACUCAAUUAAAUCAUGCAUCAUAUUGAGGUUUCUAUUUUUGUGUGCAUCUUGUGACAGUAUAAAAAUCAUAUGAAAAGAAUUAUAUUAAAGCACAAAAUGGAAUUUAAGGUCUAACAAAAAUUCUAGAAGUGAGAAAGGAGGAAAAGAAAUACUAUAUAAUACAAAACAAAAUGUACAAAAUUUAAACUCUAUCCAUAGUGGUAAGAUUAAAAUCUAUCUUUUAUUGAGUACAAAAGUAACAUGUAUAUUUGGAGUCUAAAUUCGAAAUUUAAAAUGAAAGGGGAAAGAUAAACCAGAAAAAGGAUAAAAGAGAACUCCAUUCGUGGGCCAACUUACACCAAUCCGGCCCAAUAAUACACCUCCACUGUGUGGCCCACCUGACCGGGAUCUCGCGCGGGGGGGGGGGGCUGACAUCGGGGGCCCACUGGCAUCCGCUUAUCACGCACGCACUCACUCCUUUCCCACUGACACCUGGGGCUCGCACGUGAGGCUUGGGCAUCGUCAACAGCUCACCCAUGCUUUGCGCGGAUGGUGGCGUUGUUCGCGAAAUCCUCGGUCAAGGGGGUGACCGGAUCCUGUGGCCACGCCAUACAUAUGAACCAACUGGUCACGCCGCAUGCCUGCAACCGAAUUAAUCGUGUAGACAACUGAACCUAAAACGAGAGGGAGAAGGGGGCGGCGACCUUGCGUUGACUUGACUGUGCCGUCGUCGAUUCGCUAGUCCGCCAUCGAUUCGGGGUAAUCACGGGGUCUAGGCAACUUGCUUGGUUGCGUGGAGCGCGACUGUGGCGAAUUGGGGCCGGUGGUGCAUUGAAGGUUAGGGAAUUCCUCGCCGGAGUGGAGCCCUUCGCCGAACUCGCGUUGUACCGUGGACCAACCUCGACUCGUCAGUGGCUUCGGUAAGACCUCGGCCAUCUUGCACGUCUCCUUCUCCGGGAUGCAUAGAGCUAGUACCGCUAGGGUUAGACCCCCUAGGCGCCUCGCGCGCUGCUCGUCGACGAGUGCCGCCGUGAGGUUUGCCCAGCGCCGCUGCGUCUGGGUAUAGGAUAGAGACGAUGGAUGGUGGGCUGUUGAUCUUCCACGGGGCGGUCCAGAUUAGAUUGUCGAUGACCGUUUCGCUCGGAUCAGUGAGAACCGUCGAUCCGGUGAUAACCGACUGAGAUUGGAGUUAGGAAAUUUAGAUCUGGGACGUCGGAUUGGGAUCUGGCGGUUCUUGUCGCGUACCGUUUCACGGCCGCUCCGAUGUAAUCUGGGGCACACAUCCCAGAUCCAACGGCCGAUAUUGCCCCGUACCCCUUCGCGGGCGCGGAUUUACACUUUGGCCCCUCUAUUUUCAUAGAACCAACUCGCCGUCCUGCGCAGUGGGGCUCUAAGUCUUAGGGAUUUUCACGCAGGGGCCCCUGGACUCUCUGGUAAUUGAUGCGCAGUCCAGACAGUGAAUAAUAUUCAUAAAAUCAAUUAGAAAAUGAAUUUUUAGUAUUAAAUUAAUUACAGAAACUUGUUAAAUUCAUAUGACAUUCAUAUGAACUCCAAAUUAAUCCAUUCUAGUUUCUAAAUUUUUGUAAUAUUAUUUUCUAUCACCUAGAGUCUCUGUUUUGACAUGAAAACAGUAAGAAAAAUAAUUCCUCACUUAACCCUAUUUUAAGCACAUAAAACCUUUGGAAAUUCAUAAUUUAAUAUCCAUAACUCCAAAAUUUAUGAUUCCUGUUCCUAGGGUUUUAUUUUAAUGUGUAGAUUAUUAUUAUGUAUUUUGUUUACAUGUUUGGUGUGAUAUUAAUUUUCUCUAUAUAUUGUGCUUGUUUGUAUUGUGGCGAGUAGAAGAGCCUAUGACUGAGGAUCUUGGUGCCCAGCAGAUAGAAGUAGCUGAGCAGAAGCUCAUUGAAGGCAAGUUGUGCCCUUGACCACUUUUUACCCAAUAAUGUUCUUUAAUAUCACAAAUUCAUGCGUAGGUUUAAUUUUGAUGGGACCUGAUAGGUCACCCUAGACUGUUUAUCUCUUUACCUUGUUAUCCCUGAAUCACAUGGGUAGUUUUGCUAUUGCUUUACAUGGUUUUGGGAUAAUCUUUCAUUAUAUCCAUGUUCCUGUUAUUUUGUUAUUCUAUUUAUGUUCAUGUCAAGAUCAUUAAUGUUAAUUGGAACAUGGAGCUUAACUUGAGAAACACGUGCCACCACAAGGUUAGCAUGGGAUGCUCUUGGCUGACUAAUUAGGAAAGCUAGUGGAAGACUACCUUACCCGAAAGGGGCAAGGGCAGUAGGGGAGUUGCAUGCAAGGAGGUUCUCGGGUUGAUUUUGCUGCGAUGGCGGACAGACGGGGGAUUCUUGCAAGUGCUCUUCCCAUAAACUGUAGCGGGCUUUAGGAAGCUAGUGGAACUUUGUAAAGGCCUCGUAGUGUUACCCUACCUCGCUUCCUUGGUAGAGGUAUAUGGGGCCCGUACAACCCCGUGGCACAUGGGUAACAUGACUUGUGGGUACAGGGUACAACCUCUGCAGAGUGUAAAACUGGUAUACUAGUCGAGCUCACGGUCAUGAGCAGCUCAGGACUCUCGCAUGAUUAAUUUAUGGAACUUAAAUUCAAUUUGUCAUUUGCAAUGCAUGGGAUUAUGUAUUAAUUUUGUUCUAUUACUUUUAUUAAGGUUUGAUAUUUACUUACAUUUAAUAACUGCUAAUAAAAUUUUGACCAACUAAUUAAAAGCAAUGCUCAGCUUUAACCCUGUUGUUGAUUAGCCUUACACAUCACAUGAACCCCCACCUUUGGUGAGUUUAUGCCCACUGGUUCCCCACAACUUGUUGAGCUAUGAUCAUGUGUGAGCUCACCCUUGCUGUCUCACACCCCCCACAGGAGAAGAACAGGUGGUUCAGGAGGAGCCUCAAAGCGAGGAGUUUGAUCUGAUCUAGGUGGCGUUUCCCAGUUGACUUGCGCUAAGGAUGAUCCUUAGUUUGUUUAUAUUUAUCUUUUAUUUUGUAACAAGACUUCCGCUUUGUAAUAAAUACUCUGAUGUUAUUGUGACAUUUAUCUCUAUACACUCUGUUAUUAUAUAUGUUGUCUUCUUUGGCGCAUGUAUGAGAUGCACCCGGCUUUGUCCCUUAAAGCCCGGGUGUGACAUUUUCGCCCCCCCAGCCCCUUCGUCAAGUCUCUCAUAAUCCGUAUACUCAAAGUUCAGGGCAUCCAUUACCCGAUUUAACCUUCGUUUCGGCCGGGUGCCGAAGGCAGCGGUCAUUAAUUGAUCCUCUUUCUUCGUGUAAUUCCCAAGAAUUUCUUUACACGUAGUUUCAAUCAUUUCUAACCAUUCUAUACAUGGUUUUUUGAAUUGCUUUUCAAACUUGUAGCAGAAGGGAAGUCAAACAAGUUCAUAUUUCUUUCAUCCCUCCUUCUUCUUCAGCAUCCCCCAGCCGCUAGAGGACGAGAAGGUUUUAUUUGCCAGGUAUUCCUGCACUAAGUCUCUAGUGCUAAUUUCAGCAGCCACCACUCUGAAUUCAACUUCGGCUAGCUGGCAUUGGGAGCCGAGUUGCAUAUUGCAUAAUGGCCUUGUCAUCCCGAAGCUCAACCUCAGAGGACUCAUAACCAUAGUCAUGAGUUUUUCCCUCUUCUUCUCAUCAGCUUUCAUAUAGAACCAUUCGCUUGUCCACCCGGUCGGCCACUUAGUGCGGUUGCCGAUCACCGGGGCCUUAGUGUCUUUUCGGUAGGCAAAAUUAUAACAUCCAAAGUUUUUGUGAAGUCCAUCUUCUCUGACCUUCAUCUGAUAAUGUAACUCAUGCACUCGACAGAAACCUUCGGCAUUAGAACUCAUGCCCUGGCUUCGGAGAGCCCAUAUGUAAACACUCAGCCUAACAAUGGCAUUUGGUGUUAGCUGAUGAAGAUAUAUUUCAAACCUCUUCAAAACCUCUCCUAUUAUAUCAUAUAGAGGAAACCGAAGCCUUGCCCUGAAGAAGCUUUUAAAAACAACAACUUCAUCCUCCUUUGGUUCCGGAACCACUUCCUCGCCUGCAAAGCGAAUAAGUUUACUCUCAUUUUCCCCAAAAUAGCCUAGCUUCUUCGUCAUAACCAGGUCCUCUGCUGACAUAGUAGAUUUUCCAAACUCAAUAUGGCUGGGCUUUGAUGGGCUCAGAAUAUUGUUGUCCUCUUCGAUUUUGUCAUCACUUUUCUCCUCAGCUACAGUUUGCUCAGCUUCGACACUUUCACCUUCUGCAAUAGUUACUUCUGAAACAACUAGACCCGAUCGCCUCAUCACUUCAAAUAUUGGUGCCAUUUCUGUCACUUCAGCAUCAUCUCCCUCACGGGACACCCUAGCAGUAGAUAUUACUCGGGCCAUUUCAAGUGAUGUAGUUCCUUAAGACGAAGCUAACUUCGAAUGACAAAGAGCGUGCUUGGAAAGCUCAAUCCAGAAAUCUUCGGCUUUGGUUACAAAUUUUAACAGCACAAUAGUGCAAUGACAAUGAAUGUUGUGGUAACUCCUCACCAACAUGUCUGCUUAUAUAGUGUUGUAGGGGAAGAAGGCGGACCGCCAGACCGUCUACACUGACUGAGUGGCGGACCGGCCGACGCUCGGAAUAUUUUAAUUGUUUUUCGAUAACAAGCUCAGGGAAGGUGUUUUUUGGACCAUCAGCAUUCCGAAGCCUUUGUAUUUUUCGCAGGUCGAGCUCGUUACAAAAAAAUGAUCUAGCACCGCGAAGGGGCUACUGUUGGGGGCCUUCUUCUCCGCCGAAGGUCCAUAAGACAAAAACAACUUUGAUGAGACAAUAUAAAGGCCCGCCGAAGCUAUCAUCAACUUCGGAUUAGUUUCUCAAGACGAAGGACUUGUGCAUAAGCAAUGUUGCAGAAUGCCGAAGCUCGAUAGCUUCGGCUCGGAUCAAGCAAAGAAGUAAAAGACUAAAUAGACCUUAUUAGCUUUAGUGACUUGUAAAUAAGUGUUCGAGGGUAUGGAUGUAAUUUCUCCUGGGCUGCGUCUCGUGCCUAUAAAUAGAUGAAUUGUAACCCGUACUGUUCACGUUGGAUUGUAUUUUACUCUCUCGCAUCCAUGCCUUCGAGCAAGCCGAAGGUAUCAAUGUAAUAUUAACAUUGUUGAUAUUCAUAUAUGUUUUAUGGAGUACAAUAAUAAAUGAAUUAUCAAAAUAUAGUUAUCAUAUUUAUCCCUUUGUAUUCCUGUCCUCAUAUUAAAUGAUGAAGGUACGUCCUUCUUGACCUUCGCCUGAUGAGCAUUAUACCCAUGCGGAAAUAAUGUUUCAGACGACGAAGGUCCUUAAUAAUUAACAAUUGUGUUGCCCUGUUCUUGAUUCAUAGCAUUUGACAACAAGUGACCAACAGUUGCUUUUAGUUGGUCAAGUGUUUAUUACUAGUAGUAGAGCUAAAUUUUAGUAAUAAACUCAGUUAUUACCCAAAUGUAAUCCAUCAAAGAGGAAAUACUAGAGAUCAUAAUUAAAACCAUCAUCAUUAAACAUCAUCAUAAAAGUAUCCAAAGUUCUUCUAAUCAAAGAGAAUUCCAAGGCCGCCCUUAACCGUGAGCUCGAUGGAUAUACCAGUUUCUAACACUCUGCAGAGGUCGCACACUUUACCCACGAGUCGUGAUCCCUUUUUGCCUCGGGUCGAUCAAACCCUCAAACACUACCAAGGUGAGUCGGUAAGGUUUCAUUACGUAGACUUUACAAAGAAUCCCCUGGUGCAUAACUGCUCGUUAGGUUUCGCCAGUCGUACAAACGCAGUACAUCUCCCCAAGGUGGGUGACUGACAAAACCAAAUCGAAUGAACCUCUACACCCCCCUUGGCAGAGCGAGCACUACGCCACGGCCCCCAUUGAUGGCCCUCAAGCAAAGCCAACUACACCCCUAGGUUCAUCUAAUUAUUCAGCUAAGGGCGUCCAAUCCCACCCUCAUGGUUGCACUGUUAUCCUAGGUGGUCACUCAACGAACAGGUCCUUACGGAGAGGUACUCAAGAAAAUGGCCUCAAUCCCCUAAAAUAUCACAAGAUCAUCAUCGGGAUAACAUCAUCGUAUCAUAAAUAUCCACAUCAUGUUCAUUGAUUAAGUUAAUGCAAUAGCAUAAAGCUAACCAUGAUAAUCCAAAUGGUAAACAAGGAUCAGGUAAAUACAGAAUAGUCAAUCCUUAGGUUUUCAUAAAGUAAUGCGGGACGGUGGAUUAUAAAGUAUGUAGGACAUAAUAGGUCAUAGGACACUUGCCUUCAUCAGGUUGUUGCUUAGGAAGAUCUUCGGCAACACACUGAGGAACCACGGGCUGAUCGUCGUCUAAAUAAAGCGAUCAUACAUUCAAUACAUUUGAUAAAUGACAAAUGAACAACACACCAAUCAUGUACAAACAAUGGAACACAUCUCAAAAGGAAAAGUAUAAACUCAAAAAAGGGAGUUUAGGGUAUAGGGUGAACUAAUCACUUUUAGUAGUUUGUUAUUCUCUAAGUGUUGUCUAUUUCCAUGAUUACAUAAUCUGAUUCUACUCAUUUAAAUGAGACAUCAAAGUUAAACCAGGGAUAAGUUCAUACAUCACAUAUUAUUAUCUUUACAAUAUUAAACAUCUAUUUACCACUAGGGUUUUCCUUUUUAUUUAUCUUAUUAAACAAAUAAAUUAUCACAUAAACUAACCUAUAGCCUAGGCAUAAAAUUAAGAGUUUUUAAAAUUGGUACCCUCAGUUUUGGUGGUGUUCUCACCUAUACCCUUAGUCGUGUUUUUUGCUCAGUUGUGCCCCUCUGUUCUAUAGCACUGGAAGGGCACAGCUGAGCAAAAAACAUGACUAAGGGUAUAUGUGAGCACACCACCAAAACUGAGGGCACCAAUUUAAAAAACCCUAAAAUUAAAGUGCACAAACAGUGAAUGAUCAUAAUUUAUUUGGACAGAGCAUAAUACUAUGAACAUUUUGCAAUUUGAAUCACACAAUUUGGAGUUCAUAUGAAAAUAUAUGAAAUAAACAAGUUUUGAAGUUUGAAAUACAAAAUUAGGCCUAAAUCUGUGAUUAAAUAAAAGUCUAGGGUUCAAUCUGCAAGAUUACAGGGGCCUGCGCGUGAAACAGAUGGACGGCGGGUUGAUUCUCGGAAAACCAAGGGUCUCUUUAACAAAAUUACACGCGAAGGGGUAUCGGGAUUCCUCGGCCGCUAGAUCACGGAUCGACGGCCGAAAUUAGAUCUCGCAGAUGAGUGCGCAGGCGCGCGGCGAGCGCUGACAGGUGGGCUCGGGGCGUCAGUGACAUGAGGUGGGUCUGACGGGCCGGGCCCAGCAGUAGGGCGCGGGUGAGGGGGGCAGAUUCGAGCAGUCGGAUCAUCAACAAGCGGCUGAGAUUAGAUCGAUCCUAUUUAACCCUAGACUGCCAGAUCUCAGAUGGAUGUCUGGGAUCCAACGACCAACGCGGUCGGUGUGGCUAGACCUAAGUGCGGUGGCGCCACACGCUCCCGCGGCGAGGUCUCGCCGGAGAGGAGGACACGACCACAGCAAAGCCCCUAAGGGAUCGGGAAAAAACUCGGGCGCACUAAGGGCGACAUGGCGAACUCGGCCGUGGGCACGACACCGGCGCAGGGGCACCAGAGGGCGCAGACCGCGGCGGAGCGGCUCAACGACGGCAUAAACUCGCUCCAGCGAGCAAUUACGCGGAUACUAGGGCAGUAACUAGGGAAAUAAGGGCAUAUGAGGGUUGCUCACCUCGAGUAUAGACUCAGGAGCGCUUGAGUAACGGCGGGGACACAGGGAAACCUCGGGUCGACGGCGGCGGGACUUUGGCUCCACGGAGAGGACGACAGUGAGCGCGGACUGGGCAAACCAGAGGGGUUGGGGCAGACCGAGGGUUGUCCCGGGUUGCGGGUGAUAAGAUGGAGCUUACCGAGGCAACGGACACGGCGAGGGCUCAACGACAACCGCAGAACGGGCGCGAGACCACGGCGAGCGGUGGCGAAACUCCAUGGACGCGCGCGCGGUGUGAGGCGAGUGCUGAGGGCUGCGAGUGGGCGAGUGAGGAAAGAGGAGGGCGAGCGGGUGCUAGGCAGCUAGAAAAGGCCCGAGGUGGGGACGGGCGCGGCCUCGGCGUGCGUCGUGGCCGCGGAGUCCAUGGCGACGCAUGGGUCGUGCGCGGGUGGUUCGGAGGGGAAAGGUCCGACAGACGGGACCCACCGGUCAGCGAGAGCGGGCGAGUAAACGGGCAGCCGGGCUGAUGAGCGGGGCCUACGGGACAGUGAGGGAAGGGACGCGCACGCGGAGGAGGUCGGCGCCGACAAGUCGGCCCCAUUAGCAGCGAGAGGGAGAGGGGGAAGAGAGAGUGGGCGCGAGAAGGCGUUGAAAGGCGAGGUCCGCCUACCACCGAAGGCUGGCGCGCGGGCGCGCGCGCGGUGCUGUGCCGUCUGGGCUGAUUGGACCGAAUUGGGGUUUUCAUUUUUCUGGAAUUUCGAAUUGUUUUUUCCAUUUUUUUCUCUAGGGUUUUCAAUUCAAAUUCAAACCAAGUUUCAAAUUCAAACCAAUUCAAACAUGUGCAUUAAUUCAAAGGGUAAUUUAGGCUCAGCAUGAUGCAACAAUUCAUGACUCACACAGUUUUGACAAAAAUAAAUAAUUAAACCCUCACCAAAUUAUGCUAAUUCUACUCAAAAGAAAAAAGGGAGAGAGAGAAUAGAGAGAGAGGCAAGAGUUAACACCUGAAUUUGCUAGGUAUUUAGAAAGAAAUUUUAUACCCCCAAAUUUAGGGUGUUACAUUAGCUCCAAAGUCAUUCCUACGGGGAUGUAGAGCUAAAAUGCCACCUAAGUAAAAGGUGAAGAAGGUAUAUCUCAAAUUUAGGGUGAUACAUUAGCUCCAAAGUCGUUCCUCGGCUUCUCAUAGCCCAAAUAAAAAACUCCAACUUUAAUUAAGGCUUUGGGGGGUAAGCUGAUGAAGGUAUCAAAUGUCUUUAGCAUUUCGACCAACAUCUUGUGCAAGGGAAAACGAAGUCUAGCCUUCAUAAAACUUUUAAAUACUAUCACUUCAUAUGCUUCAGGAAGAGGAACAAUGCUUUCUCCUCUAGCCCUCACUAUGGAUAUAUCAUGGAAAUAUCUGCCCUUCAUCGCUUCAAUUUGCCCUUGUUUGACAGUUGAUUUCCCGAAAACAACAUGGCUUGGCCUCCACGGCCGAUCUUUGGCAUCUUCGUUCUCACUUUCAACAUCAAAGCUCUCGUUAUCACUGGAAUCCCAGAUAGUCCAGCUAACAUUUCAUCAGUGAUCUUCUCGACGUUGGUUCUCUCCAUGGUUUCGUAGAAACCAGCGAGCGCGGAGUCUACGCUUUUAUUAUCGACCAUUUCGGUGAUGAUCACAGCAGAAAGCCAAAGCUCAAAAAACAAUUGCGCUCACAGAAGAAGAAAGCUAAAACAACAAUCACAGCACAAAAGCUAGAUAGCACGAAAAAUAUUCUCAGCGCAAGCCCCUGUAUAUAUACACAAAAGCACCACUGAGCGGUGGGGCCCAUGAUACAGAAUGAUUCGCUAUGCUGCGAAGAGAAGAUGUUUUUUUGGACCUUCGGCUAAAGGCCUUCGUUCAUUUCGUGGUCUGAAUUUGUUACAAAGAAACAAACUAAUACUGUGAGGGGCUACUAUUGGGGGCCUUCCUCUUCCAAAGGUCCUCAAAAAACACAACUAAUCAUUUGUUUCUAGUGUACUAUUGAAUACUACAGGAGCUUCGUUGUAAAGGUUCAUGAUGGAAGUCUUCUUCUCUGCCGAAGGUCCUUAAGACGAAGACAUUGCCUGAAAAUGACAACAAUGAAUAUUGAAGCUAUAGCCGAAGAGCAUCAGCUUUGGCUUAAAGUGACGACGAAGAUCAAGCAUGAUGCCAAGCUGAAGAGGAAAAGACUAGUUAGUCCCUAAUGAUUUAUGUUACAAUUAUAAGUACAUGUAAAGGUCAUAAAAGUAUUUUUACUCGGGCUGCGUCCCAUGCCUGUAAAGAGGUGAACAAUAUCCCCGUACUGUUCACGCUGGAUUGUAAUUGUUCUCGCGUCAACACCUUUGAUCAAGCCGAAGAUAUUAAUGUAAUAUAUGUUCUGUUAAUGUUCAUGUACAUAUGUUAUGAAAUAAACAUAUGAAUGAAUGACAUAUAUUAUCUCCAUAAAUUUUUAUUCUCGUAAAAUGAUGAAGGUUUGUCCUGCAUGACCUUCGUCUGAAGAUCAUUAUAUCCAGAAGGAGAUAAUGCUUCGGAGGACGAAGGUCCUUAAUCUUUAACAACUGUGUUGCCUUGUUCUUAAUUCACAUCAUUUGAGAACAAGUGACCAAUAGAGUGUGAGCCUUCUUUUUGCCUUUUCUUUCAUCAUAGGCAAAAGCAUAUGGUCUUGAAGAAGUUGGCUCCUCUUGACGAACCAUUUUUCACGACAUCACAAAUGCCACAAUUUUCCCAAUCACAAUGGUCGGGGUACUCAAGUCCUCCAUGUUGUGAAGAAUAGUGAUGAUGCUCCCGUAUCUUUGUUGUGGUAGUAGGGAGAUAAUCUUCCUCACAAUGUCCGCAUCACCUAGCUUAUUAAUGCUAAUAGAGUUGAGUUCAUUGAUGAUUAGAUUCAAAUGAGAAUACAUGUCUCUAACAAGCUCAUUAUCCUUCAUAGCAAAAGAAUUAUACUCAUUUAAGACUAGGCAAUGUUUUGCUCAUGGACAUUGGAUGUGUCGUCAUGGAGCUCAUGCAAUCUUAGCCAAAUCUCAUUAGCAGUUUUUAAAGUAAAAACUUGAUUGAAAUAUCCAUGCUAAGAGAUUCAUACAAGCAAUUUUUGGCUCUAUCAUUUAAAUGAAUUUUUUUCCUCACUCGUGGUGGGUUUCUCGGGAUUUUUGGAUGGUUUCAUCUCGUCACGAGUGACUCUCCGAACACCUAGAGCAACGACCUCUAGGUAACAAGCCAUUCUAGCACUAUAAUAUGGGAAGUUAGUGACGUCGAAGUGUGGUGGCCUAUGAGUAUCCAUCCCCUUUCUCUAAAAAGUGUCGGCUCUUUUAGCGGUGAAGCUAAAGUGUUUCAAAUAAGCCAAAUCAGGCUCUGAUACCAAUUCAAGGAAAUAGGUGACGCCUAAGAGGAGGGGGUGAAUUUGGACUUCUGAAACUUUUUCUAAACUAGGCCACAAUUAAAUCCAUAGAGCAAAAUCAAUGCAAUUAAACAAUCUAGAAUGUGCAAAUUAGGUUAUGUCUAAGUGUUGCUAUCUCUGCCGCAAUGUCUAAGUUUCAAUCCUAAACAAUCUAAUUAUAAAGACAAGAUUGAAACUUAAAUGCUUAAUAUAAACACGAAAGCUAAAGGGCAAGGUAGAGUUGCAAACUCUCGUGGAUGACACUGUUAUUUUUACCAAGGUAUCUGGAACCAUGCAAGGUCCCGACUAAUCCUCGUUGGUGCCCCUACGCAAAGGGAAGCCCACGCGAGGGCCAAGCAUCACAGUCGAGUAACUCCGUACAGAGCCACAGGCCUUCUCCACGUGCAAGUGGUGCUCCGCUUCUGGCUCCUCUCGGACGCUCCUUGCCGUCUCCACUAUCGAGCUUCCGGCCGAAACACCGCGGGCCUCGUUCCCUUUGGUACACGGUGGCGGUCGUGACACAAAUGCGGUUGUCAUGGUCUCGCUAGACUCUCGACCCACUCGGUACAAUUACAAUGGCUCACGCAAGAGCCGAGGGAUCGUGUGAUUUUUUUAAACUCACUCAACUAACUAGAAUUCACUUAGAGCAAGCCCUAAAGUGGUCUAACUAAUCUAAGCACUUCGCAAAGCACCUACGCUAAUCAACGAGUGAUUCUAUUAAGCACUUGGGUGUAUGAGCACCUGGAAAUGUCUAUAUUAUGCCUUGGUAUGUUUCUUGGGCUCCCACACCUCCAAAUGGCCGGAUGGGGGUAUUUAUAGGCUCCCUCACACUUCUAACCGUUGGACACAAAGCAACUGCUUUCUAUCGACGGGCACACCGGACAGUUCGGUGCGCACCAGACAUAUAUUAUUCACUAUAAGGUGUCUGUCACGUCAGCCGACCGUUGGGGUCUGUAGCAGUCGACUGUUGGAUCCGACCGUUACCCAGACUGUCUAGUGCAUAAUGGACAGUCCGGUGCUACAACUCGAGAGCGCCCGUCGUGGGCCUCUCUGCACAGACUGUCUGGGUGUCCCAUCGGACAGUCUGGUGCGCCACGAGGGUGCUGGCUGACUGCCCACUUCAUGGAUUUCUUCGCUGAUUCUUUGGGAUUCUUUUGUUAUUGAGUCUUGGACUUCUAAGCUCUUUUUAUGUCUUCAUUUGAGGCGUUGCAUCCACAUUGUCUUAGUCCAAUCCUCUUCGCAUCCUAUGAACUAUAAACAUAAACACUAGCAAACACAUUAGUCCAUAGGUUAUGUUGAUCAUCAAACACCAAAACCUAUUGAACCAAAUGGUCCGGGGUCCAUUUUCCUUACAAAGCCCUCGAGCCCUACUCGCUCAAUGUCCCAGAUAUAUACCCUCUCCGCUGUAGAGGGCCCCAUCGAGUCAUCCGAACCUUCGGAUGACGAUGAGGGGGGCACCAGCGGCGGAGACUCUUCACUCUCAGAAGAAAAGUGCUCCUCCGAGUUAGACAUGAUCAUGGGCCACCCAACCUGACCAACCCGCUUGAAAAAACCCGACUCGACCCAGUCAAUGUAAUAGGUGGGUACGUGACGUAAUUUUUGACCCACAAUAAUUCACGGGCCGGGUACGGGCCAUGAUUUUUGACACAAGAUCCGACCCAACCCAAAAAACCGGACCCAAAGCCAAAAAACCCGACCCAACCCAAAAAACCUUAACCCGACACAUCAAACUGAGAGGCCCGAGUAAAAGUUCCCUUUGUCCAGGGACAUGAUCGAGAUGUCGCCUAGAGGGGGGUUAAUAGGCGAAUAAAAAUUAACACUUAAAAACUAGAAAUUCUUACUCUACUCGAAGACUGGAUCGCAGUGGAAUGAAAGACCCUUCGAGUAGAUUACAGCGAAAUUGAAAUUCUUGUCUUAAAAUACCAUGCAUUUUAAAGACAGCUUGUACCAAAUAUAAGUAUUGAAGUGCAAGUAUAAAAAGCAAAUAAGACAGAGAAACAACACACACCACAGAGCGGAGCACACAGACAUAGGGAUUUAUCCCGAGGUUUGACCAAGCCUGGAAAGCUUGCCUAGUCCUCAUUGGAGUUAGCCACACCUUGGCUUGGAGUCUAUUUCAACUACUUCCUCCGUUUGCUUAGAUCUGUCAGUGCGACAGAUAGAGCCUUCCACUAUGUUGAUAUCAGUUACAACGAUUUUGUGGCUGCUUACAAUCUUCUUGACAGCACUCCGGUAGAGUAACAAUGCGCUCAAGAUUUUGCUCUGGCUCUUAGCAGCACUUCCCCUCUCUCUAAAGGCUUAUAACUUCGCAUUUACACAAACUAGAGAGAUACACAAGAGAGGGAGAGAAAGAGUUGAUCCAAAUGAUGUAUGGGCAUGUUGGUUGCACUUGUACGCUUGUUGGAGGCACCUAGGGGUCCCUUUUAUAGUCCCAAGGGGUCUAGGAGCCGUUGGAGCUUCAUUUGGAAGCUCUCAGCCUUCCCUGUCUGCGGGUGCACCACCGGACAAUGCAUGGUAAUAGAUCUGAUUGGCAGUUUUCUUCUCUAAAAGGGCUAGCCGUUGCGGCACCGAACAUGUUACUAUUCAUUGUACUGUGUGCACCGAACAUGUUACUAUUCACUGGCAUGUGCACUGAACAAGCUACUAUUCACUAUCUUGUGCAUCGGGCAGCUUACUAUUCACUGUGUUGUGCACCGGACAUGUUAUUAUUCACUGUCCUGUGCACCGGACAGUUACUAUUCAUUGUCCUGUACACCAGCCAACAGCACACUAAGUGCUUUUUUCUCCAUUCUUUCUCCAUUUGACUUCAACUUUUGGGAGGAUUUUCCUAAGAUUUAAACAAACACAUUUAGAGUAUAAUCCAGUUGACUUAGUCCUAGAAAUUUACCUCAUUCCUGUUCUUCUCCCAACUUUUCUGUUUCUAAAAAUUGCCUAGAGGGGGGGUGUGAAUAGGGCGAAUCUGAAAUUUACAAACUUAAUCACAACUACAAGCCGGGUUAGCGUUAGUAAUAUAAUUGAGUCCGAGAGAGAGGGUGCAAAACAAAUCGCAAGCGAAUAAAGAGUGUGACACAUGGAUUUGUUUUACCGAGGUUCGGUUCUCGCAAACCUACUCCCCGUUGAGGUGGUCACAUAGACCGGGUCUCUUUCAACCCUUUCCCUCUCUCAAACGGUCCCUCAGACCGAGUGAUCUUCUUCUUCUCAAUCAAACGGGAACAAACUUCCCCGCAAGGACCACCACACAAUUGGUGUCUCUUGCCUUGGUUACAAUUGAGUUGUUCGCAAGAAAGAGUGAAAGAAAGAAGCAAUCCAAGCGCAAGAGCUCAAAAGAACACAACAAAUCUCUCUCACUAAUCACUAAUGCUUUGUGUGGAGUUGGGAGAGGAUUUGAUCACUUGGGUGUGUCUAGAAUUGAAUGCUAGAGCUCUUGUAAGUAGUUGGAAGGUGGAAAACUUGGAUGACUUGAAUGUGGGGUGGUUGGGGUAUUUAUAGCCCUAACCACCAAACUAGUCGUUUGGUGGAGGCUGCUGUCGCAUGGCGCACCGGACAGUCCGGUGCGCCAGCCACGUCACCCGGCUGUUAGAGUUCGACCGUUGGAGCUCUGGCUGGUGGGGUCGCCUGGCUGUCCGGUGGUGCACCGGACAGGUACUGUAGACUGUCCGGUGCGCCGUCUCGCGCGUGCCUGCCUUCUGCGCGCACUGGCGCGCAUUAAAUGCCUCUGCAGGUGACCGUUGGCGCUGAAGUAGUCGUUGCUCCCCUGUCACACCGGACAGUCCGGUGAAUUAUAGCGGAGUGCCCUUGGAAAUUCCCGAAGGUGAAGAGUUUGGCUUCGACCGCCCAGGUGCACCGGACACUGUCCGGUGGCGCACCGGACAGUCCGGUGCGCCAGACCAGGGUGCCUUCCGGGUUGUCUUUUGCUCUAUUGUUUGAACCCUUUUCUUGGUCUUUUUAUUGGCUUAUUUUGAACCUUUGGCACCUGUAGAACUUAUAGACUAGAGCAAACUAGUUAGUCCAAUUAUUUGUGUUGGGCAAUUCAACCACCAAAAUCAAUUAGGAAAUAGGUGUAAGCCUAAUUCCCUUUCAAUCUCCCCCUUUUUGGUGAUUGAUGCCAACACAAGCCAAAGCAAGUAUAGAAGUGCAUAAUUGAACUAGUUUGCAUAAAGUGAGUGCAAAGGUUACUUAGAAUUGAGCCAAUAUAAAUUCUCAUAAGAUAUGCAUGGAUUGUUUCUUUAUUUUUAACAUUUUGGACCACGCUUGCACCACAUGUUUUGUUUUUGCAAAUUCUUUUGUAAAUUCUUUUCAAAGCCCUUUUUGCAAAUAGUCAAAGGUAAAUGAAUAAGAUUUUGGGAAGCAUUUUCAAGGUUUGAAAUUUUCUCCCCUUGUUUCAAAUGCUUUUCCUUUGACUUAAACAAAAUUCCCCCUCAAUAAAUUCCUCCUCUUAGUGUUCAAGAGGGUUUUGAUGUUAAUUUUGAAGAGGGUAUACCAAUUUGAAAAUACUUCUUUAAAACCAAAUUGAAGGACUAAACUUUUGAAAUUGGUGGUGGUGUGGUCCUUUUGCUUUGGGCUCAUGCUUUCUCCCCCUUUGGCAUAAAUCGCCAAAAACGGAAUCAUUAGAGCCCUUUUGAACUACUUUCUCCCCCUUUGGUAAAUAGCAUGUGAGUGAAGAUUAUACCAAAGACGAAGAGUUGCUCAGAGCGACGGCGAAGGAUGAGUUAUGAGUGGAGUGGAAGCCUUUGUCUUCGCCGAAGACUCCAAUUCCCUUUCAAUACACCUAUGACUUGGUUUGAAAUUUACUUGAAAACACAUUAGUCAUAGCACAUGAAAGAGAGAUGAUCAAAAAGUAUAUUUAUGAGUUAUGUAUGCAAGACAUCAAAAGAAAUUCCUAGAAUCAAGAAUAUUUAGCUCAUGCCUAAGUUUGUUAAAGGUUUGUUCAUCAAGUGGCUUGGUAAAGAUAUUGGCUAAUUGAUCUUUAGUGUUAAUAUAUGCAAUCUCGAUAUCUCCCUUUUCUUGGUGAUCCCUUAGAAAAUGAAAUCGAAUGGCUAUGUGUUUAGUGCGGCUAUGUUCAACAGGAUUAUCCGCCAUGCGGAUUGCACUCUCAUUAUAACAUAGAAGAGAAACUUUGGUUAAUUUGUAACCGUAGUCCCUAAGGGUUUGCCUCAUCCAAAGUAGUUGCGCGCAACAAUGACCUGCGGCAAUGUACUCGGCUUCGGCGGUAGAAAGAGCUACGGAAUUUUGCUUCUUUGAAGCCCAAGACACCAAGGAUCUUCCCAAGAACUGGCAAGUCCCCGAUGUGCUCUUUCUAUGAAUUUUACACCCCGCCCAAUCGGCAUCCGAAUAACCAAUCAAAUCAAAAGUGGAUCCCCUAGGAUACCAAAGCCCAAACUUAGGAGUAUGAACUAAAUAUCUCAAGAUUCGUUUUACGGCCGUAAGGUGAGCUUCCUUAGGGUCGGCUUGGAAUCUUGCACACAUGCAUACGGAAAGCAUAAUGUCCGGUCGAGAUGCACAUAGAUAGAGUAAAGAGCCUAUCAUCGACCGGUAUACCUUUUGAUCGACGGAUUUACCUUUCGUGUAGAGGUCGAGAUGCCCAUUGGUUCCUAUGGGUGUCUUGAUGGGCUUGGCAUCCUUCAUCCCAAACUUGUUUAGAAUGUCUUGAAUAUACUUCGUUUGGCUAAUCAAGGUGCCCUCUUGGAGUUGCUUCACUUGAAAUCCCAAGAAAUACUUCAACUCCCCCAUCAUCGACAUCUCGAAUUUCUUUGUCAUGAUCCUACUAAAUUCCUCACAUGUAGAUUCGUUAGUAGACCCAAAUAUGAUAUCAUCAACAUAAAUUUGGCAUACAAACAAAUCGUUCUCAAGAGUUUUAGUAAAUAAAGUAGGAUCGGCUUUUCUGACUUUGAAGCCAUUAGUGAUAAGAAAAUCUCUAAGGCAUUCAUACCAUGCUCUUGGGGCUUGCUUGAGCCCAUAAAGCGCCUUAGAGAGUUUAUACACAUGAUUAGGAUACUCACUAUCUUCAAAGCCGGGAGGUUGCUCAACAUAGACCUCUUCCUUGAUUGGUCCGUUGAGGAAGGCACUUUUCACGUCCAUUUGGUAAAGCUUAAAGCCAUGGUAAGUAGCAUAGGCAAGUAAUAUGCGAAUUGACUCAAGCCUAGCUACUGGUGCAUAGGUUUCACCGAAAUCCAAACCUUCGACUUGGGAGUAUCCUUUGGCCACAAGUCGGGCUUUGUUCCUUGUCACCACACCAUGCUCGUCUUGCUUGUUGCGAAAAACCCAUUUGGUUCCUACAACAUUUUGGUUAGGAUGUGGAACCAAAUGUCAUACCUCAUUCCUAGUGAAGUUGUUGAGCUCCUCCUGCAUCGCCACCACCCAAUCCGAAUCUUGUAGUGCUUCCUCUACCCUGUGUGGCUCAAUAGAGGAAACAAAAGAGUAAUGCUCACAAAAAUGUGCAACACGAGAUCUAGUGGUUACCCCCUUAUGAAUGUCGCCGAGGAUGGUGUUGACGGGGUGAUCUCGUUGUAUUGCUUGGUGGACUCUUGGGUGUGGCGGUUUUGGUUCUUCAUCCUCCUUGUCUUGAUCAUUUGUAUCUCCCCCUUGAUCAUUGUCGUUAUCUUGAGGUGGCUCAUCAUUUUGAUCUUCUUCUUCAUCAACUUGAGCCUCAUCCUCAUUUUGAGUUGGUGGAGAUGCUUGCGUGGAGGAGGAUGGUUGAUCUUGUGCAUUUGGAGGCUCUUCGGAUUCCUUAGGACACACAUCCCCAAUGGACAUGUUCCUUAGAGCGAUGCACGGAGCCUCUUCAUCACCUAUCUCAUCAAGAUCAACUUGCUCUACUUGAGAGCCGUUAGUCUCAUCAAACACAACGUCACAAGAAACUUCAACUUGUCUAGAGGACUUGUUAAAGACUCUAUAUGCCCUUGUGUUUGAAUCAUAUCCUAGUAAAAAGCCUUCUACAGUCUUAGGAGCAAAUUUAGGUUUUCUACCUCUUUUAACAAGAAUAAAGCAUUUGCUACCAAAGACUCUAAAAUAUGAAAUAUUUGGCUUUUUACCGGUUAGGAGUUCGUAUGAUGUCUUCUUGAGGAUUCGGUGUAGAUACAACCGGUUGAUGGCGUAGCAGGCGGUGUUGACCGCCUCGGCCCAAAACCGAUCCGACGUCUUGUCACUACAACUUUUUAUGCCUUCUAUGACGAAUAUACAAUGACACUAAGCAAAUUUGUCAUAAAUUAGUUGUGUUUAUGACGUUUUCUAUGAGAUGAUCUGAUCUAGUGACAAAAAAAAUUCUUGCGUCAUUAAAAUCCAUUAAAAUCGUCAUUGUUUGAAAUGGAUGCAACUUUGUGACGAUAUGUUAUGACAAUAUACGUUGGUCAUAUGAGUAAAUCAUCAUAACUCCCUUUUUUACUGAGAGCUCUGGGACCCUGACAAUAUUAGGCGACUUUGGUAUUUUGUCAUAGUUUUAUAAAUUAUUUAAUAUGAAAAAUAGUUCUCCCCACAUUCUAAAAUAUAAUUCAUUUUUGAUCAUCAUAACUCCCUUUUUUACUUUGAGCUCGGGGACCCUGACAAUAUUAGGCGACAUUUGGUAUUUUGUCAUAGUUUUAUAAAUUAUUUAAUAUGAAAAAUAGUCCUCCCCACAUUCUAAAAUAUAAUUCAUUUUCGAUUAAUUUUUUUCAAUAAUUAACUUUUUGAAUGUAGUUUGUAUACAUGUAUACGAAUAAAUUUGAACAAAAAGGCGUUAGAAAGAAGUAUAUUUAUCACUAGCCCCAUUGAUUACAUGGCAUGAGUUGGUUUAAAAGGUAAUUUUAGACCGGCUAAUAUUUAGUUUACAUGGCAUUAUUUUUUAUGGCUCGCUACUUUCUGGUUAAAAUUAGUAGGAAAAAGGAAGAAACACUUGCUAGUUACUGUUGCAUUUGAUAAAAAAAGAAAUACUUGCUUUUUUGCACUUUUAAUUUGUAAAAAAAACUAAUGCAAACUUCUGGAUAGAACCUGAGAUCUGAUAGUUCCCUUCAUUCAUCUCUUCCACUAGACCAUUUGAGUGGCUACGAAUAAAAUAGCAUCUCUUUAUAUACAUAUACAUUUGAACUGCAAAAUAAAAUAAAAGUGACGGACUCGAACUCAACCUCUGCAGGUCCGAUUAGAGCCAAAGCCCCGGCUGCUUCUGUUGGCUGCGGCGCCGGUGCCGACGUCGGCGGGAGACCUGUACAUCUACUACGACUGGGAGGUCUCCUACAUCUCAGCGCAGCCCCUUGGUGUUAACAGAAGGUGUUGCUCGUCCCUCCCCUCUCAUCCCUUGCAUUCCUGCAACAGCGGCUCGACCUUGACAUCGGCGGUUGCAAUAGGUGAUUGGCAUCAAUGGCUAGUGAUAAUAUUAUUUAUUUUAUGUCUUGAUUUCAUUCAAUGUCAUAGAAAAGUAAUCACUUGUCAAUUCAUUGUUUUUUGUCCAUGAUGCUACAUAAUAGUAAUCGCUGGGACUUAAAUUAGAUUUCUGAUCAUGUGCGCCAAGAUUAAUUCAACAAACUCAUGGUAAUUCCUGCUUCAAGAUGUAUUUUGGAUACUUUUGUCCUUCCAAAUUUGUUAUCCUCCAUUUAAGUAAAACAUAUACAUGAUACCUCAUUGCUCUGUUGCGUUGCACUAACGCUGUUUUAGAGUCUGAGGAUGCCUUGGUGGCUAUGGUAUGUCAUAGGGUUUGUUGAUAAUUAGUAUUUGUAUAGUUAAAUAUAUUCAUAAUUGUUUAUUUUUGCAAACAGUGUUAAUGAGUAAUAGUUGAGUUAUUGAGAGUGAGAUAAUCUAAUAAAUGUUGUAUCAUUUAAAUGUAUGGCAGAUGGACAGGUCUUGGAUCAAUACUAGGCUUUUCAGCAAGCGAUAUCUAGCCGGGGUGGAUGAGUUCAUGAAGUUUAUAGAAGAGCGAUUUACUGAAACUGAGGAGAUCCUAUGUCCAUGUCGAAAGUGCUUGAAUCAACUUUAUAAAAAUAAAUCACAAGUAGAGAAUCACUUAUAUAUUAAUGGGAUGGCGAGCACAUACACAACAUGGAUACAUCAUUGGGAGCCACUAUUGAAUGCCAGAUUAAAUGAAAAUGUUGACCAUAUAGAUGAACAACAUAGCUUCAAUGAGGAUGCUUGUAUGAAUGAGUUUGAACAAGAUAACCUUGAUGAUAGAUUACUGGAAAUGGUGCAUGAGUUGUUCACAUCUGAAGAAGGUGCACAAAAGUCUAUGUUUGCAGUUGUUUUAGACGAGAUGAAGCAGACGAUUCACCCAGGUUCACCAUUCACAAAAUUUUCUUUUGUGGUUAGGUUACUUCAUAUCAAGUCAUUUUAUCGGAUAAGCAAUGUGGCGUUCACUGGAAUUUUGAAGUUGUUAUCAUUGUCGUUCCCACAAUGUUGCCUUCCUGCAUCUUAUAAUGAAGCAAAGGAACUUAUUCGUGUAUUGGGACUUGGUUAUGAGUCAAUCCAUGUGUGUCCAAAUAAUUGUGUUUUGUUUCAGAAGGAUUAUGCAGAAAAAGAUGAAUGCCCAGUGUGUGGAGAAUCUAGAUGGAAAGAUGGUGAAGGUAAAAGUAAGAGUCCUCGGAAGGUACUGCGACAUUUUCCGUUGAUUCCUAGGUUGAAAAGAAUGUUUUCCUCAAAAAAAAUAUCUGAGGAUGCACAAUGGCACAAGUUGAAGAGGAAAGUUGAGGAAAAUGAGCUUAACCAUCCAGCGGAUGGUAAGGCAUGGAAGGACUUUGAUAAGCAACACAAUUGGUUUGCAGAAGAUCCAAGGAAUAUCAGGCUUGGUCUUGCAACAGAUGGUUUCAAUCCAUUUGGGAAAAUGAGCUCCUCUUAUAGUAUGUGGCCUGUUUUUGUUAUCCCUUACAACUUUCCUCCAUGGGUAUGUGUCGAGCAAUCAAACUUCAUGAUGUGUAUACUCAUCCCAGGCAAAGAAUGCCCUGGAAAGGAUUUUGAUGUCUUUUUAGAGCCACUAAUUGACGAGUUGCUAGAUCUCUGGUUAGGCGUCAAUACUAUUGAUGCAAGAGUUGGUAAAGAGUUCAUUCUACAUGCUGCAGUGCUAUGGUGCAUCCAUGAUUAUCCAGCUCUGAGCACGUUGUCAGGUAGAGUCACCAGAGGGUAUUAUGCAUGUUUGCAUUGCGACAAAAAUCCCUGCUCUAGAAGAAUACGAAAUAAGAUCUGCUAUAUAGAGCAUCGACGAUUCCUUGGAAAGGACCAUCCAUGGAGAAAGAAGAAAGACUUUGAUGGGAAAGUUGAAACUCGUGACAAGCCAGAGGCAUUUAGUGAAGCUGAGUUGAAGCAGCAAUUGGACAGGGUCAAGGAUGUUAGACCAGGAAAGCAUCCUCAAAACAAGAAGAGAAAGCGGGAUGCAAAUGAUGGCCAAUGUUGGAAGAAAAGGUCAUGUUUGUGGGAUUUGCCUUACUGGGUAGGUUUGAAACUGCGGCAUAACCUUGAUGUGAUGCACAUCGAAAAAAAUAUAUGUGAGUCAAUUCUUGGUACAUUAUUAGGUAUUCCCGGGAAAUCAAAGGGUAGUGUUAAUGCUAGGCUUUAUAUGGAAGACAUGGGUAUAAGAAAAUCUUUGCACUUGAAGCGUGAUGGAGAUUCAUAUAACGCUCCUCCUGCUCCAUACACAAUGGAUAAAAACAGAAGCUUGCUUUCUAUGACUUUAUAAGAAGUGUAAAGUUUCCAGAUGGAUAUGCUUAGAACCUAGCAACAUGCAUUACUACUGAUGGAUGCAACCUCCAAGGGUUAAAAACUCAUGAUUGCCAUAUAAUAUUGCAACGGAUUUUUUACCUGUCGCUCUACGAGGAAUCAUGGAUAAUGACAUGUACAUAGCAAUUGCUGAUCUAGGUAACUUCUUUCAGCAAUUAUGUGCUAGGACAUUAAAGUUAAGUGUUUUGCAUAGAAUGAAAUCUAAAAUCCCAAUUGUUCUAUGCAAGCUUGAAAAAAUAUUUCCUCCUGCAUUUUUUGAUGUCAUGGUCCACUUAACUGUCCAUUUAGCUGAUGAAGCUAUCCUGAGAGGACCAGUGCAAUAUGGUUGGAUGUACCCAGUCGAAAGACGGUUAUAUACUUUGAAGCAUUCUGUGAGGAACAUGGCACGACCUGAAGGCUCAAUUGCUGAAGCAUAUGUUGUUGAUGAAUGCUUGAUUGCUUGUUCGCGGUAUUUUGAUGAUCUCGACACACGGCAUAAUCGGGAGGGCAGGAACAGAGAGCGUGUUGAUAUGAGCAAGGGUGAUUUAUCUGUUUUCCAACAUGGAGUCGAUUUACUCAGAGCUCAUACGGUUACAUACCAAGAAAAUAUAUAUGACAAGAUGGUUUGGUAUGUGUUAAACAAUUGUCCGGAGGUUGAACAAUAUAUAGAGUACGUCUUCCUAUCUACAAUUUCUACAAUUUCACUUCUGGUGUCUACAAAACCUACUAAUUUUAUGAGCUAAUUGUCUAUUCAAAAAUGCUUUGCAGGUUAUACAGAAAGGAGCUAGAGAACGAAGGAAAUCAAGAUAUUGAAAAAACCAUUGAGAAACAAUUUGCUAUCUGGUUUAAGAACCAUGUGAGUUGUUGUUGCAUAUUGUCUUUAACCAUUUUUAGUGGUUCAAGAUGUUUUAACUAUCUUGGGGAAUUAUGUGUACAGAUUGCAACUCUACGGUUUGUGAAUGGCGAAGAUGUAAGUGAUGACUUAUACGCUUUGUCAUGUCAACCAGAUCUGCGUAUAAGAAUAUUUUCAGCAUGUAUUGUUGGUGGUGUACGCUUCCACACUACACUACACAUCCUAGUUCAACAGCUACCACAAACCAAGAAUCCACCCAAAACAUUACUUCUGCAACACAAUUUACUUCAAGUGCAGCCGCUGAACAAAAUUACACCCAAGGCAUGACUGCUGCUGCACAAGCUAAUUCUCCCAUACAAGCUGACAUCAGCGACCACAUUGCAGAUGAAGGCAAGUGAUUAUUUAUAUAUGUAAUUUCAAUUCGAUUGUUAUUCAAUAAAUUUAUUAGUUUAUCCUAGGCUAGUGAACCUGCAUAAGUAAUUCAAGUUGUAAGUAUAUGUCCAAUUAUUUUUUAGAUUUGGCACUAAAUUGCUUUUUACUCACUCCAAUAACUAGAAUUGGUACCAAGGCAAAGAAGUAUGGGCAAACAACUUGAAUCCUUGAGCAGAGGGUUAGGCACUAAGAUUCCAAUCCAAAUUUAUGAUGGAAAGCGAAGGCCAGAACCCCCUAUUCAGGCCGCAAAGUUUGCAUCAGAGGGUGGGAUCAUACUCAGGCAACAUAUUCCAAUAUUUCCACACUGGAAGGAGUACAAGAAGCAAGAGAACGAGGGUAAAAUUACAGACUAUAUUGGCAAGCUUGCUGUAAGUCAAUAUUUGCAUCACUUGUUCAAUUACAGUAUAUUGUCCUUUUCAAUCAAGUAUUCUAAAGUCACCACUUUUUACUAGGGUCAAUUCACCAUGGAUGUGGACAGUAAGGCAGUCAAAGAUGCAUGUGUUGAUAUGAUAAAAGGAGGGCAGCGCCAGAUGAGGUAUAGGCUAAAAAGGAAGUACUUCACCGGGGUUCCUGCAAAUCAAGUGAGGACUACAUCGCCUGUUCCAUGUAUGACUGAUGACCAAUGGAAAGAUUUGGUACAAAUGUGGUCUACCCCAAACCACAAGGUAUUUGUGAUCAAGCUCCAUUUCAUCCCUCAACAUAAUUAACUUUUUCAUCCUUUUCCAAGUGAUGUAUGUGUUGAUAGUAUUGUGCUUCCUAAAGUCGCAUACAUAAACUUAGCUAGGAGUGAAAGACUCAAUGAUGAAUUAUAGUUCGGUUAAGAAAAUGGAUGAGAUUGUGCAAUCAUCAUAAAUAGUUUCACAAUAUAAUUAAUUAUAUAUAUUUCUCUACCUUACAGUUUCAUUUUACACGCAGAACAAUUGUGUCAAGAACAAACUUAAUCGUGAGAAGGUGCAAUUUCCACAGUGCAUAGGAUCUCAAUCCUACAUUGCAAAAUCCUAUGUAGUGGUAAGAAAUUGUUAUGUGUGGAUGAACUCGUUGCUUGUCAAAUUCUUGGUUAAUGUAUGAAUGGGUACUGCUACUACCUACCAACACGGUCACCUUAAUAUCUCUAAUAUUUAGACUACAUCAUUGCUUUUUUAACGUAUGCACUACUUCUUCUUGGUUGUUUUUUAUUUUCAACAACCAUUUUGUGUAUUUACAAUUCCUAACUAGAGUACGGUCUUUAAAAUACAUAUGAUGCCUUCAAAUAUAAUUGUUUUUGCUAGCAGAUCUUGUGCUUUGACUGAGUUAAUUGCUUAUUCAGUUGAUUAUAUAGUCAUGUUAACCGCAUAAAUGACUCGAUACACAUUAAAUCAUCACCAAAUUCUAGAAUAAAACAUGUAGAGUUGUACCACAAUAGCUAGAAAUAUGCAGUCUCAGGUUCCCAUCUUUGAACUCCUAGUCAGAUAGCUGAAGGUCAUGUACAUAAAAGAACGUUGAGGUUGGGGAGAGUUCGAUUUCAAAAGAUGUAACUGCAGUGAACCUCUGACUAACCUGUAGUGAUUACAGUGCUCCUACAAGCCUUCAGAUGCUUGUAGCAGCAGCUACAUCUGCUGCAACUAGUUGCUUGGAAGCUUUUUAUUGAAACUAUUUUGGCCGCAUCUAAUUUUUUUAUAUUGAGCUUGCUACACAGUAAUUGCUGAUUUAGGUACUGCUAAGCAGCUGAGCUACAUCUGCUGUAACCAGUUGCUUGGAAGCUAUUCACUCUAAUUGUUUUGGCUGCAUAUCUAAUUUUUUUAUAUUGGGCCAGUUGUGCAGCUAUUGCUGCAUCAGGUACUGCUGAGCAGCUAGAUUAUGUAGUAGCAGCCACAGUUGGUGAAAAAAGCACAAGCAAGCAGAAUUUAAAGCUAAAAUGAUGCACAAUAGUUAGAACCUAUAAAAACUACAUACCCAGUUCAGUUCUUAAUAUGUCUACAUGUUGUUACAAUUCAAUAAUCUAAAUCUCAACCUGUAGCUUCUGUUUUGAUCAACCAUGCUCACCAAAUUUAUUUGACAUCAUUUUAGAGGCAAGAAAAAUAUAAAGAUAUGGAACCUAGUGCAAUUGAUCUUUUCAAGGAGAUGCAUUGCAGCAAGAAGAAAGGAUUUAGUGAGGCCGUUCAGAAAGCUAUAGUAAGUACAUGUUUUCUCUCUUUGUUACCAGUCUCCAACAUGAAUUCUAAUAUAUUAAGUUUCAAUAUUUAUGUUAGGGUGAUAUGGAAGCAAUGGUGGCAACACCAGUUGAAGAUGGACAGCAUGUGCUGUCUUCGACAGAAGUUGUUUCCAAUGUGCUACCGGGUUCAAGUAAAUUUCUUCACAAUGCUGGCCUUUUACCUGCCUCCAAGAGAAGCAAUACAAGGACUAUCUCGACAAGGAUGCAAGAGCUUCAGACUCAAUUGGACACUGAGAGGCAAGAAAAAAAUGGAUUUCGAGAAGAAAUGGAAACCUUAAAGGCCCAGUCACAAGCAUCUGAGGCAACCAUUGCUAAUCAAUCGACUGAGAUUGCAGAUUUGAAGAAGUCCUUAUCAGAAAAUAACAGUCUCCUUCGACAAAUAUUAAGCAUCAAUCGUGGCCAGAUGACUCCUCCUUAAGUAUGCUUGCUAGGGUGUUGGUGUCAACCAUCCUGAAGAUCGAUCUCACAAAACUUUAGACCUCAUUUUAUCCUUAUGCUUGCUGUAGAAAUUAAUAGGAACUACAACUUGUUCUAUUGUUCACUUGUUAUAGAGGAUUAUGAAUCAUGUUUAAUGUUAAAAGCUUAUGUGUUGGAUGCAUUAUGCUUGAAAUAUAUGUGGAUAUUGUUACUUUGGAUGUUUGUAAAAAAUAUGUGCAUUAUGUGUUGGAUGGUUUUGGGCAUCAAGCAUUAGUGACGAAUCAAAAUGUCAGAAUGUGAUUGCCACAUCAGGUGCUCUGUCACUGUUUUUAUGACAAAAUAUUCGUCAUAGUUUAUUUGACAUGUCAGCUGCCAUGUCAUCUGCCACCUCAUUCAUCUUAUGACAAAACAUAUUGUCACAAAGUUGUUGCCACAUCAGCACCCACGUAAGCUCAUUUAUGACGAAUAUAUUCGUCAUAAAAAUGUGCCACGUCACUUGCCACGUCAUUUAGCCAUAUCAUCAGACAUGUGGCAACCGGUCUCAUGGUACAAUUAGUGACGUUUUUGCUCCACAUUUAUGACAAAUUGGAGUGUCAUAGAUUUAAUGACGAACUUUAAGGUCGUCACUAAAUUUAUGACGUUUUUAAACCAUUUGUCACAAAGGUUGCUUUAACAUGGAGCUUCUGUGACGAUAGCAGUUUUGUCAUAAAGACGUCACAACUGAGCAAACUAUGACAAAAAAACCACUGUUUGUGACGUAAUACAAAUGUCAUAGAAGGUAACAUGUGUUGUAGUGUGUACUCAUCAAGCAUGGUUCUUGUCAUGUCCAAUAGAGUUCUAUUCUUCCUCUCCACUACACCAUUUUGUUGUGGUGUGUAGGGAGAAGAGAACUCAUGCUUGAUUCCCUCCUCCUCAAGGAAGCCUUCAAUUUGAGAGUUCUUGAACUCCGUCCCGUUGUCGCUUCUAAUUUUCUUGAUCCUUAAGCCGAACUCAUUUUGAGCCCGUCUCAAGAAUCCCUUUAAUGUCUCUUGGGUAUGAUAUUUUUCCUGUAAAAAGAACACCCAAGUGAAGCGAGAAUAAUCAUCCACUAUAACUAGACAGUACUUACUCCCGCCGAUGCUUAUAUAAGCUAUCGGGCCGAAUAGGUCCAUGUGUAGGAGUUCCAGUGGCCUGUCAGUCGUCAUGAUGUUCUUGUGUGGAUGAUGAAUACCAACUUGCUUCCCUGCUUGGCAUGCGCUACAAAUCAUGUCUUUCUCAAAAUGAACAUUUGUUAAUCCUAAAAUGUGCUCUCCCUUUAGAAGCUUAUGAAGAUUCUUCAUCCCAACAUGGGCUAGUCGGCGGUGCCAGAGCCAACCCAUGUUAGUCUUAGCAAUUAAGCAGGUGUCGAGUUCAGCUCUAUCAAAAUCUACCAAGUAUAGCUGACCCUCUAACACUCCCUUAAAUGCUAUUGAAUCAUCACUUCUUCUAAAGACAUUGACACCUACAUCAGUAAAAAGACAGUUGUAGCCCAUUUGACAUAAUUGAGAUACAGAAAGCAAAUUGUAAUCUAAAGAAUCUACAAGAAAAACAUUGGAAAUGGAAUGGUCAGGUGAUAUAGCAAUUUUACCCAAACCUUUGACCAAACCUUGGUUUCCAUCCUCGAAUGUGAUAGCUCGUUAGGGAUCUUGGUUUUUCUCGUAGGAGGAGAACAUUUUCUUCUCCCCUAUCAUGUGGUUUGUGCACCCGCUAUCGAUGAUCCAACUUGAGCCCCCGGAUGCAUAAACCUACAAAACAAGUUUAGUUCUUGACUUUAGGUACCCAAAUGGUUUUGGGUCCUUUGGCAUUAGACACAAGAACUUUGGGUACCCAAACACAAGUUUUUGACCCCUUGUGCUUGCCCCCAACAUACUUGGCAACUACCUUGCCUGAUUUGUUGGUUAGCACAUAUGAAGCAUCAAAAGUUUUAAAUGAAAUGCUAUGGUCAUUUGAUGCACUAGGAGUUUUCUUCUUAGGCAACUUAGCACGGUUUGGUUGCCUAGAACUAGAUGUCUCACCCUUAUACAUAAAAGCAUGAUUAGGGCCAGAGUGAGACUUCCUAGAGUGAAUUCUCCUAAUUUUGUCCUCAAGAUAACCGGCAGGGUAUAAAAUGUAACCCUCGUUAUCCUGAGGCAUGGGAGCCUUGCCCUUAACAAAGUUUGUCAAUCUUUUAGGAGGGGCAUUAAGUUUGACAUUGUCCCUGUUUUGGAAGCCAAUGCCAUCCUUGAUCCCUGGGCGUCUCCCACUAUAGAGCAUGCUUCUAGCAAAUUUAAACUUUUCAUUUUCUAAGUCAUGCUCAUUUAUUUUAGCAUUAAGUUGAGCUAUGUGAUCAUUUUGUUUCUUAAUUAAAGCUAGGUGUGUAACACCCCAGGUGUUACCAAGGUGUUGGCUUCCUAAUGGCACAUCUACCUAUUAUCACAUGUGGGUAAAACUUGAAGGAGAGGGAGCACUUAAGACCUUGGAAGCUUGAGUGAGUUAAGAAAUUCCAAGGACCAAAGCACUACCCAAGCUUUUAGGUAAUAUCACCUUGGGCAAGGUAGGAUUGAACCUUGGGCCCCCUCUCUUGAAGCCUUUAGUUGAGAGAAAGAUUAGGCAAAUGCACAUUCCAUGAUUUAAACCCUUAACCGAAGUUUAAGAGUACCAAAAUGUUUACAAAAGACAGCAAAGGAACUUUACAAAAAGACCCCUAAAAGACCCCUAAAUCAGCCCCAAGUGGAGAACACUAUGGAAUCACCCCCAUUCCCUUUAAGUCCCAAAAUCAGCCCUAAUCUAGAGAUCAGGGGUGUUCACCCAGCUAAUGACACCAAAACCCCAGGGUCUAAAUAACAAAAAGGAGCCAAAUUACCUAAGGAACCCCCUAGAAGAGUUUGAACCCAAGCCAAGACCGUUUGACACGGGUUGGCACCUGUUUUUUCUCGGGUUGAACAGUGCAGACAGACAAGACUUGGCGCCACCAUAUCUUCUAAACCAGAUCCAAUCUUCCCUUGGAACUUACAUGAACUAGGUAGCCCUAGGUGCAGGGAAGAAAUCUUACACAAGCCAUAGGGCAAGAUUCGCACGUUUGGCUGCUCAGCAGGCGCAAGAACAAGGGUAGAAAGCAACGUCCACGUGUUCGACGCGCUCUGGGCUCGCCAGAGCACGCCCGAUGCGCGCCCCGCGUGCCCCGCGUCGCGCCAAAGUCCAGCCGGCGCCAUGGCCCAUGCCCGCGCCUAUAAAGCACCCAGGGACCUUGACCGUACCCCUCCGCACGCGCUCGACCUCACCGGAGCCCAAACCCACCGGCGUUUGCCCGUGCACGGCGUGCCCGCGGCCGCCCGAAACCCCGCCACCCUAGACCGGCCAACAAGACCCUUCCCAACCCCGUCCAGCCCUCGGAGAAGACUGUGCACACCUCGGUGAAGCUCCCCGAGCGAGGAAUCGGAGUUUGCUUCGCCGGAGAGGCCAGUCCACGGUCGCCGGACUCCACCCGACCGCCGGCGAGCGUAGACCGGGUAAUCCUCUGCUCCAUUCUUCGAUUCCUUGUGCACACAGCCUCUACGUCACCCCGUGAAACUCACUGUGCCAUUGGAUUGAACUAGGUCGCCGUGGUUUGGCCGGAGCACCCGCCGCCGACGAGAGCACCCGCCUGCGCACGUGGACCGGACGAUUCCGGCCACCCCCGUCGUCGAGUCGUACACCGUUGUGACCGCCAGGACCUCCCGGAGCCAACCCCGCCCCUCGCCGGACCUCUCUCACCGCCGGUAAGUCGCGCCGCCCUUUUCUUUCUUGCGGGUACUGUUUAAACCUAGGGAGGGACCGCGGGGGAGAAGAAGAGAAGGCUAGGGGGUUUUGCGCAAUGUCAGAGACUCAGAGGAAUAGUAGCGCGGGGGUAUAACUGAGAGAGUUAGUUUGGAAAGAACCCGAGGACUUCGGUGCAAAGUGGUUUUCCAGGAAACCUUUUAUUAAAUCUGAUUUAAAAUUUAAACAUAACUUGAAUAAUUCAUAUCUUCUGUUUUAUUCGUCCAAAUUGAGUCAAACCAAUUUUGCCAGAUCUUAAAUAAUAUAUACUACUUAAGAAAAAUAUAAAACCCCUAAAUGUUACAGAAAACUUCACGGUUCUGAUUUAAAUAUUGAUUUGGCCAAAAGCUAAAUGAUAGGAAGAAAAAUAGUUGCACUAUUUAACUGAGGUUAAGAAAAUUUGGAGAAGUACAUGACCACCCACUGACCUAAUUAAAAAUGAUAAACCCCUCUGUCCACCCCAUUAAGGUAGAGUUUGCCAUUUAUUUUACAUUGUGCUUAAAGUUAAAGAAAAUAGGAAAGGUAAAUUAAAUAAAGAAUCAGGGAGCUCCCAUAUUUUUGUUAGUAUACUUAUUCAGUGUAGUUUACUAGAAAAAUUUAUUAUACCCUGGUUUAGUAUAAAAUAAAUUGGAUACCUUUUAUUUUAAGAAAAUAAGGAAAACUUAGAAAAACCCUAGAAAAAUAACCUCAAGGUGAAAACACCCCAACCCUUGUGAUAAUUAAUGUUUUGUUAUAAAGAACAUAGGAAAAAUAUGAAAUCUGCUGUUUGACAUUUUUCAAAUAAUAAGGCAAUAGAAGGUGCCUUUUUGGCAUUAAACUUUGGAAAAUCACAACUAAAUAACCAUCCCUUAGCUUUCUGUGAUUUUUGGCACAGAAGCUUAUUAUUACUGUCAAAUGCCAACAAAAAUAACCCUUAGGACAGAACCCACCCCUAGUUAAGAGUUGUAGUACAAAGUGGCCCAUUUACAUAACUUUUGUUAUUUUUGUCUAAAGCAUAGCCUUUUUAUUUUGAACCCCAAAUUCCUAGAACAGGCUAUAGUGACCAAUGGCAACCCACUGUAAUUUUUACAGAAUUUUUGGAAAAAGUUAAACCACUGUUGUAGUUCAAACCCCCACUAGAAUUCAUAAUUAGAAAAUGAAAAAGGAGAAAUUGAUAAUAGAAACUUGUGUCACCUAGCCCAACUAGCAAAACUCUUUUUAAAUUGCCCACUGAAAUAUGUAAGGGAAAAAAAAUACAAAUCCACUAUGCUUAUCCUUACCAAAACUUAAACCUAGAAUGGUAAGCAUAAACUACUAAAAGCCACGUAUAACCAAGAAACCCUAAGUUACCAACUAACUUAGUUUUUCUUCCGUUAGCAUAAUGUUAUUAAAUCCUGCACAAUCAUGACAUACAUAUUCAUUGCAUUUCGAUAGAUUGUAACCUCGCUAACGGAGAAUACGUCCUCGUGCCGGAGCAAGGAGCUGCUCAGGAGGUUGCCCCGGACCCAGCACCAGAGCCUGCACCAGAGGAUCUGCCUGCCACUGCUUUGGAAGGCAAGCCCCGGUUUAUGCAUAACCUGUAAUUUAUGCUAUUUUACUACACUUAAUGAUUGUAGGAUUGAUUGUGCACUUAGGUGUAGGAGUUGGUUGAAACCCUAGUUGCAUGAUCUCAGGAAUCCUGUUGAGAUGAAUACUAGUAUGCUAGGUCGAGUAGCUGCUUUAUUAAUUAGGAUCUCGGUAGAAGUCGAGUGAUUUUUCUAGCACUCGCGCGAGGUCAGGAAAUUGGUUGUAUCCACUUUCUUAUCAUAAUGAUGCUGGUUUGUGGAUAACAAUCCAUGGGGAUUGGUUGUCCACGGGAUAAAAAUUGGAAUAAGGAUUAAGGUGUGGUACCGUGUGUCAAGCGUUUGAACGUACUAAACACAUACCGAGAAAUAUGGUAAAUCGGUAAGCCUAGUACCUGAGUGAACCUGCCCGCAGAUUGCCCUCCUCACGCGACCUGAGACGUGGUCUCCCAUUCCGGUUAUGGUGGGUACAAGUGCGGUCACUGCACGACGACAGUCGGGGUCAGUGAGGCAUUGUACGCCAAGGUGGUGAGCCCCUUUCUGUUGCCAGGGAAUCGAUGGGGACGGUUGAUGUGUGUGGGGACGGAGUGCCCCUACAUGUCGUGUCUUUAGGUUUACCUUGCAAGGAUAAAAACUCGAUUCGAAUCGUCUGCUUCUCGCAGCUAAUGAGACUGCUUGAUCCAUGCUGCUACAUUGAGUAACAAGUGGAAAUAUGAUGAGUUGAUACAAGAUGUUGAUUGCUAAAAAAAAGGGUUGCUACUAUGUAUGAGUAGAUAGUACAUAUUUAGCCUUAAGAGAGUCACACUUAAAUUGACAAAGUUAAAACUUGAUCUAGAAACUCAGCUAGUGCUUUUGGCAACCAAACCCCACAGCCAAACAGCUGCAUGUCUAGAGGUAGAGGAGUAGACUCCUCACACCGGGUAAGUCUAGUUGAGUAUUAGUAUACUCAGCCUUGCUUGUGGCAUAAUUUUACAGGUUCUUUGGAGGACAUGGUUGCUGAAGUGACUUGGUCGUCCAUCUUGCCACCAGGUUGGACUGUCGAGUGGGACCCCGCCUCGGCUGAGGAGGAGCAGGAGGAGUGAUGGGACAGGCUUCCCCAUCCCUCCAUCUAAUUAUCGUUAGUUUUAUUCCGCUGCACUUCGAACAAUGAUGACUACUUUUGCAAAAACUCCGAUGAUGAUGUAAUAAUUUAAUACUCCUUAAUGUAUGUUUUUAUGCUUUAUUGUAUUUGCUCUGUGACUCGCCAUCGAGUGAGAUUGUGGUACUUGAUCCUGUCAGUGGCCUCGUCGGACUAGAUCCGAGGGAUUGACGGGUUAUUCCCAUUUAAGUGUGGUCUAGCCUCUAAGGCGGGACUUAGGCACUUAAGUCGGAAUAAUUCGGGCAGUUCCGCCACAAGGUGAUCAUGGAUAGCAUCAACAUUAAUAUCUCUGCAUCUAGUACAAAUUGAAGUAUGCUCAACGGUAGACGUAGAGGGUUUGCAAGAUUUUAAUUAAAUAACAUUAGCAUGCAAUAUAUCAUUUUUACUUCUAAGGUCGGAAAUGGAAGCAAUGCAAACAUCUAGUUCUUUAGCCUUAGCAAGCAAUUUUUCAUUUUCAUCUCUAAGGCUAGCAAGAGAGAUGUUCAAUUCAUCAAUCUUAGCAAGCAAAUCAACAUUAUCAUUUCUAAGAUUGGGAAUGGAAACAUCACAAGCAUUGGAAUCAACCUUAGCAAUUAAACUAGCAUUCUCAUUUCUAAGGUUGUCAAUAGUUUCAUGGCAAGUGCUUAGCUCACUAGAUAGUUUUCACACUUUUCUACUUCUAGAGCGUAAGCAUUUUUAACCUUAACAUGCUUCUUAUUUUCUUUAAUAAGGAAGUCCUCUUGGGUGUCCAAGAGAUCAUCCUUAUCAUGAAUAGCACUAAUCAAUUCAUUUAACUUUUCUUUUUGUUGCAUGUUUAGGUUGGCAAAAAGAAUGCGUAAGUUAUCCUCCUCAUUGCUAGCAUUAUCCUCAUCACUAGAGGUUUCAUAUUUAGUGGAGGAUCUUGAUUUUACCUUCUUUCUUUUGCCGUCCUUUGCCAUGAGGCACUUGUGGCCGACGUUGGGGAAGAGAAGGCCCUUGGUGACGGCGAUGUUGGCGGCGUCCUCGUCGGAGGAGGAGUCACUAGAGCUUUCGUCGGAGUCCCACUCGCGACAUACAUGGGCAUCGCCGCCCUUCUUCUUGUAGUACUUCUUCUUCUCCUUUCUUCUCCCCUUCUUGUCGUCGCCCCUGUCACUGUCACUAGAAAUAGGACAUUUUGCAAUAAAAUGACCGGGCUUACCACACUUGUAGCAAACUUUCUUGGAGCGGGGUUUGUAAUCUUUCCCCUCCUUUGUUUGAGGAUUUGGCGGAAGCUCUUGAUGAUGAGUGCCAUUUCCUCAUUGUCGAGCUUGGAGGCGUC